CUCUCUCCUCUUAUUCAGUACCUUGAGAGCAAUGGCAGUCUCACGCUCCGCAGCUUCGGUUGUACCAUUGUUGGUCGUGGUGGCCAUGGUCUUCUCGCUAGUCGGAGCCUCGUUCGCCGCCGAGGCUCCUGCACCGGCUCCCGCUUCUUCCGCCGUGUCAGUUUCGCCGUCAUUGGUGGCCGGAUUCGCCGUUGCCUUCGCUUCUUUCAUCUUCGGAUCUGGAUUCAGAGUUUGAAGUAGUACAGUUAUUUAUAUUAUUUGCAGGAGAUAUUUGAUUUUGGGGAGGUUUUGUACAUGUGUUUAUUACUACUUAGCUAUGAUGUUAGUGUAGUAACCGCUGCUGCAGUUUGUUUUUCCUUUUUCAUUUUUUUUUUAUUAUUUUGUGAGUUUCUCGAGGGGUUUGUUUCUAGCAUGUUAUUGCAGAGUUGCAGUUUAUUUUAAAUUUCUCUUCACUAAUAUUUCGUUAAAAUAUCUUUUAUUGAUUUACAAUCUUAAUUGUCUCAUUGCACCGUUAUUAUUUUUUAAUUUUGUGGGGUAAUUAAAAACACGGGGAAAAAAUCCCUAUUAUUCUACAAUUUUUUUUGUUUUUACCCUUGGUAACUAAUGAAUACUAGUACUAUUAGACAAUUUUAUGUGUACCAAUAAUUACAAGUAGGCCUAAAAACAAUAGCAGACAGGAGUGAAGCAUUAUGUGACUUAAUUGAGUCUAGCAUUUAGUUGAAACUCGAGUCUAACAACACACAGAUUAAGACUCCUAUUUUAGCGAAGAAAAAUGCUUGAUUAAACUAGAAAUUCGAAUGAGAAAAAGUAUUCAAUCAAGAUGCUUGAUCAAUAAAUGGGGCUAAUACAUAAUUUCCAAUUUGUGUCAGGAGCGGAAUUUAUAUAUAAGCCACUAAAUCCAGCGUUGUUCUAUUUCGCUUCUCAACCAUCACAAUGGUCCUAUCCUCCAUCGAGCAAGCUAAACCAAAUUAUGGCAACUGAGCUAGGGGUGUACUCAAUUCGGACUCACGAGUAACUCCAACUUCAAUACAGUGUUCAUCUAGUUGGAAUCGAAUUCGACCUACUUGAUAAGAAAAUCUAGUCUACUUUGAGAGUAUUCGUCGUCAAUCUUAUCAAGUAAGAUAUUUAUAAUUAAUUUUUAAUUAUUUCUUAUAAAAUUAUGAAAUUCACGAAAAAAAACCGAACCUUCCUCUUAAACCUUGAUUAAUGACUCAUCAGAAAAAGAAAAUCCCGAGUUGGAAAAGAAAGGUGAUAGAUACUCAAGACCAACUGAAUUUGCUUUGGAUUCUUCUCCAAGUGUACUUUAUCAAAUACAGGGCACAUUAAUCUUGCCAAAAGUACGCUGGCGUACUCCACUUGACAAAAGCUUAACCUUCUUUACCCAUUGAUUAUCAGCAGCAGAUGAUCACCUUUUAGCACGAAACCUACAAGUCAAUCAAAUCCAAAGGGGGGUUCUACUCGGAAUCGGAAUCCAUGUUUCCCAUAGCCUCAGUCCUCGUGGUCUCUACAAAUGUGAAAUUAAGAGGUCACAGUUGAAAUCUCCGUAAAUGUUCGAUUACAGAACCAACAAAUGUUCAAUCUAAUCAGAAGCGAUACAAAUAUAUAAGAAGCAUACCUUUUUUGACACCUUUUUCUCCCUAACCUCGUACGUUCUAGUGUAAGAUCACAGAGCCAUGCCCCUGGACUUACCAACUGCACCACAAACAAAAUCGCAACUUACAUUUUUUUUUUAAAAUUUUUUCCCAAAAGUGAUAAAAACAAACAAGUCAUAAAAUGCUAAAACCAAUUUCGGAAGAAACAAGAACAUAGCAUACACAACCACAGGGUUUUGUAUUAAAAAAAAUCAAGACAUGAAAAAAAAUCUCAGAUUGAUAUUAAGUACACAUGAAAUAUUAGAAGGACAGACAAGAGCAAUCACCAACCACACUACUUUUAAGUUAGGUAGGAAGUAAGUAAUACAGCAGAUUAGAUUAAUUGCUAACUGCUGCUGCAUAACAGCCUUUGAAUAGUGAAUAAUUAAAUUACUCAAGCACAUAAACCAGUUUUGGACUGCAAAAAGCACUUCUUAAACAUAAUCACGCCCUGUGUUUUUUUAUGCCAUUGUGCUUUGUCCCUUGUGCCUUUGUCAGUUGGUCAGGUGGUCCAAAGAGAUGGAUUCCACCAAAUGUAAUAGUAAGAAUAUGACACUUCUACCAAAAAAAAAGGAAUAUGACACUCAUGGGUAUAAUGUUCUUCCAUUAUCAUCCACAAGCUGAUCAAACCAUUUGGCUAGGAAUUAGAAUCAUAUCGAGCUUGGUCUCCAUGUUCCAAAGAAAUUUGUUUGCCGGAGCUAUGAUCCAAAUUCCAAAGCAAUUAUUGAAUGGAGUAGGCAUCAUUAUACACAGUGCUUUACUUUUCUUCCUUGCAGAGCACAAUUAGACACUGUCCAACUACUAAUAUACAUACACAUACAUACAGAUAUAAAUAUAUAUAUAUACACACACACACACACACAACAAAUAACGUGUAAUAUGUGAUUUAGUGCAAGUGAUACAAUAUCUUUGAUCACUUAGCUAAUCAACUUGUCUAACCAAAUAAUUAAUUGGGUUCUCGUCACUGUCCAAAGGCCUCGUGGCACCUGUAUACUCUUAGUUCAACCAGCUACGUUUUCUAUGGUCAGCAAUUGCUAAAUUAAUCUGCAUCCAUGCUACAUCUGCACGUGUCCUGCAUCAACCAGAUGUCAUCCUCUUGCACGCAUACAUAAGCACUUAGUUCUUUAUGGUUUGUAGCCCUUUGUGAAAAAAGCCAAAAGCCCACCAAGGUCCUAAGUCACGGAGGAGGAGAAGACCUCACCAAAAAGCAUGGUGUUGUUUCCACCAUUGCUUUUGCAAUGCUUUUUGUACCUAAACCAGCAACUAUUAUCUAAAGUGAAACUAACGUACUGAUUCUCUAAAGACCUUCUUCUUCGCAAACAAGCUACCUUUUGUUCAGAGGCAAAAAUUCAGUAAAUGCGUAAUCAACAAGAAAAAUUAAACAACCCAGUUGACUCAAUAAUAAAAAAAAAGUACUAGUAUACUUGAUUUUGCUAGAAAAACUGAAGCAGCAACUCUAUUGCUGUGGCAACAAAUUUUAUACUCUCUAUGGAUAAUUCUAAAAAGGGUAAUGAAGGGAACAACAAGAAGCAGAGAUUACUUGAAAGUUCAAAACAGAGCAGUUGAUCACAAAUUAUAGCAACUUGAUAUAAAACAAAAGAUAAUCAGAGAGUAGAGAACUUACAUUGAGGGUGCGUUGGAUGAACUUAGCUCUUUUCUUGGGUCUUUGAGGGAGUUUGGAACCCUUGAUGGCCAUAAAAUCUUCUUCUUUCUCCUUAUUCGUCAAGGCGAUCACGAACUUAGGCGGCCAAACAGCAGGAUCGCAUCACUCCCGGAUGAAGUCCUCCUCCUUUCUUGCUAUCCGAUGAUGCCGACCCAUUGAUAUUAUUGCUGUUAUCAUUAUUGUUGUUGCUGUUAUCAUUAUUGUUGUUGCUGUUGUUCUUGGUACCAUUGCUGUGGUGAUGAAGGCUGUUGUUGCCCCUUUCCUAUCAUGGCCACCAGCCCCUACCCUGUCCGGGGAAGCCAAACCCCUCACCCCGUUGCUUUGUCCCCUCAUAGCCAGUGAACUAUCGGAAUUCCUAAGAAAAGAAAAGAACCAAAAAAAAAAAACACAAAAACAAUUUGUAAUCAGAAAACACUGAACAUAAAUUUCUAACAUCAUUCCUCCUAGGACUAGCAUGGGCUGUAAAAUAUGCACUACCAAUAACAUUUAGGCCCUUUUACUACAAGGGAAAAGUAAACUACCAAAAUAGCCUUUGUGGGGUAGUCACGAAACGAUAGAUCUCGGGGUUACGUUGAAUUGUACGCUAUGAAAAUUGAAAACAAGAAUCACGCUGGGGAAUUGCGUAGAAAAUGGGCGAAGGGUAUACGGGCGCUGAUUUCUUGAGCCCGGAUAAAAGCUUUAAAAAAAGUGAUCAAAAAAGAAAGAUUAUGUGGGUUGGGUGCGUGUUAUACGCUGGGAAUAUUUUAGGGGAGAAGGGGAAGCUUUUUACGGUUUUUGGUUUCUGGCCGUAGGAUCGAUAUUCCCAUUACAUGUAAGGGAAGGGUUACGUGUCCCAACACCUCUCUAUUGGAUGGAUCUUCUAAUGAUGCUGGAAAUUGAUAGGGAAUUGGAGUUUACAUGAUAUCCUUAUUGUUAUACAUACACAUACAUGGACGUGUUGAAAAGGGCAGCGAGUAGGGCCCACUGCCUUAAUUGCCUGUGAUUGCAACAACACACAAAAUAGAAAGAAAGAAAUGGGUUAAUUGACCCGAUCAUAAAAAUGGAUUCUCAGUUUCGUCUUCCCCAGCCCAUCAAGAAAAUCAAAAUAAUUAAUAUGUUUUGUUUUUUUAUCAGUUGAUCCGUUUUGACCUUCCAUAAUGACACCAGCAAUCCUCAUUAUCUGUGGUUAAUAACGUUUACACCCACCCAGCGGAGGCCCGCCCCAUCCACGUCUUCUCAAUCAAAACAUUAUAAUUCCAUUUAAUCAUGACAAAAUUGCCAUACGUGGAGGGGUUCAAUUCUGCAACUAUCUGAUGGUUACCUUUAAAGCGACCAAGGAUCAAGACGCGCGUGACAAUAGAUCACUUCAAAAUUUUUUAGAGAUCAAAGAAUUCAUUGAGCGUGAGACAGACAAAAUAGCUAGCACGCCAUAUUAUGCCUAUCCAUCCAACUUAAAAGUGACAAAGGAUCCAAGUCCCAAAACUAUUAUCUUAAAAAUGGAAAUUUCCAUGCCAUGAUCAGCCACACGAUCUAUUUUGGGCUGGACGUCCACCCAUGUGAUAAUAUUCUAUUACUAUUUCAUUUGGGUCCGUCUGGAUCGGAGAUUAUUUGAAAAAAAAAAUAUUAAUUAAAAUAAUAUUAUUGUAUCACUUUUUGAGAUGUGAUAUAUAUAUAUAUAUAAAACUAAAAAUUAACUAAAAUAAUAGUCUAUUAAUUUACUUUGGGUCCAUUUGAAUUAGAGAUUAUUUGAAAAAAAAAUUAACUAAAAUAAUACUAGAGAUAUUUUUACUGUAACACUUUUUUUGAUGUGAUGUAUGUGAGAUAAAAAGGUAAUUGGGAAGGUAAAAAGGUGUAUUGGAAAUUGUAAUGAUGAUGUAAGCAAAUAAAUUUGGGGAAAUAAAGCCCAAUCCAAACAAACACACUGUAUCACUUUUGUAAUACAAUGUUUAUAUAUAAAAUAAAAAAUAAUUAUAUUUAAAAUAAUAUUAUAAUAUUUUUUGUGAUAUAAUACAUGUGAGAUAAAACGAUGAUUAAAAAUGACGCAUCUAUGUGAUGUAAGUAGGACAACUCCUCUUGCAAGCCGUAAGUAGGAUAUUCAAAUAUGAAAAAAAAUUAAAAGAAAAAAAAGAUUGAUAAUAGGUUAGAUUAUAAAAUUGGGGAAACCGUCUUAAAUCUUUUAAUAAUUCUAUUUUGCCCAUCAAUCAAUCCAUACCCCACCCACUAAACCAUCAUCAAUCAAAAAUUAAGGAGCCCCACCACUUCCAUCAACCCAAAUCCCACAAACUCUCCAAUCCCAUGCGCCGCUCACGUGACUCAACCACACUGAGUUGGAUUUUUAAACCCCACAAAAAAAACCAGAAGAAAAAAAUAACAACCAAUUUUAUCAAAACAGAAAACAAAACAAUAAAAAAAUGUACCUAAGAAUUCGGUGAGAUGGAGAAGCCGGCCGCUGACGGAGGUUCAAAUAGACAUUUCCGCCGUUAUUGGAAUUCCCAUUGUUGUUAUUAGCAUCACUGGGCUGAGAUAAAUCCUUAUUAUGGUCCGAUCUUACUAGCCGCCGAUCAACCCGACCACAGCUCUCAGACCGCCCGGCUGCAACCCGGAGGAGUCGCGGUUAUUGCCGUUGUCCCGGACUUUGGCCUGGAAUUUCAUACAACGCAGCCUUUUACGGCUCCCCCACUGUAAACCGAAGUCAGACGACGUCGUAGCAGGGGACCUGGUCUCAUUGCUACUAUUAUAGUGGUGGUUAGGAUUCGAAUUCCUCUCCAUCCUUAUCUCUACCUUUUCUGGCCCUUUUUUUUUUUACUUCCACCUGUCGGACAAAUCACCACUGUAAUUAAAAUUCUUUACUGCAGCAUUUAACUGGAGUUAAAAAAAAAAAGUCACAAAAUUAACACCAAAUCAGAGUUGGUGAUCAAUUAUUGACCAUUCAGGAUUUGUUUGCUAAAAUUAGGAAAUUCUGGGUUUCUAAAGUGGUACUAACACUGGAUUUGGAAGACGAGUUGGUUUCCAGGAGAAGAUCUUAUCAAUUCAUAUGGAGGAAAAUUACAUUAUUCAAGAAUCAAAAAUGGAGGAAAUGGAAAAGUUUAGCCAUUUAUGUUCAAAACAAACACCAUUCAAGGGAGGAAGAAAGAAGGGGAAAGGAUAAAGAAAGGGUCAUCCUCCUGAGCCCAAAAUUGCGUAUACAGUCAAGGGAGCAAUUAGAAAAUAAAAUGCUUCUCUUGAAAAAACAGAAACUGAAAAUUUUCUGAGAGAAACAGCAUAUGAAGAUGAUUUUUUACCUUUCAUAACAGGGUUCGUUCAUUGAAGCAAAUCUCUGAGUAAUUCAAUUGGAUUGUAGAGAUAAAAGGCAGGGGAAAAUCCCAAAAGAAAAAAAAAAAAGGUUUCCAUCUGAAAAACUGGAAUAGAGAAAGAGCAAAAGUUGAAGAAGAAAAUAUUCUGAUCACCAAUUCCAAUCAUCUGACAGGCUUUUGCUUGCUGAAAUUUAGACCAGCAAAUUUUCUGAAACUAUUGCUUGGGAAUCCAAAUAAUCACAUUACCUCAAAAUUAUGCUGAAAUUCUGUAAUCAAAGAAGUUGCUCCUGGAUGAAAUCUUGGCAACCACUUUGGAAUCUCUGUCAGAGAGACCUUAGUUUUGACACAUCACACGAAUCGGCCUCAAAAUCUGUAAAAACAAAGCCCCAUAAAAAAAUUCCAUCAGUUUAUUGAAAAUCAAACAUCAGUAGUAGAUGAAUUCUCUGAUUUUUGGCAAAUGAAAGAAACAAAUUUUAGUACCUGAAUUUGUAUUUAUACACUUGGAUUUCAUUUUGAAAACUCAUAUCAACAACCGAGAAUCAACAAUGGUUCUGAUCGUCUUUAGUCCUCAGAAUUAGGAACUGUUUCAAGUAAAUCAGAGCUUUAAUCCUCUGUCUGAAUUCCAAAUCCGAUCUUCACCAACCCAGAAACUGAUCCUCCGACUUGAAAAUUCCUGCAAUCUCCCCUGUCGAACAGAAUUCAGCAAAAAAAGACAAGCUUAAAUCGCCAAAGAUUCAUACAAGAAAAUCCACGAAAAUCAAAUUUCCAAUACCAUCACUAACCUCCAAAGCUUCAGGAUCAGACAGAAAAAUGAGAUUUCUAAGGAAACUCAAAUCCCAGUCCAAACAAAUUCUUCUGAAAACAACUCCAAUUCCUCUUUGAAUAAUGUAUCUGUUUAACAAAAAACAAGCAACAUAAGAUCAAUUUUCUCAAUUACUACAGAUAAGCUGGGCCUUUCACCACAAUUUCUCAGUACAAUUGUAACAGAGCAGCAGGCAGGCAGAUCUUUCUCAGUUCAAGAAAAUCCAUCCAACAUUUUCACCUACCCAGAUGUUUCCAGCAAAAUCAAGACGCUCCGCUGCUUCUAUUUCUCUUUAAAAGAAUAUGGCAGAAAGGAAAAACAGAAAAUUCAGAGAAAGAGAGAAGAGAGUGCUGUUUCCUUCUUCUUCUUCAGAUAAAAACUACAAAACAGAACGAAAUAGUCUCUCUCCCUUUCUUUCAAACCCCUGGUUUUAUACCUCCUUUUUUUUUUUUUCAAUUUCCAUGCUCUUUACAUCAGGCCGCCCAUCUUCAAUCCCCUGUGUAGUAGAUAUUAUCGGACGGCCCAAAUGUCUCCUCGUUCCACACGUCAUCAUCUUUGUUAAUUCCCCCGUUUUCGUCGUUAAUUCGUCGGAUGGAAUCUUAACACUUUUAACAUUUUCACUCUACCCCCUCAAAUUUUAAGCCUAUUUUACCUCGAUAUUUCAAUUGCAUCACUCAAUUACUCUGCACAAUUUAUUUGACCCAAUCUAUUUCGCUAAAUGAAUUUUUGGUUUUACCAAUUUUGUAAGAGAAUCAUCAUGCUCGAAAAAGUCAGGUAAUACCCCAAAAAAAUCAUAAUUCAUUUUCAAACCAAAUCUAACAAAACUAUUUUUCCUUUUUUUUUUUCCACAUUUACGCCAUAGUUGGUUUUUUAGCGAGGGAGCAAGGUUUCACUGACAAUUUAUUGUUCUGUCAUCGUGCUAUGUAAUUUGAGUGUAAUUACAUAAAAUUAUAUGAUUUGAGCAUAUAGAAUGAAAAAUCAUUUGAAGAGAGAUAUAAAAUUUAUCAACCCCUACAUAAAUAUAUAUUGCCAAUAUAUCAAUUUAGGGAAAGAAAACAAUUAUUAUGCAAAUAUUGGACCUUUAUCAUAUUAUAAGCAUCAAUUAUAUGGGAUGAGGACACUAAAUUUCAAAAAAAAAAAAAAAAACUGCAGGUUAUUUACAAUAUUCAACUGCAUCUAAAGAAAAUCUAAUGAUAUAAACAAAAAGCCAUAUAUCAUACCUUUGAUUGGAUUUUACAUACUCUAAAACAACAAUUUUGCACUUUCUCUAACUAGUGAAUCAUUUGUUUUUCUUCCACGUUCGGAACAAGCAUGUCAAAAAACUUGUUUUAGUCAUACUUUUUAGAAAUUUGUUAGAAACUUCUAAAAUUUCAAAAUGUCUGAUGCUAUUUUAGUCAUACUCUUUAUGUACUAAUUCUAAUUCGCCUCAUCAUAUGUUCUUGAAUCUACUCAUGAAUUUCUUACGUGUGAUGUUUGAGCUCAUUGUGUCAAUGCACCGAGAUUUGGAGGAAAAAGAUAAGUUAAAAACAAAACAAAACAAAAUGUGUUCAGAAUUUUGUGUUUGUAAAACAUGCUCGGAAGAAAUUCUAUUAGUCAGUGGAUGCAAGUACUUCAUAAAUAUAAGUAUAUAGCAUGUAGCGUUGAAGGGUGGAGGUUGUUUUUUUUUUUUUUAUCCUUUACACACAUUUUUUCGUCGGCCUAUCUAUUUUUAGUAUGUUUAUCAGGUAAACAAAAUUAAACAUUCAUCAAAGCAAAAAGCAAAACUUACUAUUCCGUGUUGCAUCAAUUUUUUCGAUUAAUCUUAUUCACAGUAACAACAAUAAUGUAUGCACUGUCUUCAUUGAAUGGAUAAUAACUGAUUAUCUGAAUUUAGAUUUAAAUUUUAAAUUUUAUACAUCCAACUGUAAUAAUAUAUAUAUAUAUACACUAUCAAUCCAUACAAGAUUGAUUCUUUUUUGAUUAUUAUUGUUAGUCAAUAGAGAUGUUGCGUUAAUAGAUGCCCUGUAUUUUGGACAACGGAGUGCUGAUGAAGAAGCCUCAUUAUGCUCUGUCUGUCUCAUUACUGUAUGAAAUGAUGGCAUGGAUCUCAAAAGCGCAUGAAAAAACCGUUAAUUCUUUGUUAUUUUGGCCAUUGUUAUUUGUUGCUUGUGCUCUAAGUUUGAACCUAAGCUCGCUCCAAUUGUGUCCUUUUAUCCAUUGAAAAGAAAAUGUUUUCUAUCUCCCCACAAUCACUAUGCUACAUCACGCACUCCUUUACGACCGUUCAAACCAAAAGUAAAGACAAGAAAGAAGCAUAUCAUCACUAAUUCUCAUGCAUCGAAAAUUGACCAAAAAUCUGCCCCCCAGAAAAAAAAAAAAAAUCUAGAGUUGGCAAAUAUUAUUAUCUGUCUCUGUCUCUCUCUUUCUGUUUUUUUUAUUUUAAAAAAAAAAAAAAGUCUCUGGAGUGUUUUAUUCGUUCGGAUGAAGAGAUGAGAUGGAAAAUCUUUUUCUUUUGGGUGCUACUUGAGGAAGGUGAAGAUUCCAGAGUUUUGUGUGGGGGAUAAUUUUGAGCAAUGAUGGUGAUGUGCAGAAUUGUCAGAGGAUGGAGAGUGAAGAGUAGCGGUGGAUUUUGAGAGUAGGGGCAAUUUUGUCACAAACAUAUAUAAAAUAUUUAUUAGUGAGGCUCGAGCCAAAUUUAGAGUGUAAGUAUCGUUUAUUUUUUUUUUUUUUUUUUUUGGUCACAAACAUUAAUAAGUUUUAUGAAGAAUUAUUAAACAUUUUCAGAUUCCUUUUGUUUAAAAAAUAGGGACUUCAUUACGCAGAACAAAAAGAUAUAGGAGCAAAGCCAAACUCAAGGGAAAAAAGUUAUACAGAUGAUUACAAACAUAAUCAUAUAUAUAUAUAUGCUAUGCUUCCAAUUCCAUGAGACAGAGCACAUUGGUUACCCAUAUUCCCCUCUCAUGCUGUCACAUAAGCAUUUUGCUGCAGUAUAAACUAACACACACACACAAACGCAAUGAUGCAGCAAGACUAGAAAAAUACAGCCAUAUGACAAUUGUCAUUAUCUAAAUAUAGAGCACCUAGGCUUUUCGGUAGAGAUAUGAUAUGCUUCUCUGAGGAUUAUUUACAAGGAAGCAAAUCCAAUGAAAAGCAAGUAGGCUAUUUUACAAUCAUAAUUGAUCAUAUGUGCAAGCAAAAAUAUGCUGUCACAUUCUAGGUAAUUUUGUUAUCAAUUUCUGAAACAAUCAUCAUGCACUGAAUCCCCGGUGGAGGGAGCUCCAUGAAUUGGAUGGAAGGCUGACACAGGCUUGGGCUGCGCCUCAGCCAUCUGAUCUUUUUUAAUCCCAGCGUUACAGAUAUUCGCAUGGAUCGCAUGUGUUUCAUUCCAUAUUGGGAUAGUGAACCACAAUGUGUCUCAAAUGUUCUGACCUGCAAGAUAACAAGAGCACUUGAAUGUAUAAGAUAAGGUUAUUACAGGGUGAAAUAUGUUGCAAAACCUUGCCAAAAACUGGAGUUGUAAACACUUAGCAAUACAGUUCCCUUAGCUAAAGAAAUACAGAAAAGAAAAACCUAAAACAACGAUCCCUGCAAAAAUAUGUCAAUAACUGUAAUUGGUGUCAUUUCAGUAUGUUGCUUGGGAUUUCAGAAUCUAUUUGAUAGAAAUGGAUAUAAAAGUUUACCAAAGAUUUUAGGCAGUCCCAGUCAUCAGCAAGAGGAUGGCCGGCUGGCCGGACAGAGUUCAGUAUCUCAGAACCUUUCUCAAUUCCAAACAAAAGCUUUCCAAUUAGUUUCACGCUAUUGUCAAUAUGCAUUCUGUGUGACAUAGCUUCAACAACCUGCUUCUGAGCUUCAACUUUCCUCGCAGAGCCUUCAGGAGCCUUGCGGAACUACAAGCAUGAAAAAAGUAACAGCAAAGUCAGCCACAUCUUGGGAAGGAAUUUAAGCUUUUGCACUAUUAUCUCCCCCUCGUUACGAAAGGGGACAUUCUAAUUCACCCAGUUGAGGAUUUCUGGCCUGUUCUCAUGAAACAAAAAAUUACUAGUAUAAUUUUGGCUAGUUCUCUUGUUUACCCUACAAUAAUACAACAUGAGCACAUUCUUAAUUAAUACCUGUUCUAACCAACAAUCUUUAUACUAAUCAGCACUUAGUUCUAUAAACUAGGGAGCAAAUAAAUCUCCAAGAAACACUUUUCGUUCCUGCAUAGCAGUGGAGCCAAAUGUCUUAACUUCUUUUCAAUCUACCAUGGGCUGAGGGGCAGAUUUACCCUUGUCCUGCUCCACAUCACUGUUAUAACUCAUAAACUAAAACUUGGACAUCACAAGAAAAGCAUCAAAAUAACUCAAUGCACUACAAGGAAGCUGUAAUACCUUGUCCCAGAAAUGCAACAGAUCAGCGUCACGUUGAUUACAGCUUUUGAAGAUGGCCGUAGGGAAUUUUCAUCCACAAAAGUGUAAUUAUCAUUUGCAGGGUUGGUACCCAUGUAGAGGAAAAGAUCCUCCAAACUCAGCUUUAGGUCACCAUAUUGCAUAACAUGGGAGCCAUAAGCUGAAUUACUGCUUGAGGUUCUCUUUUUAACCUGCCAAUUUCAAGCAUUUUGAAAUCACAACAUGGUACUUGCUAAUUGUUUUGAGUAAUGAAACAUAAAAUGUUCCUUUCAAUGUAAUUUAAAAUGAGGAACAAGCCCUUACCAGGUGAUAUUGCUGCUUCAGAGUUUCAGUGUGCAAAUUGUGUAUCUCGCUGUAGAAGGAAAAACUAUUAUGAUGAGCACCAAAAACAAACAAAGAAAACAGAAAUCAUGUAGACCACUUUGUUUGUUAGAGAGUAAAAAAUACCCAAUAACUAUAUUCAAAUGUUACACCUCCAAUUCAAGUCCAUAUAUUGUAUUCAAUUGUGGCUCAUUGGCACUUUUCUUCAUCAUACUAGUGAUAUGUAAAAGACAGUAUCAUGAUCACACCAACAUGAAACCUUUAAAAGAUUAGCAUUUAAAACAAGUAUAUCUCCAGAUUAAUAUCUGAAAUCACAGUUAAUAAUAUGCACAAGUGGCUAGGAUAUUUCAAUACCAGUCAAACAUACCUGUCUUCCAUCCAAGCAACGCUAUACAAGUCACCCAAGCAGGUCUCAUAUUCUGGGGGAGGGCUAGGAUACUCUCCAGGGCAAUAGGUCCCCCAGCUACUUUCCUCAGCAUUUGAUGCUGUGGUAGCAUAUAUAUUUAGAUCUUCAGGAAGAAGUCCCUCAAAUAUACUUCCUGACUCGCAAGCUUCUAGGUAGAAAACCUAGAUAUUGAUAACAGUAUCCAACACAUUUUAGACUUCAGUAACCAUCUAUGCACUCUCUCUGAGCAUGGGAUAAUUCACAAGGAAAUGUAAAAAGGAAAGAAUAUAUACCAGACUUUUAUAUGUGCCAGAAGCAUGCUUCUUUUUCAAGACUUCAUUCAGAUCGUCUGCAUAGAGAUAAGGACCCGACGGCGUCCCUGAUUGCAUGCCAAAAUAAAAGUAAAUAUCCUAAAGUCCAAGUUAUUGAUCCAUGGCAUGAUUUUAAAUGACCACAAUGUUAUCAAUAAAAAAAAAUCCUACAGUCCAAGUUAUUGAUCAACGACACAGCAUUAAGUGACAAAAAUAUAAUCAACCAAAAUUUUUUUGGAGUUUAAACUUCAACUUUAUGAUAAUGUAGAUUUCACUAUUUUUCUUUCAGAUGAUGGACAUAUGCUUUGACCGUACAUAGGAUUCAAAUUCCAAAUAAUAAAGGAAACAAACAAGUAGACCAUCCAACACAAAGGAAAAGUAUUGCAAAUCUAUCAUUUCAAAGCCUAAAAUUAUAAAUUAGAACUGUAUUAUAGGACAUGAAAUAUAAAAAUUAGUUUUUGACCAUCCCACAAAUUUCCCCAGGUACACAAAAUUUGGGAUAGAAGAAAAGGUUUAUGCAAAAGAACGAUGUAUUAAAGGAAUACAAUUUUCCCAAGCUACAACCAAAAAUCAUAGGUACGUCUCUUAUUUUGAAAUGGAGAGGCUUCCUAUCUGCCGGGGUUUCUUUUUCUUUUUUUUUCCCCUUCCUAUAAUAGGUCAAGUACCAUCAUAGAAUGGUGCUUAAGGACCAAUCUCUAGUAAGGAAAGCAUAAGUGGCAGAUGCAGCUUUCUGAUUAGCAAAACUAGAAUGUGACCCAUUUUUGGGAAUUUAGACAGUCGAAAAGAACAUCAUCACAAAAUGAUUUAAGGGAUGAGUUAACUGCCAAUAAGAAGAGAUCUUAAAGGUAAUUACCAAGAACCCCAGGACCACCAUGAUCUGUAUAGUAGAUAAAUAUAUGAUCAUUUGGACCACUGUCCACAACCUUGCCACUACCCCCAGUAAUUGCAGUUUUGUCCCCCAGGAUAGCAGCUAAAAAGUUUUUGGCAUGAACAUCAUCUCCAGUAUAGUCCUGCCACACAUGGGUGCAUCAAGUCUCAAUAGAAAAUAUUAGAAUUCUACAAGAAAUUCAUUCUUCAGGAAGAAGAAGAAGAAGAAGAAGAAACCUUUGGGACUCCUUGAUAGACAUCAUCACCAUGAGGGCUGUUAAUGAUAACUCCAGGCCUAGGGUUCUCUUCAUUGUAAGCAAUAUCAUCGUACAUGAAGACAACAAUAUUUUCAUCCUUAAGACCUCCCCUCUUCAGGAUUUGAUAGGCAUGACAAACAUCAGCCUAGAUCAAAGAACCAUCAAAUCGUUAAAAUGCUAACUAAGUAAAACAAGAAAAUAACUCGUAUCCUCUAUAAAGAUGGUCAAGACAACAUUACAGCAGGAAUUAUUAAGCAAGAGUUGUACUUAUGAACACCAACAUUGCACUUCAUGAACAGAUAGACUACAUUAAAGACCAUAGUAUCAAUAAACACAAUUGUACAUAUUUCAGUGUCAUGGUAUGCGAGUGUCCUAAACAGAAUUAACAAUCUUCCUUUUUCAACAAAUUGUCAACCAUAACAACUAUAGUACCAAAGUUCUUCACAGAUCCAGAACAAAAAAUCUAAUUUAUUAGCUGAAAGAAGUAAUUAAACAAUUCCAUGGCGGUAAAAAUCACAAAAGCCUCGAGUCUCCAAGAGUGGAAUCCCAUGUUUGAAAAAGAAACCUAGCCACCUUAGCAUGCAUGUUUAGAGUAGAAAUAGGAAUUUCCUCUUCCAGAUUCACUAACACAAUAAGACAAAAUCACAGCAUCUCAAAUCAAUUAGUUCUUCCAGCCAAAAACAAACAUGUAGCGCGCAUAAGCAAUUAGAGAUUCUUAACGUUGUAGAAAACAGGUAUGCAGCCCCAAUAUUGUCUGUUGGCCCAAAAAACGAACUAACAAUGGUAAAGAUUUAGACAGAAAGUUAACAGAAGCCUUUACUUUUUCAGAUAUCCAAACAAUAAUUACUCUUCAACAGCCAAAACUGGAGCUUUCCUUGUCUUAGAUUCUAAAACGUGGAUACUAUAUCCUACACUGCCAGUAUUACCUGUGCUGAAAACCUCGGUUAUAUAGCCCAAAAUCAUUUUCCCCUUCUAUGGAACAUAACUCAAAGGCUUAGAUACAGGACAUCAAGCUGAGCUGAGCAACCAAAAAGAAAAAAAUUCCCACACUUAAGAAAGGCUUCACUCCUUAAAAGCCUUUAACAGUAAUCAAGUUAAUAUUAUAUACCACGUAAUUCAGUUCCUAAUCAGAUGAAAGAUGAAAACUUUUUGUCUCAGCUGACAAUGUCACAAGGAUUUAAUUAUCCUUAACCAUUCUCAGCUGUAGCAAAAAUCAUGAAACUAUGAAGCCUUCAAUUUAUCUGGAACCCAAAUUCUUAAUCCAAAUAAUCCUUUAAAAAAAUCCGUUCUUGUUUUUUUGUUAAGGGGAAAAAAACGUUGCUCUGCAGCUCGAUCAUCAGGAGUAUACUUCAAAAAAAAAAACAAUCUUACGACAAAUAAACUCAAUGGAGAAAAAUUCAGCAAAAUAAAACAAUUCGUCAAAAGUACAGAUUUGAUCACCUGGUGCGGUAAUUCCAGUAACCGUUGGAUCCGGCAAUCAGAACAGCCCAUCUGGUCCCCACUGAGUCGCCACCGGCGUCGCUCCUCUCCUUGGGAUGGAAAAAAUCGGCAAUUUCCGACGGUAACUUUAGGAAGUUAUCACGAGCCUCAGCAACGGCGAUGAUCGAAAGUGCAAGGAGGAGCAAGGCAGCGGUAGCGUACCGCAUCAUUUUGGAUUGCUGUCUCUGGUUAUGGAAAGAGAGGUGAAGUUAGGUAUAGAAAAUUCGAAGUUGGGAUUGCCAUAUGGCAUACCCUCCAUAUUUAUAGAGAUAAAUCUUAAUUUCAAUUUGCCCCUUCCAAAGAUGUCAAUUAUCACUCUGCUUUUACCAAAAAUUAGUUGUCUUUAUCCAUACCCUUCAACAUUUUUAUAAUAAUUUUUUGCUCAAGAGAACAAUUAAAAAUGAUUUUUCCUUUUUAAAGGUAAGUGUUUCUUAGACUACUUUAGAAAUAGGAAUUUUAAUGGCCCUUAUUACUUUAGAAACGACAAAGAUAUUUACUUGCACAUGCUUUUAUGUUUAAUUGUGAAUCUUAUACAUUUUUCAAUUCAUGUGUUAACACUUUAGAAAUGUAAAGUUAAAGACAAAAAACUUAUAAACGCAAAGUGGAGUAAUAUUUGUUAACGUGUGCAUUAACACGUGAUUAGAUCAGUGUAUGAUUUAGGCCUUGUUUGGCAGACAAAUUUUUUGCUAAAUUUGUCUAUUACAAGUUUUUUAAAAAUUUAGUUACAGUAAUCUCAAAAAACUUUUCAAAAUUUUUAAACUAUAUAUUUUAAAAUAUUUUUAAAAAAAAUACAUUUUAAAAACUUCUACAGUAAGUAAGUUACAAUAAAAUUUUAGACAAACACUAAAAAUCACUUGCUAAACGGACCUUAGAUAUAUGAAUAAGUGUUUAUUAAACACUAGUUAAAAAUCCCAUUUAAUUACAAUUAGUUACGAUAAUAUAAGAUCAUGGUCCAAUUAUCAUGAAAGAAGAUGCGGAGCCACAAUUAGAAUAGCUCUGAGUUUGAGGAGCUAAAUUGGAUUUGCCCAUGAAUGGGAACAUAUUUUCCCUACUGCUCGGAGUCCAGGUCUGACCUGCAAUCUGAUCGGAGAUUCUCCGGAUUCUUGAUAGAUACUUACGUGGAAGCUUCUAGUCCGUCGGUCGUAAAUUCUAAAUACUGGAGUAGUUGCUUAAAAUUCGGGGCAGCCUCAGUGGACCCUGCAGGGCGGUGAUAGAUUGGUUACUUGCUGAGCUGAAAAAACCAAACCAACAUGACAGGUUGUGGGCACUUUUCUAAGCCGUCGUUGUCCCUGGGGUCUGGGGAGGGACAAUUGCGGCGUGACCCUUUCCUUCCUUCCUGCAGAAGUACGAAUCAUUCCUGAAGAAUGGGCAAAUGGGGAAUUUACACAUAUACCAAUCAGUCAAAGUCAAAGAAAAGUGUACCAAGAAAAUGGAUGGAAUUAGGAUGCAGCUAAUCUUCUGAUUUGAGAAAAUGAUAGAGGGGCUGCUGCUUCUGGGAAAGUACACUGUCCCUACUGUAUACUGGCUGCUGGGCGAUCUACUCAUUUGAUAACCUCGUUCAACUACCGGAAUCUUUUUUCUAAAUCGCCAACCUCGUUUAACUACCCGAAUCUUUUUUCUAAAUCAGAAUGGAUGUAAUAAAGGCCGCAAACUUAUUAGACUAGUCUUGGCUAUUAAUUUUUUUUCUUCAAAUUUCUCGUUAUUUUAUCUCCUCAUCUUUAUAUCUCUGUUUGGAUUUGACUAUUUUUUAAAAAUAAGUUUUUCAACUCCUAUGUUACAUUUGCACAUAAACAAAAUAAAUUAAAAAUACAUAAUCCAUACAAUAUUUCAAAUACAAUAUAUUAUAAGUCCGUUUGGAUUGACCAUUUUUUUGAAAAACAAGUUUUUCAAAUACAAUGUUACAGUAAUAUACAAAUAAAAAUAAUUCAAAAAACAUCUCAUUCAUGCAAUAUAUUAAAUAUUUCAAAAAAUAUUUAUAGUAAAAGUUUUUUAUAUUCAUUGCAAUAGUAAAAUUUUUUAAAAACACUCCCAAAAAUACUUAAUACAAACGAAGUAAAACCAACCAUUUCUAUCUCCUUCCCUCUCCACCAUAUACCACACCCACCACCAGUCCCCUCCUCUACCACUACCGCCACUUCUUCCUCUCUCCAUCUGUUCUCCUCUCUCCUGUCUCUCCUUUUUUCUCCCUUUCUCUCCUAAUUUGUGAUUUGAUUAUGAUCGAAGAAGGUAGGAAAGAGAAAAGGGUCAAGCAGGGAGGAGGGGAGAGAAAAGAGGAGGGAAGAAGAGGAAGAAGGGGAAAAGAGGAAAAGAAAAUAGAAGGAAAGAAGAAUGAGGGAAGGAAUGGGAAAGGGAUGAGAAAAGGAGGAGAAAACAGUGAUGACGGUGGAAGGGGUGGUAGGUGAUAGUGAUAGGUGGUUUUUUUAUUUUCAAAAAAUGCUAGUAAAAUUUCAAUUUUAAAAUCACCCCAAUAAACAACUAUAAUAAAACUUAAUCCAUACGAAGUCUUAGGUAUUUUCACCCCAAUUUUUAGACGCUUUAAUGGGUCUUUAAAAUUCUAUAUAAUAUAAAAUAGGAAAAAUCGUUCAAAACAUCACUUACAUUUUGUUUACUUUUAAAAUGAUAAUUUUAUGUCCCUUACAAAAUUAAAUCAGUAAAAUUUAGUCCAAAGCUAGAUUUUUAACCACUUUUUACAUUGAAUCCAACACAUGAUCCACACAUGAUUAUUUUUUUAGGGGCAAAAAGGAUAGAUCUCAGUUAUAAUUAAACAAAUGACCCAAUUUAUAUUCAUUUUUCCCCUAAAAAGUGAUAUCUAACCCAAACUAUAUUCACUUUUUUUCCUAAAAAGGUGAAAUUUGAUUCAAUCCAUAUUCAUUUUUGCUAUUAAAAAGUAAGAUUUGACCUUUUGUGUAUAAAAAAAUGACUGCAUGUGGAUUACGUAGUGAUUUCAACUUUCAAGCCAAAAAAGUGGUCAAACAUUUAGGUUCGGAUCAAAUUUUAUUAACUUGAAUUUAUAAAGGCAUCAAAUUAACAUUUUAAAAGUAAAGGAUGAAAAAAUAUAUUUGAUGGAAUGUGAGAAACGUUUUAAAUAAUUUUUCCUAUAAAAUAACAUUAAAAAAAGUUUAAUAUAUAUUCUAACUCCCAAAGUUAUGCUACUAGAAUCUGCCUUUUUUUUUUACACAAAAAUUUUACGAUUUUAACAAAUAUUUCAUUUACAUAUUUUUUUAGUCAUCUUUUUUAACAUAUAUAUAUUACAUCCUAAAAAGUGUACAUAUACAUCACAUCCUAAUAAGUGUUACAGUAAUUUUUUUUAAAAAAAACUAUGAGAAAAAUUAUAACCCAAGCAACCUUGAUGUUUCAGAAACUCUCAAGCAUGCGCCAUUGAUUAUUCUUCACUAGAGAAACAUCUGUGCAUCUUUUUUCCUAUAUACGCAAUCUACUAACUACAACCAAAUUUACCUAAACAGAAUGAAUGCAAGUUUUUUCCCUAGAGAAAGAAAUGAGAAUUCCUUCAAGUUUAAUCCUGUUCUUAAUCUAGACAGCACUUAACCAUGCAUUCACAAAAAGAAAGGCAACCAAUAACAAGAAUAAAUAUAUAAUUAAAUUGUCAUUUCGUUCUCUGUUCAUUACAUUGACAUCUUUGAAUCACCUCUUGCUCCUGUUCAAAACAAACAAUAAUAAAACCCUAUAUCUUGAUUUUUUAUUUUUAUUUUUUUGUCAUCACAGGGAGUAUCCCUUGCGAACUAAUUUCUCUGUGUCUGUGCAUCUGCCCCAAGAUACACAAAACGGUAGAAGGAAUCGAACCGCGAUCACACGGUGUCAGGGCCUAAUGAGCCCAGCCCAGCCCAGCCAGCCCGACCCGACCCGAGUGGCUAAACCCUGUAUCUUGAUCGAGUGAAGAAUAAUUGAAUGGAAUCUUUUGCUAGUAUCUCUGAGCAAAGGACAAAAAAUGAAUAAGAUUGCUGAAAUCAGCAAGUUGGAAGUCUCAUCCUGAUUGAGUGAAGGAUACUUGAAUGGAAUCUUUCAGUAUCUGUGAGCAGAGGACGAAAGUGAAUGAGAACGACAAUAAAGUCAUUGAUGACGAUUCACAUGAGUGGAACAUGCGUUUCCUUUCACAAACACGUAAGCAGGACUAUGACCGCUCCAUUUCUUGCUCGAAACAUUUUCAGACAACCAUUCUGCUACGCCACAGACUUCCCAUCUCAAUAAUUCAAAGUUCCUGUGCAUUUUCUUGCGUAGCCAACUGGCCAUCAACUUGCAGAAAAAGCUUCAAUUAUUAUUGGAAGAAACACAUCGCCUCAGUUUUCAAUCAAUUGCAGCUGCUUCAGAUAUCCAUCCAGCACUGAAUCGUGAUGCAGCAGCUUUCCUGAUAAAUACGAAUGGUUGGAAAAUCAUCAUUUUCUUUCGCUUCAUUAGUGGCGUUAGGUGUUCGUGAGUUUGAUAUUUGUCACGCAUAAGAGUUCAAAUCAAAAUUUUUGAGUGAAUAUUGGGUUCUGAUUUAUGUGAUCAAGGCCUAAUUUGGAGGAAGAGAUUUUUGCCCCUAAUAUUUGCCAAUUUAUUUGACUCAAAAUAUUUUCUCCCUUGUCGUUGCCAUUUUGUCUGACGCCAACAAUCUACAUUUUGUUGCCGUAAAUGUUACUUUGGUGAGUUUUUUCUUUUUUUCUUAUCGCGUCCAACUGUGAAAUUGCAAAUAUGUGCUUCAUAUUCUUUGAAUCCAAUUCUUGUUUAGAGUAGAGGAAUUUUUUUUUUUAAUCAUCACAGGAAGUAUCUCGUUCGGACUAAUCUCUCUGUGCAUGUGCAUUCGUUCCCCAAAAUACACAAGACGGUAGAAAAAGUCGAAUCCUGAUCACAUGGUACCGAGACCUAACGAGGCAAUCCCAACACCAGGGCGGGCGGGCGGGCGGGCAGGAGGGAUUUAGAAAGUUGCUUCUUACACGAAAAAAAAUGGUAAUUGAAGAGUGAUGGCUGAUGAUAAAGAUUCUUGAAUCUCGUUUCCAUCCUGCUUCUCGUUGUCAUCGUAUUGGUACCCAAAGUCCAACUUUGGUCCCUACAAGUGGAAUGAAUCUUGUUUUUCACAUCAUGCUGCUGUGUAAAUUAUUUUUACUUUUUCUUGGGCUAAAGCAAUAGUUUUUAUUUUUCGUUCUAUUAUUGGUGGCAGUAAAAAUGCAAAUUGUUCAUUUGUGGGGGAUCCACGGGAUCCAGGAAAGAUACGAAGAACUGGUGUCACGGCCUCACGGGGGGGUUCGUUAGAAAAUCUGAAGGCGGCGGCCAAAGGGCCCAAGAAUAUUAGUGACUGCUGUCGUCAAAGGCACUGCAGGAAAAGCUGUUAUGUUUCUCAAUCAAAGAUCAUACAGUUGUGUUUGUUUGUUUGUCCAUCAUUUAUUUCCCAGAUGCCGUCUCCCAUCGUACUUCCCUCUCUCAUUAGUUGGCGGACGAAGGAAAUUUGUUUUGAUUUGGUUACCUCUUUCUACCUUUUUUUUUUUUUUUUUAAGUUUAAGGGUGAUUUCAAAUCUGACAAAAAGAAACAGAGAAAAGGAAAAGUUGAAAGUGGAAUCAUAAAACUCAAAGUAACUUAAAGUUGAAUGUUCCUUAAUCUUGGGAACACCCGUCUUUUCUAUUUUAUAAUCCAAUUUAACAGUUAAUGCUAAUAAGUUCAGACUUUAAUAUCCUCAAACGAACGUGUUUGAUAAAUAAAAAUUAAAUAUUUUUAUUUUAAUCUUAAUUUCACGUAUUAGACUGUAUGAUAAAAUUAUAUUUAGUGUUUAUAUUCAAAUAAUAAAUUUUACACCAUAAAACCAGAAACCUCAAAUGAUGCUGGGACUUGGGUCACUCAUGGGAUAACUCUUAAGGAAUCCAGGAUGACACAGAUUAAAUCUUAUCCCUGUGAGCUAUGAAUGCCAAUCUUAUCCCUAUGAGCUAUGAAUGCCAAUUUUGAGUCCAACUAUUAUGGUGCGACAUAGACUCCUCGUCUCAAUAAUUCAAAGUUCCGAUAUUUUUUUUUAGUAGUCAUAUCAAUAAUUCAAAGUCGAUAUUUUCUCGAGUAGCCAUCAGCUAGCUAGCUGAAACCAUUACUCCUGAACACGUUGCCUGAGUCCAAGCAAUUGCAAUUUCAUAUGGUCAAGCAUUGAAUGGCGAGGUAGCAGCUUUCGUCCUAAAUGCAAAUGCUUGAAUUUCAUUUUCUUCCACCUUAUACAUGGUGAUUCACAAAUAGGAUACUUGUCCUACAUCAGUUUGAAGGAGAAGAAAUAGUGCUUAAUGCAUAGAAAUGGGAUGAGUUUUUGAGCCAAUGUUAAUUUACAAUUUAUAUGUUGAGCCUCUUUAGUAGGUGAGAUUCUUUUUUAAUAGCUGCCAUUUUAUUGUGCCAAAAAAUGACCAUUUUAGUCUCUUAUCGUCAAAAUUUUGAUCAAUUUAGUUUCAAAUCUAUCACCGCGACCAUUUUAAUCCAUUGUCUUUACUAUAACAAAUCAAUCUAGGCAGCCUUGUUUGGAUUGCCGUUUUCUGCCGGAAAAUUACGUCGUUUUCCGUGAUCACAUUUCCCUAUUACCUUUUUUCCUCACAUACAUCAAAUCGCUACAGUAAAUUUUCAACAAAAAAUGAUGGAAAAUGCAAUCCAAACACAAUAUAAAUUUCUAAUGGAAUUAGUCCUAUGCACAAUAUGUGCACCAUUGAAAAUUUCAUAGGUAGACUUAUGGUGCAUGGAACUGGUUACAUUAGGGUUUUCUAAUUUCUCAUUAGAAGUCCUAGAUUUACUUUGUUUUGUGAGGAUAAAGUUUAAAUUGCUGUGCAAAUAUACAAUUGGGCACAGCUUUGACGAUAAUGGAUCAUUUUUAAUGGUGCACAUACAUUCCAUGUGACUAAGUCCAUUAGAAAUUUUUAAUUUUCUGUUUAAGAUCAUAGAUUGACUCUUUUGUUAAAAGUUAAGGGAUUAGAAUAGUCGUAAUGAUAAAUAAGAAAUUAAAUUGGCUAAGACCCUAUCGUAAAUGUUAUUAUUAUACUUCGUAGUCUUUUUGUCGCCAUUGUAUUUGUGACCCAAAAUCCUGGAAAGCUUUUUCUUACACGACAAAUUGUACUAAAUACUUAGCGUCGUGAUGAUAAGGAUGCCUGAAUCCCAUCUAAUGACGUUUGCAUCCACUUUCUUCUUGUCAACUUGUCAUUUAUACGCAAAGUCCACCGUCGGUUGCCACAAGGGGAAUCUUGUUUCUUACGUUACGUCAUGCUAGUAUAAGUAUUUGAGUCACAAGAAACUAAAAUGGAAUUGUAACUUUUUCUUGGGCUAAAGAAAAGGUUUAUUUAUUUUGCAUAUAUUUUAAUCGGAUUUCUUGUUCCCGACCAACAUAAAAACAUUAAACAAGCAAAUGGUGCAUUUCUGGGGCGAUUUUUGGAUAGCUCAUCUCUUCCUUCUGCGUAUGUUUAUUUCGUUUAUUUAUUUUCCGGUUGGAUCUACCUCCGUCCCUCAUUGCAAGCCUUUUUAGUCAUAGCGAUAAAAAUACACCCAUACUUCAGCCAUUGGCAUGGAAGGAUACGUGUUUUUUUUUUUUUUUUUUUUUGUCUUAUCUCUUUCUACUAUUUUUUUUUUUGAGUUCAAAAAAAGACUUUAAACUUUUUUUCUCGUAUGCGAGGGGUGGAAUUUAAGAAAUAGAGAAGGAAAAAAAAUUUUAAUUCAGAAUCUCUACGUUUUAGAAUCUCAACUUUAAUGGCUAAAUUAGUGCUACUUUUACAACAAUUUCAAACUUUACAAAAGAGACAGAAAGAAAAAAGGGAAAAAUUUGAGAGCCAAACGAAGAAACUCACACUAACUUGACUAAUGUUCCUUGGAUGAUGAUCUUUCUACUAAACUAACCACCUGCAUUUGCACGAAUUACACUAUAAAACAAGUAAGCUCAAGACGUUGCUGGGAUUCGUGACUUGAGCGUUGGGGUGACCUAAGCAGUCUAAAUCACAUCAUUUAUAAAAAGCGAGUUUAGAUUACGACAUUCUUAAACGACAAAUACAAACAUAAAAAUUCCUAAGAUUAAAGAGGUGUAUUACGCAUCAGUUUAUUUCUGUCGUUUAAAUCGUGUGUUGUUUAGUAUGGGAUUUUCCUAUAUUUUAUUCCUGGGAACUCUCAGUAUCAUCUAUGAAUUGUAUUCAACUUUGAAGUGACAAUUUGCUUGAAGGAAAAACGGGUUCAUUUCAUUUUGUAUCCUUUAACUAUAUUCAAAUUCUCAAUUUGGUUUCUAAACUUUAAAAUAGGACACUUUGGUCCCUAUAUUAUAAAAUUUGUUGUACUUUAAUUCUUAAAAUAUAGUACUUGUCCAUUUUAGUCCUUAAAGUAUAAAAUUUACCCCAAUUUAGUCCCUAACGUAUAUCCGUUUAAGCAUAAAAUCUAUCUCACUUCCUUCAUGAUUUUACUUAAGUGAACCAAAUUUUACAGUUUAAGGAUUAAAGCGUACUGUUUUAAAGUUUAGGGACCAAAAUGAAAUUUUGGAUAUGGUUGAAGAGUGCAAAAUGGAAUUAACCCCGGAAAAAUCGGAAAAUAAUGACACAAAAAGUGUCAAAAUUAACGCAACAGUGAUAAGCCCAAUAGUCUUUUUGUGUUUCCAUUCUGGAGUCUCUCCAUUGUAGGGGUAAAAGGAGCCCACGGAUUUCGGGCCAUCACAUUUUUGUUUUCCCUUAUCUAUGAAAAUUUUGUUGAGCCCAAAAUAUCCAAAACCCACCGAUUGGCGGUUUCCUCUUUCCAACCAAAAUCCACAGCGUCGAAAGGGAAAUUAACACAAAACCUUCCAAACUACGGGUAGCGAAACAAGCGUCCUUCGACUGUUCUUCAGAACCCCUCAUCAGGUUGUCCGAUUCUCCCUUGCUUCGUUUGAUUAUUUAAUUUAUCUUAUUAUUUUCGGUAUGCAUAUAUCUUUCUAUACUUGUCGAUUUGGUUUCUUGCUUUUGAGCGCUUUUUUUUUUGGGGACACUUGUACUACACUUGAUUCUUGAUAUUAUUGUUCAUUUCCCCUUACCGUCUUAUUUACUUAAUUUAGUGGCUGAAAAGUCUGAAGGAAGAUGAUGCUAAUAAAUGAACCCUUUUGUCCUUUUGUCUUUUUAUUCCUGGAAAAUCACUAGCUUUGUAGAAUUUGUGAGGAGACAAAGAAAGGAUUGGAAUUUUGAACAAGGUCGGGUGUUGUUUUUGAUAGCGUGGGUAGUUUUGGGUUAGGCGUUGGAAUAGUCAAUCUAGACUUGUUCCUUCUUUUCUUUAAGAGAAUGGGAGAAAGCUCCUUUACAUGAAUGUGAACAUGCAUAAAUGGUUGUAGCUUGAUUCUGAGAAGGAUGAGGAAUUAGCAACUUUUUCCUGAGGACUCCAUUGGCUAAUGGCCCUUGAUUGCAAAGGGGCAAGCUCGAAUUUGCUACUUUUUUCCGUAUGUAUCUAAUUAAAAAAAAUAAGGAAAGAAAACUUUGACCUGGGAGUGAUUAAUCAAAAUUUUUCUAGGAUUGAUUUUUUUUUUAUUUUAAAAUUUUUUGGGGUUAUGAAUUAAAUAUUAUGCAUUAAUAUUACUGUGUAUUAUUAAGUAAUCGUGUUUGUGAUGGUUGCAGAAGUUUAUGUCUUGUCUUAUGAUUGAAUCUGGAAGUGACUUUUUGUUUGGACACAUUGCAGAUUAGUUUGUGGCAUGGAGAGAGGAGACACAAUGUACUUGAAACCAUUUUUGAAGAUGAGAAUCUCGAAGAUGUUGAGAUGCUUGAUGUAGAAGAGGGAGAGUUGGUUGAGGUUAGUACAGAGGCUGAACAUGGAGAGAGCAAUGCUGGCAUAGAAGUUAAGGUUGGAAAUUCUGAAGGCUGCACCAAUAAUCCAGGAGAAAAGAAGAAUAAGAAGAAGAAGAAGAAGAGCAAGAGAAAGAGAGGCAGUUCAGGUCCUAAUGUGACAAAUAUCAACAGGUGCUUUCCUGCUCUAAGGAUUUUUACUACAGCUUCAACUCUUGGAAUGUUUUUGUUCUAUUAUUCAAUAAUGAAAUGAUCUCUUAAUAUUAGUAUCUUUCAAGGAUUAUGUCAUUGGUAACCAGUUACUUUGCUGUCAUAUGCAGAUUUGUACUGGAUGUCUGUAGGCGCUUGAAAGAGAGGAAGUCUUAUUUGGUUUGGGCUGCUGUGGGUUGCCUUGGUGUCUCUGCUUUGGGUGAUCUUGUAACAGAGGUAAAAUUCCUGUUUUCCUUCUUUGUUGGGUGGUAUUUAUUUCAAACGUCUAGCCUUUUCUUGUAUGGGAUUUUAAACUUUAUUUCAAAUGAAGGCAUUGUACAUACUGCAACUUUGCCCUUUGUUUCUCUAGUGCAUGGUGUUCAUGAAUAAGUAGUUAACAGCAUCAAAAUGACUUCUUUUUUAUAUCAAUUUUUCUGAAGUACUCUCAAAUUAGUUGUUGGGAAUUAAUUUGAUUGUCUCAUUUUAUACACAAAUGGAGGAUUAUUUUUCUUUAUUCAUGCAAUCACCAACAAACAUUAAGUUUUGAAAGAUGGGGAUAACAAUGGUCUUGUAUGGUAGAUAAGGAGGUCACUGCCAUUGGUCUUUGUUUCCUGGUAUUUUCAAAAGUAUUAUACAAGUUUUUUGUUCUAGUCGAGAAUGGCUACAUUUGAAUUGAGGGUACAUAAUUUUGGCUUCUGGGCAUCAGCAAGAUUAUACUUGCUAUCUUGGAAAUCACAUAUAUUAUUUCAUGGCUUGUAUAGUUGUAUGGUGUGAAAUUUGGUUUGCGCUUCUGUUUCUUGCAGAAUUUUUCCAUGGACCUUCAUAAACACAUUGUGCUUGUGCUCCUUGUGGUUCUUUGUUUUUUGACUUUAAUUUUAUUAAAUUGCUUAUAUUUAUAUUGUUAGUUCUUCCCUCCCUUGGUAAAUUUCCUGUAGGCCUGUCAUGAAACUGAUGCAUCUUUAACAUUCUAAUAUUAUAUUUAGUAAAAGGGAACAUCUCCCCAUCUCUCUUCAUACUGUUUGCAACUUCCAAGAUGCUCCCAAAUCUACUCCUAUAAGCAUAACUAGAGACAGCAGCUUCUGAUAAACCUUCUGGAUUCUAUCUAGGCGCAAUUAUGGUAGUUAUGUAAUGACAAUAUGUUAGCAUUAUCUUACACAGGUUGUAAUUGGGAAUAUUAGAGAUCAUUCAUAGACCUUUUUUCUGGUAAAUAGAGAAAUAAAUCACUAAUUGUUACAACCAAAGUGAGAGAUUAUGGUCCAAAAGGUUGCUCAAUUUGUAUCAAGAUCUUCUGCCUUUAUUGAGUUUCUGAUGCCUAUAGUUUCCUAUCCUUUUGCAGAUGCAUCUUGAAGAAGCAUUGUCACUGGUGACAGUGUUGUGGCCCUUCUUAUCUGAAAUAGCUUCAGACUGAACCAUUGACCUUUCAUAUUGGCUUAGGCAGACUAAAAUGGUAUGAUACAGAAAUAUCCACUUGUAUACAACACUUAUCGUAACACCCGUCUCAGACAAUUAGAUAGAAAGAAAGAAGCAGAAUAAAGCGCAGGGGCAAGGGAAGAGACUAAAAUUUUGUAGUGAAUAAAGUCAAAUUCUCCUUUUCCUCUACUGAAAUAUUGAGUCUUGAAAUAUUUUUCGAUUUAGUUUUAUUGUUGUUCACAUCAGAGUGAAUGAGAGUAUAAUUUCAGCUUCGUAGGUGGACAAUAGUUUUGAUUGCAAUGAAAAGCACUGACAUCAUAUUUGCAGUAGGAAGGAGUUGUGGUAUUUUGUGAUGGAACAAUUAUAUGGACAGAAAAAUAAUUGAUAAAGAAGUGAGCUAAACAAAGUUCUUGUGUUAUUCUUCACUCUGAUGACCAGUUAAUAUAUUGAUGUCAACAUUUUCGCUUCUCCAUUUUAUAAGUUGGAGUUAAGGAAGGAGUUUUAUUUUGCAUUAAGUGUUGAGCUUGUUAGUUGUUAUUAAUUAUUGAUGUUAAAACGUGAUUCUGAAUAUCAUGAUAAAAUUUUAUGAUUGAAUUUCUAUUUGUAGAAUUUCUUGGAUCUGAGCAUGCAUAUUUAUGGUUAAGAUUGUUUUGCCUUCAAUGUCUUCUUGCUUUAUUAACUUCAAUACUAAUUUACGCAUUACAUUGUAGGUGGAAGCAAUUCAGGCCUGUGGAGGUCAGAAAACUGCAGAUGGUAGACGUUUCCGAACAGGUGGUGGCAUAUUGUGGAGUGUCCUUAAAGUCCGUGAUCCAAAUGCUUACAAAGAGAUUAUGAGAAGAGGAAAGGAAUUUGAGGUAUACUAUCAUUUUGUCUUUGUAUUUGAGCUAAGAAAUUUCUUAUGCGCGCUUCACAUACUGCUUUUUCUGUCUUUCCUGGUUAAAUAUAAGAUUGUAAAAGUUUAGUACAUAAAGCAUACUUAUUCAUGCAUGAUGCACUUUUUUGGCUAUUAGUUUUCAUGUUUCAUGGGUAACUGCAGCUGGUUCCUUAGUAGGAUAAGAUGAUCAAUAUGGUAGCUUGCUCACUCGGGUUUUUGAACUAGAAAUGUGGAACACUAAGAGCAACAAGGGGGAGAGUGAAAAUUGAUUUCUAGCUUAAGUGUAAGGUCGUGUCCACCUUUAGUCCAUUUUAUGGAAUUAGUUUUAUGCUUCUCCCACUAGGUAUGGAGCUAAGCAUCAUCUAAGCUGGAUAAUCUCAUUUGUGGUGUGCACUAAAUCUAUUUAUAAAGCCAAUUUACCAAGAUGCCAUGGUCCUGUUAGUGCCCACCUUUUUUCGGGUAGGAUGCAUCACCCAACGAAUUCGCUAUUGUAGGUUAAAGGUUCAAUUGGAAACAUAGUACGUAAAUCUUAUGCAGUUGCUUGUUUGAGUCCAUUGCCUUUCAUAAGGCUUAUUCUUUGGUUUCCUUAAAUGCCUUGAUAGUGUUGCUGGAUGAAGUUUUUUUGUAAUAGAGAAGUUAUAUGUUGAACUCAAGUAUUUCAGAUAAACAAUUGCUUUUCACUUUCAUUUAUUCCUGAUACCAGUUAUAUGAAAAUUAUGCAGAAGCAAUUUAAGCCACAAAAUGUCAACCUAGAUACCAUGCACAACAAAGAAAACCCUUCCCAAACUACUGGAGAAGUUGUGGAUGGCCUUCAAGAGGCAUCUCAUCAGGAGAACCAGCUCAAACAAAAUACUAGCGAGCGGAAUCGAGUAUCUGUGCAUGAGCGUGUUAGGAUACCAGUUGCAUAUGAUGAUUUGCUUGACGGAGAGAAUCCUGGAGAUGGAGGAGCAUCUGUAGCUUAAAUUGCAUGUUGUUAAUGCUUGAACGACCUCAUUCUAUUAUAUGAGAGAAUUUUUCCAUUUCUGUGUUUUUUUUUCUGUGGCAUUUUGCGACGCCUUGCAGUAAAUCUUGGGACGAGAAACUACACAUUUUUGAAGUAGGCGAGAGAAUUCUGUAUAUAAUUCGGAAAGUAAAUUUGAAGUUAAAAGCUUACAGGAUGUCUUGAAGGGUUAGCUUUCCGAACGUAUAAUCUGAAUUUUUGUUGGAUGAAUGCUCUUUCUUUUAUUUUGUUAUUCGUGAUUGUCUGACGACAUUUUCACGCAUGCCUUGGAAGCCCAAUAAAGUUCCUCCCACCAUACUGAACUAGUCCUCUGCUUCUGAGCCUCUUCUGCUCUCAUCAAUAAUCAUUAUAACCCUUCUCUAUUUUUGGUUCUCAAGACUGGAGGAGCGAAGGAGACAAAUGGUGUGGGAAAGAAAAUGAAAAAAUAAUAAGAGGGGGAUGGGGCGGUUGUUGAUAACAAAAAAGCAAAAAAAAAAAAAUUGAGACACUAAAAAUAAAUUCAGGAAUCAUCUGUGUACGUGGUGGAAAGAUCCAUCAGGGUGAUAAUUGAACUACCUUGCGGAUCAGAAUGUGACUUGCACUUGUAUCGUGUUCAAUUAGGAGUUUGCUAGAUGGAUUAAUAAGCAAGAGUAUAUUAGGCAUUACUGCAAAACAGGGUAAGAUUUGUUGAACCAUCUCACGGUCCAAGUUUUGUGUUAUCGAAACACUUCUUCUAUCUAGCACAAGUGCUCCUCCUCCUGUUCUUGUUCUCUGAAACUGCAAUUCUUGGACUCGUGUGCUGAAGACGAAUGUACAGGCAGUUGCUUGUACAUUCCACUUGAUCAUAUCCAAGAAUAACAGUAACAUGCAAAGUUUCUUACAACGCCUAUACUGCCUUCAUCCAGCACAUUAGUCUCAGAGCCUGAGACAAGGUCUCUCGCAGAGCAUUUGCAGGUCUGCAGCCCGAGGAUUUAGGUUAGAGUACAUGGUUGACUCUUUUGCAAGAAGAGGCAGAGGACAGUGCAGUCAUCUCUCUUUGAAUUAGGAAACUUUUGUUUCCACGCUGCUAUUGAUGCAUCGACCACUGCUUUUGCUGCUGCUUCUUCACUAGCCGCUGAAGAAACUAAGGAUGUUACUUGAUCAUUGGAAAGUACAUCCCAAACCUGAAACCAAAUAUGCAAUGACAGAUUAAAAUCCAAAUCGUCUUAUGAUUUAAGCAGAUACAUAGCAAUUUUUUUGGCCAUGGCCAUACCCCAUCUGUCGCCAGAACAAGAAACUGAUCUUUCUGAGACAACUGGUGAUAAGAGACCUCAGGGAUGGCAAUGAUGCCAUGGUUUUUAAGCGCGAAGUCUCCAAAAGCUCGUGACAUGGCUAGGCCGGGAGAAUCAUCCAGUGGUAGCCACACUCGCUGAACAUGUGGUUCUUCCUUCAAUGCAAGCACUCGACCGUUGCACUUCCUUAUUCGAUCUGCUUCCCCUGCAUCAAGAUGAAAUUAAAGCACACACUUCUGUGUAUAGUUUAAGGUAAAAUGACCUCUUGUUCAACGUGAAUACUGCACGCUCAAGCUGUGAUUAUGUCCAUGUGGACAUAAAAAGAGGUCUUACCAGGUAAACCAGGCUUGAGAUCUGUAGUUAAUUGAACUGGAACAAUUCCAUUCUCUGAUUUUGUUCCCACAAUUGCUCUUGAAUCACCAAGAUUCCCAACAAUAAGAUAAUCGCCCUGUAAAAAUCUUUACCAAGUCAAAACUCCAGAGACUUGCAAACACAAAUUACAUAUUCGAUGUUCUAUUCCUUCAUGCUUUUUUAGCCUCAUACCUGCCUUACAACAACAACAGCAGUAGUUCCACUGCAAGAGCAAUCCACGUUCUCAAGAAGCUUGAUUUCCUUGUCCAUCACCUUGAAGGCACUCAGAAAAGCGUCUUUCCAUUUAUUAAACCUUUUGCUGAAUUGUACUUCACCGUUCACUUUCUCAUUAUAUUUUGGAGGACUGAUGACCUUUGCCAUUGCAUUCAUCUGGUUCAGAAGCAACGAUGGCAACCGGUUCCUCACCAUCUUGCUGACCUUAUGACCAUAAUAUCCAUGUCCAUCAAAGACUCCACAGAAAGCUCCAUCUUCCAUUCCAUAGCCCUGUCAAAAUAGGUCCCGUUCCUUGGUACCAUUACCUAACAAAAAACACAUGCAGAGCAUACAGUAACAAUAAUGACCAUCUUGAUUCUUACCUGAUAGAGAAUUGCAGCAUCUUGGUUUAGACCUUUGCUUCCUUGAUGAGAAUGAAUGGAGCCAACUCUCACCUGGGAUUCAUCUGAAUAAUUAGUAUCUUCAUGGUAGACCACAUUUUCUUGAGCACUUUCAGCAUUCAGAAUCUCUGAAGAUGCUGUGGAGAUGCAAGAACCCAUGUCGAGUCAAGUCAACUGCUGGUGUAUUUCUUAUGGUGCAUAUGCUUUUGGAAUCCAGGAACUGGUAAUAUAGUCUGUUUAUAUAUGCGGUUUGGGAACCUUUGAAGUCUACAUUCGCUUAAUCUAUAUUACUUGUGAGACUAUGGGUGGCUCCUAGCACGCUUGGAAACGCACUAAGGUUCAAUUAUCCAUGGUUUUUUUUUUUUAUUCUGUUUUGAGUGUUAUCAAGACUACCCCAAGAUUCAAUUGAGGGGCCUCUGAGGUGUACCCGUGUAGGAUUAAGCCGCUCAAAUAUUAUAAUUAAGUCAUUGGCUGGUUUUUCCUCUACUUCUUUCCAAUAAAAAAGGUGCUGGAUCAGAGGUCCUAUUGUUGAUAAGCAACCAAGAAAGUCCUCCACUUACUAUAAAUUUGCUUCAUUUGACAUAACAGUUAUCACCAUCUAUUGAUUGCAAGUAUAACCAACUAAAUUUUCAAAAGGAAAUCUCUUUCUUCCUGUAAGGAUAUGUGAAUAGCUUAACUUGUUGGGAAUAGUCUAAUGAAUGGGAAGGGCAAUCAGAGUGAAAAGUCUUAAAUGUCAGUUCUUUAUAAUUUUCUUAAAAAAAGAAAACAUUCAACUUCUAAUUAAGUUCCGUAUUUAAAAUAGUUCCCGACAAAUAUAACAAGGGUUUGUAUGAGCGCUCGUUAGAAAAAUCAUACAAUAAUCAUAUAGAAUGUUCGUAAGAGUUCUAUUAUUUUUCAUCCGGUUGCUACUAUGUUUCCUUUUCUCGCAAACAGAAAUUUAGUACAUUUUCCUUUUCCUUUGUUGGGAUGGAAUGAGUGAAUGACAACUCAACUUGGGUAGGUUUUUGUCAUUUUAAAGCCGUGGCUGAUCUAAUUAGCACUUUGUCAUACAGUCCUAUUAGAUGGUUGACCUUGGCCAACUUGAUGCACUUUACAGGGUGAAAGAUUCAAUUAGAUGGCAAAGCCACAAGGUAAGAACCCCCUUUACUUAGUAGGUUGAAGAAGUGCAAGGAGAAAGUCGAAUCAGUGGGUCAACCAUUUGGGAGACACUAGGCUCUUCACACAUGACAUCAAUCACCAUGAUUAUAUGAAUCAUUAAGUUAAUGACAAGAUAGCUGUUAAAUCAAUGGUCUCUUGAUUUGGAUUUUACUUGAAAAGCUUUAAUAAUACGUGGUUUCACAUCGUUGAAGGUGCCAAAUGACCUGGAAGAAAGCAGAUGUGGAAGGACACGACUUUCUUGAAUCUCAAAGACCCUACAUGAUGCAGAUCAAUAACUGCCACACUUUAGAUUUCCAAACUCCAUCUACUUAUUGUGUGGUGUCAAUAAUAGCAAUCUAAACAGUGUUUUGGUCUUGAACUCCAAGCACGGCUUUGUAAAUUUCCAAGCCAUUGUAUAAAUUUGACAUAUUCCUUUACAAAACAAGAUAUAAAAGACUAGUCUUUCACACGCAAGUUCUUUCUUUCUUUUUCUGAAAAAAUGUGAGAUCUUGAUUCAAACCUCCUCCCCUGCAGACAAACGCAAGUUUGGCUAACGGGUUUAAGAUUCUCAUUUUUGGUAAAUCUCUCGUUCGAAAAAUACAAGAAUGGUCAGUUUCUUAUGAAACGUGAUGUAUUAGCUGUUUUUUGAGGUGUGAUCAGCAAGUUCUCUUUUAGAUUCUCGUAGGACAUGUGACCAGCAAGUCUUGAUCUCCCAAGUGUCUCAAAACACUCCAGCAGGAAAUGUGAAUGUACAAAAUCUUGAUCAAAACCUUAAACUAUAAUCUUCAAACAAUUUUCAAUAGUUGCUUGUUUAGAUCAUUGCAGGCUUAUCUGGCUGGCUGGCUGGCCAGUGGAUGGUUGUGGCUUGAGGGAGAGUCUUUUGCUUUUGUCAAAGUUUAAGUAAGAUUAGGACGAACUCUAACAUAUAAUAAAAAAGCAAUCAGCCUUAAAAGUCAAUUGAUUCCUCAAACAAACAGAAAACUUAACUUGACAAGUAAGGACAAUGGUGCUAAAAAUAUUGAUACCCAAUUCAGUUGAGGUCACAAGGCGCAUUCUUCAAUGUAUACCAACCUAAUCCAGAGUAUCUGCAACCAUCCAAGAAUUCUAAAGCUCUUAAUCAGAAAAUUGGGAAACGGAUAGAGUUGGAAGUUCUCAAACUAAAAAAAAAAAAAAACAAAAAAAAGAUAAUUCCUGAUAGAGGGAGUAUGAAAUAGCUAUCAAUUGAAGUUUGAAUUAGUAGUUCCGAAUUAUUGAUUGUAGAAUUUUCUACUAUUAGGCAAUGAAUCUGACCCAUAGAACAAGAUCAAUGUCUCAGGAAAAAAGAACUCUCCAACAUAAACGACUAAGGCAUGUGGGCGACGCUUGCCACUGAACGUUGAUAUUACCAUCUGAUGAGAAGAAUAAUUUAUGGAUGGCCAGCUGUGUUCCAAACCCAGGCACAAAAUUAGCCAAAAACAAUAAGAAUGUUUUGGAUGAGAUAGUUCUAGUUCUCUGUCUCAUUUUCUGAAUUAUUGUUUGUUUUGAAGGAAUAGGAGGGAAAGGAGAGCAAAAAAGAAAUUAUUGUAUCAGAAUAAUUUGGUUCUUCCAGUUAUACUUGUCACAUGGAAUGAUCAAACUGCAAUUAUUUGUGCAGAAUGGUUCCCUUGGAAUUGUAUCGAAAUAAUCUUGGACAGCAGCUAUGCUUGAAAUCCAGUCAGAUGGGAUGAUCAUGACCCUUUCGCUCACAAAGCAACAAAUGUAUACAGGAAAAGGGCCACAAUGCAUACUUAUUAACAAGCUCGUCCCUCAUAGAUAUGGUAAUCCAAACUACAAUAACUUCAUUGCCAUAAUAAUAGAUCAAGUCUAGAAUUUGAAAUAUGGAAAAUGAGGAAACUUUACAUGCUUUGCAUUACAAGACGUGUGUAUUAUACCACAUACGGGGAAAAAAAAAGUUCAAUGAACAAAUGUUAGAGAUACAUAGAAUUACAGAUCAUGCUAAGCCAAUUCAAGGAUGCCUAAAAGCAGGUAUGGCACCCAUGCACAUAUUUCGCUUUUUUUUAUCUUUUUCUGUUAUUGACUGGACACAGGAGCACUUUCAUCAACAGAUGCCGACUCAGUCGUAGGUGACUUCUUUGUGAGAGACUUAGGCACAUCAACAUCAUCUUGCACACACGCUGCUGAGGGUGAGAUAACAGUAUACACAUGUGGCGCAACAGGAUGCGAGUUAGCCCCUGGCCACUCUCAUAAAUGUACCCCUCAUAUUCAGUGACAAGCUCAAGGGCUUCAACAAGAGAAUCAUACACCUUCUGAGGACAAUUAUCAGGUCCAGGCUUGUCAUGCAGGUAGAUCACAUCCAAGGUGAAGACUUUCUGAGUGGCUAGCCACUGAUGUUGUGGUGGUACCGAAGAUCUACAGUACAUUAGAAUCUACAAUUUGUAGAAAGCACCAUGAUAAGAUCUUGUGAGAAUCGAGCCAGUUCAAAGAAUAGGACAAUCAACAUAGUCAAGGAAAAUCAUGGCAGCAUGGCCCUAAAUUAAGUUGAAAAAAUAGCCUCAAAUUGUUUACGAGAAGCAGGGGAACCAAAGGUUCUUGAAAUUCAGAUCUGAGGACUACACAGACAAAGGUUUUAAAUUUCAGCAAAAUCAUUUGAAAUGCUUUCUGAAGCAAACCAAACCUUCACCAGCUUCCACAGGAAAAAAAAGAAGUUAAUCAUGUCUUUUUGAGUGAUUCAAAGAUCACAGAAACUUUAUCAUUCAAAGUCAAAGGUGUCAACAGAUAACAAUUUAACUUGGAUAGUGGAUCAUCAGUUUCUCCAGGAGAAGCUUAAUUGUGUUCAAGCAAAUCUUCAGUAUGAAGCCUAAAGUAGAAAAGGGUGUCCUGGAUCUGGCUCUAACUGAAGUCUGGUCAUUAAGUACGCCAUUUCAAUGAAGCUAGCCAACUCUGGUACCACUGCACUAGGGUACAAGCGAGGACACCUUCAGUUUGAUGAGCAAAAGGAAUAGGAGUUGGUGGGAAUCUCUAAUCGAAUAUUAUAUUUUUCCAAUUAUUAACCUACAAUGGAGCAAAUUACUGUUUCUUUCACAUGAGAACAAAAAUCAUUAACAAGGAUAUUUCCUUGUAAAACUAUAUUCAUCUUGACUAUAUAAAUGCAUGGCAUCAUAGAUCCAUAAUGAGAAAAUGUAGCUACUCAAAGAAUGAAUCAACUUUAUCUACUUGAACAAAUCCUAUGCUCUAUCUAAUGCCUGAUAUCCCAAUGGAUGACAUGCUACUAUAGAUCCUAGUAAGUGUCUAUUUUUUUUUUUAAUCUUCUUAUCUAGCCUCAGCUUCAACACCAUCAUAAUAUAUCCUAUCUGGUAAAUCAGUUGAUCCUUGCCAACAACGUAGUCUUUUGCUCAGAUUUUCUUGUAUGGUGACUUGUUAAACAUAUUAUGAGAAUGGUCAUUCUUCAUUCUAGUACAUUUUCUUAGUUUUGCUUUAUCACAAAGCCAUCUCAACAUUUUGGUUUUGGCUACAGUUAUUCAUGAGCAUGUUGUUUUUUAGCUGCAUAAGGUCUUUAUAUAAUAGACGGUCUAACAGUUGCUGAAGAAUACUUCUUCUAUAAAUAUGAAUGCUACCAAAACAGAUAACCUCUUUUAUCACACUGUGCUUGACCCACAGCUUAUUUAGUCCCAUGACUUACACCAUACGGAUCUAGUCGUUGAUUGUAUAUAUUGGUAAAAAGGAAAAUGCAAACAUACAGAUACUUAAUAGAUCCAUGACAUUUCAGCUUGAAGUAAACAAAAGAACAAAUCCAGCUCUUCCAAACCCUCCCUAAACAAAAUGUUGCAGAUGCAGUUCAAAAGGCUGAAACUUGGCAUAUUUUAUGAACAAAAUUCCCCAACAAAAUCUGUGAAAAGUCAACAAUUAUGUGAAUUACUAAAUUGUAGAAAGAAUGCAUGAUCUAAUAGAGUAUCACAUCAAAAUUCUUGACAAUAUGUGGGCCACCAACACACAGAGAGAAAGAAUAUUGAAUUGUGAAUCGCAGCAUCACCCCUAACCAGGCUAAAGUUUGGGUAGACAGAAGUAUGAGGUGGGGGAGAACAUAUGACUAAACAUUGAGCAGAGACAACUUCAUCAUACUAAAGUUGCAAAUAGCUUGAGCACUGGAUCGGAAGAGAAAAGAAUAAAUAGGACAACCAAAGACAGUGUUCAGCUAGAAGGAAGACCAUUUUUGAAUUAACACUACAAGAUGUGGAUAAGGACUGGACAGAGAACAUAGCAGAUAUUAGCAAUACAACAGAUGCAAAAAAGUAAUCAUCAACUUUGAACACAUGAAAUGUGCACUUAUGUGAAACCAUUUGUACUCACCACUCUCAGGAUUCGAUUUUGUGCCCGAGAUUUCUUUGCUUCAUGAGCAGCUAUCCUAAACAGUUGCGUCAGAUCAGCUUGACCAGAAGAUGAUGAAUCAGCAGAAAGCCCCAAAUGCAGAAAGCGCAGCGUCUACUCUCCGCUGAACUCUUUUCGAAGCUUUCAAAAAUCAAAUGGAAAAGAAAGGAAAGAUCAGGAGGUUGUGUAUAUGAUCCUUGACCCUUUAAAACAACUAAAAGAGCAGGAAACAUAAAAUGCAAACAAAUGAACAAGUUCCUCGAAUGCACGCAUGUUUUAUCAGUUUAAUGGUAAAUGUUGAACUAAGCAUGACAUGAUUUGAUGCCCUUUAGGGACCCCUCCUUAGAAGUCAUUUUAAUGCUUGUUAGGGAUCUAGACAAAACGGACUCCCUAAAGCAUAAACAGAUCUUUAUUCAUUCACUAAACACAAAUUUAAGAUCCUCUUGGGAGGAUAGUCUCCUUUACUCAACUCAAAGAAGUCUUUUCCCAAUUCUUUUUAUUACCCUGCUUUGAGUAUAUCACAAAUCUUCCACAUUGUCAAAUAUUCAGACUAAAAAGUACUAAUUGUACCCGUGUUUCCUAUCCUGACAAAUGAGAUCAGUGAAAAGUUAAUUUGUCCUAAUGCGUCGUUUGAAUUAAAGGCAAAAAGACUAAAAAGUGUCCUGAGAUAACAUCAAGCAUUUCAGAACUUCCGUCACAUUCAAGUUGCUUUUCCAAAGAAUUUUUCGUUGCUUUCCUUUAACCAAUUCCAAUCUCCACAGGCCCAUGUUGACAUACAUUAAAAUCGAAUUACCAUGACACUAUAAACUGCAAUAGAACGACAAUUAGACAAAAAAAAAAUUAUGUCACAUUGAAAAAUCAUAUCUAACAAACAUAUUACACAUUCACUGCACUAGAAUGAAACAAAAUCAUUUCAUUUUACUCCAAGAUUCCAAAUUCAUCACCAAAGCUUUUGAACCCAAGUCAGAACAUUUAACAUAAUAGCUCAACUUCUUCAUAAUUCGGUAUCAACCCACAAAAUAAAACCAAAAAAGUAAAGUAAUUUUAGAAAAUAAAAGAAAUAUUAAUGCAAGAAGUAAAGGUAGUGGGGGAUACCAAGAAACGGAUUUUCCAAGAACUGUGAAGGCAAAACGAUGAUCAGGGUUGAUGGCAAGCUUAGAGUGGAUGAAGAGAAGAAUGCCUUGCUUGAUGGUGUCCAAUCUGGUAAAAGGUCUGCCAUUGGGGCCGGUCACCUUCAUUUCCACCAAGCAUUCAGGGUCCACAUCUAUGCAAAAUAGUAUAUCUUCGCUUGAAAAUCUGGUCGGUGGCAGGGUAUAGAGACCUCCUCCUCCAGCUGCUGCCGCCGUUGUUGUUGCAGAAUUCUGUCCCUCUAUUCCCUGCAUCCUGCACCAAGAUUCACACCCUUAGCCGUCUCUGCCACUAUAGCUCCUUCCUGGGUUGCCUUCUUUCUUUCUUUUCUUUUGAUAUUUUCCUUUUUUUUAAAAACAUUUGCCUUUAAGGUACUUAUUAUCUCGGAGAAACUGUGUACUAUGUCCUUUGAUUUUAAGGAAAUUGUAAGGCCAUCCUGUUUCGAGGUUAGGCUCCAAGAACCCACCCUUAACAAGUGAUUGGGGUUCCAUUUGAAUAAGAAAUGGAAUUCAACUAACCACAUAUAAUAAAAUAAAUUUAUGAACAUAUAUGAAUAUAGGAUUAAAUUUUAAUUGUUUCCUUCUAAUAAGACAUUUCGUUUGGCGAGUGAAAUGAAUUAAAAGUCUCAAAAUAAUUAAUAUUUUAAGUAUUUUAAUUACCUGAGCUGAUAAAAUACUAAUAACUAAAUGGUUAAUCUGGGAGAUUAAAAUGGAAAGUAAAAGAAGAGAAAACUUAAGUAACAAUAGGAAAGAAAAGAAGAAAAAAUAUUUUAAUGUUGUUUGAAAAUUUAGAAAAGAAAUUGAAUAAUGUCAAAUAUCAUUAAGAUUUUGCUUUGUAGUCAUUUAAUAUAGACUUGCACUUAAAAAAAAAUUACAAGGAUAUCUCUAAUUGUCUACCAAAUCAGCUUAUAAAUGGGCAAAAGACAUUUUAAACAAUAUCAUUAAAAUAUAUUCUUAUAAAUUGGUUAAAUUUAUUAAUUUUUUAUCUUAAAAAAACUACUUAACGAGCUUAAAAUGAUUUUCAAUUCUCUCACUUUUUUUAUUUUCUCAUCAAGUUCCAACUCCCAAACUAGUUAUAAAAAUUUUAUAACUCGUUUGGAAGGGAGUUUUGAUAAGAAUAGAAAGAAUUAUUAAGGAAAGCGGAUUUUUUUAAUAUACCAUAACUGUAUAACCUUACAAAAAUUAUGUGAAUUUUAAGUUUUGAGGAUUCUAAUGUAAAAUGUAAUCUCCACUCCCAAAUAAAGAAUAAUUACUUUAUCGUCUUUAUUUUCGAAAACUCCUGAAAGAAUAUUGCAAUCUUUUUUUAUUCUUUUCUUUUCUAACUUAAAGUUUUGCUUCUUCUCAUUUCACUCCUAAAUUCCCACAAUAGCCAUUAGGUUGUUAUGUUUAGGUAUAUAUUUACACUUUAGGGGUCUGUUUGGUUGGAAGUAAAAUGUUUUCCUUGGGAAAAUAUUUUCCGUGGAAAUAAUUUUCCAUGAAAAUCAUUUUCCUUUCAUUAUUUUCAGGUGUUUGGUUAGUUUAUUGAAAAUAUUUUCUUACUUCAUUUUCUGGUGUUUGUUUAACUUUUGAAAUAUUUUCACUUUUAUCUCUGUCUUUACUUUCUACACAUUAUAACUACAUACUUCUUUCCAUGCAAAAUAAGAAAUUUAUCUCAUUGUUUAACUUUAAAAAAUUUUGGAGAAAUGUAUAUAUGAAUAAAAAUAUCUCCUUAAGCAAUAAAUAAAUUGCUGGCCAUUUAGUGUCAAAUAUCAAUCACAUGCAAUGCUUAUUGUGACAUAUAUCUUGCACUCUCACUGCUGAAAGUUUUUCUAGAAAAGAAUGUCCCUAUUAUACAUAAUUAAUUACUAGCAUAGGAUGAGCAGGAUGAGAUUUUUUUUUUAUUUUGAAUAUACUAGGGGGAGGGUUGGGUUGGGUGGUACGGGGGAGGGAGUGUAAGGAAGAGAUCUUGGGUUCGAGUCCUCCUGUUUAUACUAAAAAAAAAAAAGAACAUACUACAAGAUGUUUUCAGUAAGUUUGGAACAUACUACAGCGGGAUGCAUGCAUUUCGGAAAACAACUUCAGUAAGUUUGGAAGGGAAGUUGUUUUCCAUAAGAUGAGUGAAAAUAUUUUACAUAAGAAAAUGUUUUCAGUAACUUUUGUGCAACCAAACACGGGAAAUUAGGAAAAUAUUUUCCUGGAAAACAUUUUCACCCGAAACAAACGGACCCUAGAAUUAAAAGGUUUUCAAUAAUUAUACAAGCAGAAAAAAGAAAAGAAAACAAAAACUUUUCAUGGAAAAGCGCAAGUGUGGUAUGUUAAUAUAGUUGUAGAAACUUCAAGGGGGCAUCGUGUAAAUACUUUAAGAUAGCUUCCAUUAGAAACAUUAAAUAAGACGAACCAUUUUCAGGAAGAACACUAGCUGAGCAAAAAAUGGCGUGUUUGCACGAUCACAGCUGCGAGGAUCAUGAUUGUUCUGCUAAUUGGACUCUUUACCAACACAUUGACCUCCCCAGGGUUCUUUGCCUUUUCUCUUAUAGCUCAAACUUCUUGUAUUAUUUUUCCGAGCUUGUUUCAUUUUUUCGUUUUGUCCUUUUAUUCCUUUUAGAGCCGUUGCAAUUUCUAUGAAAAACUGGCCAAAUUUCUUGCUUGUUGAUAACGGGUUUUGCGCUAAAAUUCAUGGGUUUUGCUAAUUUUAGUUCCGGAAGUGAAAUGGUGUAUGGGUUUGUAGCACAAAUUUGAUGAAACCCUAAAGUCUUGAAUAUUAUGUUCCUGCGGCUGCAAAUUCAAUGGGAAAGUGUGAGUGCUUGUUGAUGCUUCCAAGUGGAAAGUUGGCUUUGUAAUUUCGAGCUUGAAAAAUUAUAAUGUUACAAACCAUGGAUUGAAUAAUUUAUAUUGAUUUUACCCCUGCAUCGCAUUAUUGUUGAGUUAAGGAGGGAAAAAUAUUCAUAUGAGCUCCCUGAGAGCUGUGCUGUUUGCGGUUCACAUUCCAUAUUUGAAACUAGUAUUAGUUCUUGAUUCUUUUGGCUUAUCUAUGAUAUUAGGUACUCAAGAAUGGUCUGGUUAUCAUGGGAUCUUUUCUGUAGAUGGUGAAGUAUGUUUAAAUGUUUAGCAAUCUCGUGUUGAUUUCUAGUUUCUCUACUAGUUCUACCCUCAUUUUUGUAAAAAGUAGAUUAGUUUUGUCAUCUUGUGUAGUUGUGAGGACUGAUGUAAUCGUGGCUAAUCCUGCAUAGUUGGAAGAUAAGCUUGAUUCUUAUUCUUCAAAGCUAGAUGUUUUCUUGAUCGUUUUCUCAAUUAAAAUGGUUUUCUUCAGAAUCCUCUAACUUGAUCUAGACAGUCUAUUUAGAUUAGAUAUUAGUGUGGCAGUAAUUAUAUGCUGUGAUAAUUAAGCAGACAGAUGAGUGACACCUUUUACAUUUUGUUUUUAUUUUUUUCAAGUCUUCAAGUUCAGCACUUAAGCCUUUUUUUAGCGUGGCAACUAUGUACAUAAAUCAUUUCACUUUUGAUUCAAAUGUAGUUGUUGUUGACAUGCUUAAGUGAGGAUAUCGUGAUUAUAUGUAGAUUAGGAAAUGACGUGUUUCAUUUCAUUUAUUCAUCAGUGUUCAUGAUGCAACCAAAUAAUUUUUUGCAAAUACCAAGCUAUCCAAACAAUUAUUUGUUGGAACUGAAGAAUGUAUUCCUUGUGGAAUUCAAUCUUGGAUUACUUUAUACUUAGUGAACAUCUUAUUUGCUUACACAGAGAGAAGUAUAUCCUUUAUAUGUAUUUUUCUUUCACUUGUACUGAACGUUUAUUGGGAAAAGAAAUAAUGCAAGUGGCUGUUUUGUUUCUUGUGAAAGGUAUCUGCAUUGAAUGAGGCUGUCUCAGGAAGCAUUCGGUCAGUUUUUAGAGCUUGGGACCAGCGCUUGAAUUCUUCCGAGGUGCUUUUCAAAGCCCUAGAUUAAUUGUACUCAUCAAGACAAAUCAGCUAGCCUUAUUGUCAUUCUCCGUUUGUGCUCGAUAUUUGUUGUAGUCUGAAUGGUCAUGCAAUGUUGCCUGUGAAUUGCACUCUCUCUGAAAUGACACACAUCAAACUUGAAUUUACACCUAGAUCUUGGUGUCAUCAGAGAUAAUGAGAAGCUACUUAGGUCUCUAAUAGAUUACACAAUGUCAACAUGAGUUUUUGAAGUUUUGAUAGACUCCCCUCCUCCCACUGUCUUAUGCUAGAAAUGUGCUUGAUAUCUGCUGUUACUAGCUUGAUGCCCUUCUAAGUGCAUUGGCUGUUCAAAUUGGUUUGAAAGUUUAAAGUAGGUCGCUGGUUCUGUCUUUUUGCCACUUUUCUGUAAUGUUUAAGAUACCAUAACUCUUAAAUUUCAUUAUUUCCUCACUGCAAGAGGUCUAAAAUUUUUGUUCUUUCUCUUGACAGGGCUACUUGGAGAGCAAUGAGGGUGAUCCAGAACUAAUUGUCUUCAUCCCGUGCGUGAAUACUUUCUUAACCUGAACCUAUUGUUUGGCUUAUUUACUUGCUAGUGUUUGUUAAUUUACUUACUAUCUGCCUCACCAUGUCUUUUCUUUCUUCUAGUUUUGGCAGUGGCUUGGCCCAAUAAACCAUAGAUUUUACUGUUAACAUUUUAAAAUGGUCAUUUUCAGAUGCAUGUGAGCAAAAAUAUUUUAUUGGUUUUGUUUCCUGCUGCCAAUAUUAAGUAUGAUGAAAUUCAUGCUUACAUGCAAUUUAUACUGUUGUAAUUGGCCCUCGUCCAGUUUUCUAAUGAGUUUUUCAUAACCUUCCUACUUAUCCCAUUUAUCAUGAAAAAUUUCUUCUAAAAAAUGUUGAGAUUAAGCAUUUAAAAUCCUGCUUAGGAAAUAGAUAUGGGAAUUUCUGGGUUGUAGCUUGAUCCAAUCACUUCAUUCUCUCUUCUCUUGUAUCUGUUGAGAAGCACGAGCACUACAGCAGUUAGUACCAUAUAGUUUCUGAAAUUCAGGCCUUCAGCAACUCUUUGCUAUCCUACUUUGUUUGUUGCUGGUUAGGUUUACAUCGGAUGUUAAAAUCAAAAGCAUAUCAGUUAUUGGUGGCGCUGAUGGAACAAGUCCUGCCAAAAUGAGAGCGUGAGUUAAACAAUAUUCUUCCUAAGUUGUUACAUUCUACUCUAAUUGGGUUGCUGCCCAUUUUUCGAGCAAGCAUGUGUUUUCUUGUUGAAGAUAUGGUCAUAUAUAGUUUAUGGCUUAAUGAGAGUCCUUUGUUGAAUUAGCAGUCAUUGAAAUUUAUACUAUCAAUUGUGUUUAUUCUACCUGAAUAGAGAGUACUUUGCAUGCAAUGCAGGUUUAUCAAUAAGGAUGGUAUUGACUUUUCAGAUGCUCAAUCCAUUCAACCAAUCCAGGUAUUCUUGUUAUAGUUUUGGAGGUUCAAUGCUUGGCCUAAUUUACUUAUUUCACUUAUCCUCAUUUUUCAAGGAAUGGGAUUUGGUGGAAAAUUUCCAAGGAGUGUUAGAAUACCAAACAAGGUAUGCAUUUUUUAAGUUGAUACCUAAUUAUUUUGACAUUGCGAGUAUACAAACUUUGGUCUGAGAAGGGUAUGUGGUGGAUUUCUUACAUUUCUUUGUAAUAAUACUUUUCCUUUAUUAACUAUGGUAAGAUUGACAAAUAUGGAAGCCCGAUGUAAGCUUUAAAGUUCACCACUUGGUUUAGCACUUCUGUUUUUCUUCAUCUAUAACCAAUUUCAAAUGCCCUUGCUUUUGUCAAUGGACAAAUGCAAAUGCUUUUAACAUCAUAAUAUUCCAGAAAAAGAACAAAAAAAAAAAAAAGAUAAGCAACAGUCUUUGUUACUGUAAAUUUACUUAAUGCAGAUGUUGCAAACAGUAGAUCUGAGUAUUUCCUCCUUACUAAUAGCCAAUACAUUAUAAAUUUGGGAACUGCUGGCUAAUAGGUCAUUUGUAGGUAACUCUAGAGGCAUCAUAAUUACCAUAUUGGCUAGUGUUAUAGUUAUUGGAAGUUUUGCUACUCUGAUGCUUUGAGUAAAACAACCAGGUAUGCUAAGUUUCAGAGCGUGGCAAGUAUCACUUUGCAUUUCCCAGAAAACUUUGGUGGAGAGACCACUCAAAUUCAUUAUAUUGGCUUAAAAGGUGAAGCCACACAGGUAAUCGAAGUUGGUUUCCACUCGAAGGUUUAAUUUGUUGUAAAUUGUUUUAAGUUGAGAAUCUUGGUGUUUUAUCAGUAUUGAAGAAGAUGACAUUGUUUUCAUCUUAUUAACAGUUGAAGAGAGAUGUCGUUGCUACAAUUGUUUAUGAACUGAGGCCAAAUCCUUCAGAUCACAAGUGAGUAUAUAAUUUGGUUUUUUAAAUGUCUAACUCUGGGGUUCUUUUCAAUCUUUCUAUUUUUUAAGUAUCGAAAGCUUGUAAAACGUACUGUGGAAGCAUCUGUACAAUGAUAAACUAAGUCAUGUUUGUUUGAAGUCUUGUAGUUCAAUCUCAAGUUGCUAAUGUGGUGUUUAUUAACAUAUCUGCAUCCUCGUGGAUAUAAUACAGAAAACUUAGCUCAAUAAUAAUUUCCCUCCUUUGUUACAAUAUAGCAAGAUUUAAUGUUCUGUUUCAUCAGUACUACACUGAUUACUCAAAUUUUACCAAAAAACUUUAAUGUGUUUGUACUGUUUAAUCCGUGUGUUACAGAUGAUCAAUAGUUUUCUUUGUUUGAAAAAAAAAAAAACUUUUCUUUGUUAGUAUUUCUUUGGUGAAGUCCUGCUUCUUUUUUGUCACUGUGGUUCGUUCGUUGGAAUUGUAUUAACGAGCUGAGGACAUCUAUAUGCAGGACACGGGCUGAAUUGGGAGGUGGCCUUUCACAGGUGGAAUGAGGUUUCCGCUGCAUGGACGGCUGUUAACUUUCUGAUGUAAAUUUCAUCCACAUAACCAAAGGAAACUCUAAAUCCGCUGUUUAAUUGGUCAUCUGUAAUCAAUAUCCAUCUGGAUUGAUAGACUAGAAGAUAAUCGGAAUGUUUUACUACUAACUCAACUGUGCGCCAACUUUUAUUUAUGGAUACUAUAUAGCACUUGCUGAAAGUUUGGUUCCAGGUCACCGGUUUUCUUAACGACUAUUGUCCUCUCUCCUUUUUUUCGGUAAAUUCUUGUUCGUUUUUCCUCUGAUUCCUCGUUGAAUUUAGUCACUACGUGGGAAGUUUUGGGAAGCUUUGAUAGACAAGGGGCAAAUUUCCAGAGGUUUUACAGGUAAGGAAUUCGUAUCAGUUGCAAACUUCAUUUAUGAGGGCGUGCAAAUCACUCCAGAAGCAGAAAGUACAACUAAGGGACAGUACAGUACUGGGCUACCAGCUUGUAAUUUUCCCUGCAACUAAGGGACUGCUGAUUUCAUUUGGGUCGAUAUUUCAUAUGUCAAGAGGGUAUUUCCUGCUAUCUGUGGCCUCUUUCAAAGAAUUCUAAAGCUCUCUGACUCGAAACCAAAUAUGUGCAGGCGAGGAGCAUUGGGAUUUAUUACAAGCGGGAGAAGUUUCUCUUGCGCGCCCUUCCACCUCUUCUUCUCUCUUGUUUCCUUUCAGGUUCGACUGGUUUUAUCUCAAAUCAAGGUUCCCCUUCUAUCAUGACACAUAAUCCACGCCCAGCCGAAUCUGUAAAUGGCAGUAUUAAUCUCUAAGCCCUCUCAAGUCAUAUGAGGUACCUAUCUUCGUCAUAGGAUGCAUUAGUGUCAUCCUUGUAUUUUUAACAUUGUCCCUUCCUAGGCUACAACUUCUUCCAAAACAGAAUUUUCAUCCAGUUGAAUUUCCCGUUUCAGGCAGAUGUCUUCUUCAGGGUGCUUAGUAAAAACGAGAAUAAACAGGAAGGGAGCAUAUAAACCAAAUUCCAGUAACGUAACUUAUAAUAAUGCAGACAUUCUGCUUGAAGAAACAUUUUGUUCUCUGCAACACCUAGAAUGAUUGGCUCAAGAAGCAUUGAAUUUUUCGUGCACAAACCACGAUCAUUUAUCCAUCUUCCCUAGGCUCGUCCAUUCGCAGAAUGCCAAUUGUAUCCUGAAGAUUCUUUCUACUUCACACGAGCUGUAUCAAAAUAUGCAACACCUAGAUUGUGAGGAGAAGAAAGCAAUGCAGGAUGGAAAAUCUAGAGGAUCAACAGCUCAGCUGGGUGGACACCAAGCUCCAAAAUCUGCAACCAGGACCUGGUAUGAUCUUUAGUCAAUGGUCAUGAGCCUAGACAGCUGUGAUGGUCGAAAUACAUUCUUGGAGUGCUCCAACGGCAGAGCAGAUGCCUGGAAGCAACCAGGAAGAAGAGAUGAUGAAGAAAGCUAGCUAAAACAUGCCUUUGAAAAGAUAAUUGCAUGCAAUUGUAUCUGGACACUGUAAAAGAAUCCCCAAAGUUGAACAAACAAUAACUGGGAGAAAAGCUCAGAAGCCAAGCGUAACAAAUACAUUUCAUCGAAGAACCAAAGCAUAAAAUUGGCUCUUCUUACAUGUUACUCUUCAUCAUUGCUUAUAUUUUAAAUGCCUAAAAGCUGGCACAAAACUGACAUCUGGGGAAAAUGCCUCCCCUGCAGCAGUUGGAAACAGCACGAGCAUGAUAAGUUGCGCAAGGGAAAGAGAGCUCCAUUUCACAUGGAAAUCCCAUUCCAAACAACGUAAACACCUAGUAAAACACACUUUGACAAGUAUGUUUGAGGUGCAAUAGAAAGCAGAAAAAAAAAUUAAAAUGACUUCAGAAAUGGUGGAUUGUAUCGACUGAGAAUACAGAGUGGAAAUACUAUGAUCUUAAGAUUUAGCCACUCUAAAUUUGAAGGAAGUAGUGGAAAUAACUAAAUUCCUCCAAUCGUGAUAAGUAGCACUUUAUAGGCACCAUGCAAAAGGUGGCUUGUUAUUGCAAAACAAGAACAAAGCCCCCGUGUCUGACGGAGUGCCUUUUGUCAAACCUCGCAACCAAGACAAAGAAUGCAGAAAGCUGAUCGAAAUGCAGAGAUAAUAAUUUGUAUCCGAGCUAUUGUGUCAAGAAACAAUAAGGAAUGAAUUUCAUGGAUCUUCAGCCCGGAAAAAUAUGAUAUAGGCUCAAUGCGGCAGACGGGUUGCCAUUGAUAUGGCACCUGCUGUUGACUCGAUGAUAGAGCCAUAGAUUAUUAAGCACAAAUUCAAGAACCACCAAAUCCCAUUAAAUUUCUCCACCCUUUUUCGAUCACAAUACAUGAUCUACUCCUGAAACAAAAUAGGCCAGUCUUAGACGUGCAAUCUCGAUAUCGCACAAACUCUUUCGUUUUCUUACUUUUUCUUCCGUAAAUUUGUAAUUACAUUCUCAUGUUAUGGGUAAGAUUGGCAAGGGAGUGUGUAACUCUAACAUUAUUCACCUGCACAGAAGCGGGCAAAAUUAGCAUCAAGAAAGAAUCUGAUUGAAGGCCAGUGUGUGGAACCCUGCUCCAUGGUGCCCGGCUGGGAGCAGAAAGUGUUUGCUAAAUAAGAAGUUUGUGAGUGACCGACCUUGCAACUCACUCAGAGGUUAGAUUGAAAUUAAGGUUAUCCGGGAUGAUUGCUAGUUUGCCACCAUCCCUUCUGCGGCUGAGAUGAUGGUAAGGUGAUGGGUCGGGGAGCAGCAGAGAGGAGGAGAAGAGACAGAGAGUAUUCAUUGGGGAUGGUGACAGGCUCGCGGAUGCAUCUAUAAAGAACAGAUUGGCGAGGGAAACCCUAAUGUUGGAAUCAAGUAGGAAUUUACUUGGAAGGACAAAGAUACCAAACAUAUUACGUUCCAGGUCCUACUAGAUUGUAGUGAUUAGGGAUGGCAACGAGGCGGAGUUGGAGCGGGGACCCCUCCCCCAUCCCCCGUCCCGCUGCCUACAAACUUCCCCCGUCCCAUCCCCCGUUCCCCGUCCCGCUUCUUCCACGGGGCUAAUAAAAAUUUAUUAUUAAUUUUAUUAUAGUUAAAUUUUAGCAAAUAAUCAAAUACUAAAAUAUCAACACAUCAUCAAAUUAUUAUUCAUUGUAAUUUUACAAUUGAAACUUAUAAAAACAAUCAAAUAAAAAUUAUUUGAAUACAAUCCAACAUGAUGAAAUAAAUAUAACUAAAGUAGUCAAGUUUUCACUUUUGUACAAAUACAAUCACUAAUUCAUUAUUGUGCUUGUACUUUUUUUAAGAAAAAAAUAUUAUUGUAUUAAGUAUAAUUAGGGAUUUAGUAUAAAUGUAUUAGUAGAUUUAGUAUAAAUAAUUAAUAAUUUAUAUUAGUACACAUAUGUAAUUAUUAGUAUAAUUAAUAAUAUUAAUUAUAUUAUAUAUACUAAUAGACAUUAUAUAAUACAUAUAACUAAUAAUAUCAUUAUCAUAAGUUUAUAACUAAUUAAAUUAUAUAUUAUAUAUAAUUAUAUACAUAUAUAUUUAUAUUUUUUUUUUAAACCAGCCCCGUUUCUAAGCGGGGGGAAAAAUUUUCCCUCGCCCCAACCUCCUCCCCAUUAACCCCCGUGGGGCGGGUGCCCGCCCUUAUUGCCAUUCCUAGUAGUGAUGGUAAAGGUCCUGCUGUUGUGGUAAAAAGCGAAUUACUUCAUAAGAACUCCUUUAUAAGCAAUCUACAAUUUCGAAAACAUAUUUUUAUCCUAAUACUGAUAAAUAUUGAACCUAUCCAAAACUUUUAUUUAUACCAAAAAAAAGUGGGAAAGUGAGUUUACCGUGCCAAUAUACCAUUUACAUCCUGUUUGAGAUUGCGAUGGCUUACAAAAAAAAAAAAAAAAAAAAAAAAACUUUUGGUACAAGUGCUUUUAAAUGACUAAAAAUUGGACUCUUUAAAUCACGAAAAAUUAGUUAUCAAACACUUUAGAAGCACUUUUAGUGCUUAAAAGCAUUUUCUUUUUAAUAAACGCACCGCAAUCCUAAACGAGUCCUUAGAAAAAAAUCUAUUCGUUAUUCUUUAAGUGCUUUUUUUUUCAACAAUAAUUUUAUUUCACAUAUAUCAUACAAGCUUUUACAUAUUUUCUCAUAGAAAAUGAGUAUUCUUUUCUUCUUCUUUUUUCCCUGGUUUUUUGGCUUGAACAUCUUAUUCUCACUCACUAGUAUUCAGUUUUGUAUCUUUUUUAAAAAAAAAUUUGAAGAAAACCGAUUUAGCUCUAAUGGAAAAAAUAUUCCUUUAAGUAAAUAAUCUAGUAUGGUAAUUGGUAAGUUUCUCCCCUAAAAAGAACUUAAUGGUGUAUUCUGUUUUACCAUGAUAUUACUUCAGUUGAUAUUCUUGGAGCAUGAAUUAAUUUGGAAAAUGUGAUAAAUAUUCCUUUUGUUCUUUAACUAAUUCAUCAAAUUGAAUAAUUUUGAUUUUACAAACAAUUUCUUAGGAUUCAUUACUAAAAUAUGUCAUACGUAUUUUUCAAAAAUUGAGAACAUUAAAAUACACUUCCAUUCUCUCAUAAGUAUUUGCAUCAAAAGGGAUCAAGCUAAGAACCUUAACCCAAGCAUCCAACUAGUACGUGGUUCUUGCACAGGCAAGCAGGAGAAUUUAGGAUCGAUCAAAUACUCAAUACCCUGGUAAAGUUGAGCUUCUGAUUCAGACAAGCAGGUGGUUUAGGAAUGGGUCAACUUCAGAAAAUCGACUUCAUUUUAUACUUUAUUCAUCAUCUUGUGAUUAUUAAUCUUUCUUGUAGUAUGAGAUAUUUACUUCUUCUUUUUUUUUUUGUUUGGCUAUUGAACGGACUAGACUUGGUAAUUGAUUAUAACAUCCACAGUUACUUAUGAUGGAAAUAGUAAAAUGUUAUACUUCGAUGGAUUGAGUGAUACGAAGAAAGCUAAUAUAAGUGAGAGUUCUUGGUUCGAAACCUACCGCUUAUAUUAAAAAAAAAAUUAUUAAAAGAAAAGAUGUCAUACUUCAAUCACAAUGAAAGAACUGCAAAUUCAGUGGAUGUUAUACUUCGCCAAUAGUUUGGGGUACACAAAUACAUGGAUUAGUUAUGGAGUCAGUAAACUAUAUGAUUAAAAUGAUAGUGAAAGUGUGAUUAACAAAUUAUCCGAGCAUACUAAUUAUCCGAUUUAGUUACAUGAUUUGUAGAAAUAUAAUCUCAGUGAGUUUGAUCAUGGAAGGCAAGAUUAAAAAAUUACUUUUGAAACACCCAAGUUUAUGAAAUUGAGACUUUAGAACUAUAUGAUUAGAUUACUUCGAAACAUCCCAAGCAUACAUAUGAAAUCGAGCAACUUCAAAACUCGCCUACGCUGUCUUGGUUUGGAUAUCAAGAGCAAUAAAACGUACAUAAAAGCCGCUGAAUUAUUACAUGGGAAAUGUUACUUGGACUCCAUAUUUUGUUAUUUGCACUCCCACCUUUUGUUAUAUUGUAUAAUCUAUAAAUGAAAACUAUAUAAUAAAAAUGAUAGUGGGAUUGCAAAUAACAAAAAAAAGAGUGUAAAUAACAUUUCCCUAUUACAUUGAAGACAAACAAGUAACAACAGGGGAAGGAUGGAUUGGAUAAUUCGAAAAAGAAAAUAUAAGUGACAGGUUCCAAAUUCGAAAAUCUCCUACAAGCACUGUAAACAAAAGGAUUAAUCUUUCCCUACAUUGUCAGCGUUGGAUGAAUGACAACUAUGUAAAAUUUGAAUUUGAAAUUUAACUUUUGCACAGAUGUCAUGAAUCUAAUUGUGAUAGUGUAUAUACUGUCAGUGUAUAUAUAUUUCGGUAACGCAUACACAAAUGCUGCUAGCUACUUAUUGCACCAAUAACAAGCAUACACAAAUGCUGUUGACAUGCACAAAUGCUGCUAACUACUUCCUGCAUCAAUAACAAGCAUACACAAAUGGUGCUGGCUACUUAAUGCUGUUUGACAUACACAGAUGAUGCUAACUACUUUUUGCAUCCAUAACAAACAUGUGGUGCUAACUACGUAUUGCACCAAUGACAAGCAUACACAAAUGCUGUUGACAUAAACAAAUGCUGCUAACCACUUAUUGCAUCCAUAACAAAUGUGUAAGUGUAUUUUAUGGAUAGCUUUUUUUUUUUUUUUAUACAUUGUCAAAGUAUAAUUUUUUUUUUUACACUAACAGCUCUUAGAUCAUAUUAUAUAACAUAAAUUUAAAUUUAAAUUUCGAAUCAUAUAUAUUAGAUAUACAUCCAAAUCUGCUAGUAUAAAAAAUUAUUAUACUGUCAGUGCAUAAAAAGUUAAUCGGUAUUUUAUAUCCAAAAAAAAUUUUAAAUACCAUUUGCUUAUUUUAAUAUUUAACCUAAAACAACUUUUUAUCCCCAGUACCAAUUUAAAAAUAGAUUCCUCCAUUUUUUUUCCUUUUGUAUUUGCAUGUGUAGAGAAAGCUCCUCAAUCAGCAAAUAUUAUUGUUUAUGCAAUUAGCUUGGCACAGAUAGUUUGGACCAGUUUUUCAAUGCAAAUUAUUCACCUUUUAAAGUUAUUAAAGUUUCUUUUCCCAUAAGAAAUGGUUUAAUUUCAUGAAUGAGUGGGGGCAGUGCCCAAGAAAAUUUUAUGAUACGAGUGACUCCACCCCUUUCAAAUUAUGACAUCGUUUGGCAAGCAAGUUUUUGAUUAAAUUUGUCUGUUACAAGUUUUUUUAACAACUUUAACUAUAAUAAUUUCAAAAAAUAAUUUCGAACUUUUUAAACUAUACAUCUCAAAAUAUCCAAAAAAUUAUACACUUUAAAAAUAUUUUCUACAACUUCUACAGUAAGUUACAUUAAAAUUUUAGAUAAACACCCAAAAGACUCACUUGCCAAACAGGGCCUAUGGAUAUGUAAAGUACUAUAAUAUUUGAUAACUAACUAAUUAUUCAAAACAAUGAUUCUGAUUAAUAACUAACUCAUUUUGUACCACGCAAUUUAAAGAAACUUCAAUAACUUGUAUUAUUAAAGAGAAUUUAUGUUGUAGAGAUUUCUUUUUUCUUUUGUUUUUUUUCAUUCUUUAGAUUGACGUCGAUGCUGAUGUUGGAUGUAAGCAAGUAACUAAUUUUGUCUGAUUGUUAUUUGACCUCUUUUGUUAUAAUCAAAUUACCAUUUGACCCCAAUAUUUUUAGCUAUAAUAUUCUAUCCCUUUGAUCAAAAAGAGUUUGAAUGCAGUGAGAAGUUUGCUUGUGCAAUAGCACAAAAUCUCUGUCCUCAGCUAGCAAAUUAAAAGAAAUCUGGCCUCAACUAAGAAAUUAAAAUCUGGCAUCAGCUAAUAAAAGCAAGUAAUCUGGCCUCAACUAAUUAAUGACAGAAAAUUAAAUAAGAAGUCACCGGAGUGUUUGACAGGCCGUGGGUGAAAUGGAGAGCAGGGUAGGACCUAGUACGCGCGUGUGUCGCACGCACUCUGGCAAGCACGUGGAGGCUGAGUUGCUGCUCUACCACUCUUGUUGCGUGAGGAGGCUCGGCUGGAGGCGCGAACUGCUGGGCUUGGUCUCCUGAGGAGCUGGAUCUGCUCACGGUGGAGUCGCACAGGAAGCUGCUGAUGGCUGCUGGUCCGUGCAGCGCGCAGCGUGCUGUGCGCCUGGCCGCUGGGCGCGCAGGAGGCGAGCUGCUGGCACGGGGAGUGCGAGCUGCGCUCGCGCGAGGCUGGGCGCUGGGGUGCAGGCGACGGGCUGGAGGGGGUUGAGCUGAGCUGGAGGACAGAGUGGUGGCUUGCAGGCUGGUAGAGGUGGGCAGCCGCGCGAGGAGAGAGAGAGAUGGGGUGUUGGCGGCGCGCGACUGGGGACGCACUGAAGCAGGCGGCGGCGUGUGAAGAGUGGCGACCCGGUGGACUGCAGCAGCGGCGGCUGAGGUUGACUGCACGGCGGUGGUCGUGGGCUGUGGGAGGAAGCGCAGGUGGGGAUGGCGCAACGGGCUCGCAGGGGAGAGGGCUGCGCGCGAGGGCUGCAGCGUGCGGCUGAUGAAGGAAUAGAAGGAAAAGGGGAAACAGGGGAGCGGUGGAGAAGAAGAAGAAAAAGAAAGAAAGAAAGAAAGAAAAAGAAAAGAAAGAAAGAGAAAGAAAUUUUUUUUUUUUUGUUUUUUUUUUUGGGAAUUUUUAUUUUUAUUUUUUAAUUGAAUUGAGAUUGGAAAAUUCGAUUUUUGAAUACCAAAACUGAAAAUGAAGAAAGAAAUUACUUUUAUUUAAAGAAAGAGAAAAAAAAAAUUUUUUAUUUUUUGAAAGUGAAAAAUUAUUUCCUUUGUUUUUGGGUCAUCAAACAUGGCGUGGGCACGCCACGAUAGAAGCGCAAUGGGCCACUGAACAUUUCGAGAGUUACCUUAGCGGCAGCUUUAACCAAGCGUGCCCUCUCGCGUGGGACGCCAAGAAAUUAAACGCUAUCCUGACAGAGUUAGAAAAGCAUCAAGAGUGACUAAGUACCACGUGAGAAAUCGACAUAAUUAAAAUAAUUAAGCACUAAACAAUAAAACCAAUAUUUGGGUUGCCUCCCAAAAAGCGCCUUUCUUUAAUGUCUUUGGCUAGACAUUAUCAUGUUUUGCUCAUGGAGGAUAAAAUCUUGUGGCUCGUUUCAAUGCUUCAUCUUCAAUGUGAUCCUGGUAACCCUCAUAGAUGGAGUAAUCUUUGAACACACGAGCUACGUGCUUCCAUGGACUAGUUGAUGGCACAAAAUAAUCAAACAUUGAUCGCAAUUCUUCAUCCACUCCUCCAUCAAGAGCAUUCAACGGUUCAAGAUAUUUGACCAUAACUACUCUUAACUCAUUCCUGCCAUGAGACUCAAGAACUUCCGGUAUAACAAAAUCAAUCUCAUUAACAGAAAUCAUAGAGUCAGAGUUAAGAAAAUACGGGUUAGGGAAUGGAGAUGGUGUCACCACAUUUGAUGAUUCUUCACUGGAUUCUUUCACUUGAAUGGGUUGCUGUUGGAGUUCCAUUUCUUCCUUUUCGGCUUCUUUUUCAACUGCAUCUGUACGUCUCUCUUCUUGAAAAUCUUGCAGCUCCUCAUCACUAGUCAGGCGAAUUGCACUCUCAUUUUCAACAAUGGUUUUCGAGGGCAAUUCUUCAAAUUGAGAAGCCAGUCGAUUUAUUCUGGAUGUCAAUAGACACAUUUGAUCUUCCAGAUUACUCAUUGCCUCCUUCAUCAUCUCAUUUCUCCUUUGUGUCUCCUGUUGGAAUUGAUAUGUAUUAAUAGCUAUUGAUUCAACUAUUUCUUCAAGAGACAUACCUGACAUAGAUGAUGAUUCUUGAGACUCAUACGGCUGAAAAUUCAUUGGCCCUGUCGUAUAAUUAUAACUGGAGUUAUCCCACCAUCCUUGAUCAUACCCGUUUGGAUUAGGGUUAUACCACGUUUGAGACCAGGGUGAAAAAUCUCCAUAAUUAUUGGGUGGGGCACUCAGAUUAUCUUGACAUUCGGGGCACAUACCGGUUGAAUGAUCUCUGGCAUAACAAAUUUUACAGGUUGCAGCAGCCAUUCUUUCUCUAAUAGAGUUUAGUGCCUCUGAAUAAGCAAACUUAGCAAAAAAACUAGCCUCAUUGUCUUCCCUGAAAACAAAAUCCAGUCUAUCACCAAAAUACGGAGUGUUAGAAGCCAUAAACUAUAUAAAAAAAAAUAAGAGAAAAAUAAACAAAUAAAAAUAAAAACAAGAUGAACUCAAAAAGAGACAAAUUAAUCUGACACCAGUCCCCGGCAACGGCGCCAAAAAUUGACAGGUGCCGAACCUGUACAAUAAUAAAUACCUACUCGAGAAAAAUACAGAUUUUGUAUAUAGCGGUGAGUAGGAUCGAAUCCACAGGGACUGGGGAUAAUUCGUUUCUUCUAGAGUCCAAAGUAUGGGGGGUUUUGGAUUAAAUGCUAACUAAAUAAAUUAACUGCGGAAAAUAAUUAAUUAAAAGAAAUGAUUGAAGAAACUCUAGCCAAGGGUACACUUCAGAAAUGGUUCAUGCACUGAUCAUUGAUGCAGAAAUAAUUCCAACAUUUAGCAAUAGAUUAGUUAUAGUUGUCAUGCACGCGAUAAACAACCAACCCUUCCUUAAUUUCUCGAUAGCUAAGGUACGACCGUUAGCUAUUUCUCUAACCCAAAAAUAACCCUAGGUACGACCGUAGGAUUUAAUUUCUAGAUUGCAUUAAUAAUUAGAAAGGCCCAAUCCUAACCAACAAACACGCUACGAGGGUUUGUUUAAAUUAGAUCAUAUGCUCCCCUGACAUAAACCCAAUUACGCCAGUUGCUACUGAGGUAGAGAUAACGAACAAUUACGGAUUCAAUUACCCCUAUUUAGCAAAAAUAGCCUAUAUGAAUAAUUAAUUAUUGCGCACUAAUCAAUCAUACACAAGGCCAUAGCAAUUAAAAUCAAGGAACGUAUAAAUACCAAUAAAUGAAGAAAAUAAUUAAAACAGAUUCGAUCUCACAGUAAUUGUCGAACCAAAUCGUCAGUUGUCCCCUUGACUAGAAAAGCUUAACCACGCCUCAUGAGAAAAUCUCCCCGUUGGGGAAUAUUGUCGAAUACCUGGCGUGUGUCAGAGGCCAGUCCAAAGAAAGAAAACUAGAACUAAACUAAAAAACUAAAACUAAAGCCCUAGAUAUCUCUUGCUUCUGUACGUUGUCCCCUUUUAAAGCAACAAAAGAAAGAUGACUAAAAGCUAUCUAGGUGGUCCCCACACAUGUGGACAAAGCCUCCCAGUACUUCUUGUUCCAAGUCUCUCUACGUUGCUUUCUUUUGAAGCCCAAAUGACCAAAUUCCUUUCACUAGCUUGUGGUCCCCCACCAAUUCAAGGGCCCAAGGAUUGAAGCCCUUAGAAGUCUCCAUAUUUUUCACAAAGUCCCUCCUUUUUGGUAGUUUUCUGCUUCAUUCCUGAAAUUGAUUCCAAAUACCAAAUAUGAGUAAAUAUCAGCAAUUAACACAAUAUUUGUCAGGGAUAGAAGGGAAAAUUAAUAAUAAAAAUACUAACAAAUUAUACCCUAUCAGUGAGGUAGCUUAUGAACCUAGAUUGGGGACUGGUCACGACCCUGUGUUGCGUGGAGUAGACCCAGAGGACUGUAUAGCACGAGGGGAGGAAGGCAGUGUGGUGCAGAUGCCUGCUUCAGCAGGAAAUCUCUCAUCGCGAGGUCAGCCUACUAUUGAGGUGGUUCUACCUACCAUCUCAAAUGAUGAUCAGUGUGCGAGGGGUGACUCACUCCAGAUGGUCCGAAAGCACAAGGGCUAUCACUCAAUAGUCCCAACAGAUAGAACCCUCCGCUCUUCAGUACCCAAACCGCAGAAUUCCUUUCAAGCAUUGUCUGAUGAUUAGCUCACUCUUCUGGAACAUAAGAGGUUUGUCCAAACCUUCUCAUUUAAGACGUCUUCGUAGAAUUAUUUCGCAAAAUCAUAUUCAGCUAUUGGUAGUUUGUGAAACUCGAGUAAAUUUUAUGCUUGUGAAAGGUUUUAGGCAAAAACUCCAUUUUAACACUGUAGUUAGUAAUAAUUCUGGCUCUUUAUGGUUGUUUUAUAAUGACACGUUUAAGAUCGUCAUGGUGGGGGAGGGGGUACAGCAUGCCUCGUUUCUUGUUUACCAUAAUUGCCUGCCCAUCCCUUUGACUGUCUCCGUCGUCCAUGCUUUGUGCACGAGGGAGGAGAGACGGGCAUUGUGGAGUGCUCUGAUGAGAGACAAGCCUUUGCAUGAGCCAUGGUUUGUUGGUGGGGACUUUAACGUUGUGGUUGAUGCGGGGGAAAAGGAAGGAGGACUGCCUUUUCGUUUAUCGGAGGCGCUCGAUUUCUUGGACUUCAUGUCCUCUGCGGAGUUGUUUGAUGCUGGUUUCUUUGGUUCAUCGUAUACAUGGUGCAAUAAUUGCAUGGGUCGGGCAAGAAUUUGGAAGCGUUUGGACCGGCUCUUAAUUAAUGCCUCAUGCCAUGAUGCUGGACUCGUAGUGUUCGUCUCCUAUUUAGCUAGGGACCCCUCAGAUCACUCCUCUCUUUUGUUCUCUGUCAGGACACGGGUGGAUGGGAAGCCCCGCCCUUUUUGUUUUAUAAAUGUGUGGACAUCCUAUGUUGGCUUUAGGGAUGUGGUUCAAGCAUCCUGGCAGAAAGGGUAUUCCGGUUUUCCUCUCCAAAUAGUUUGUUCUAAGUUGUCCCGUCUAAAAGCGAAUAUAAAAAGUUGGAAUAAACAGUCCUUUGGUAACAUAUUUGGUAAUACAAGGCGGGCAGAGGAGGUGGUACUUGUAGCGGAGAAGCGGGUAGAGGAGGAUGGGUCAACUGAAACCCAGGAGGAUUUACUGUGACAGCCCCACCUCACCCUAAGACGAACCAAAGGGUUCGGCGUACCGCCUGCCCAACUCUCGCCAGAACUACGGAGUCGAAUCACACAAACCCGAUAUAGCGCACAAACGAAUCCCCAAGAGAACAAUCAGUCGAAAACUACUAAGUUGAGAAGCAUGAGUUCUACACCGUCAGGUACCAUCUCAAAUGAAUACACUGAAUGUACAUGAUAAAACACUUAUAUACAUACAUCGAAAACUUUACGAUUAAAAGCGGGAUACUUCAUUCAAAGACACUUUGUGUUUUGAUUACACAACAGCUAACAAAAGAACGUUUACACCAGCUCAACCCUUUUCUCAAAAUCACGGCUCAAAGUGUGGUUCCCUGUAAGGAAAACAAAGAUAACGGGAAGGGGGUGAGUUUACACUCAAUGAGGUACCAAAAUAAUAGCAAGCAAGAAUCAUGAAAUUUCAUAUUCAAUUAGUCACAUAUGCAAAUCAAAUAAAGAAAUGAACAACACCAUAGAUAGAAAGGAUACGGGUGGCUCUCAGGAGCCAAAUUCCCAUUUGCUUCACCGAAACUUGAUCAAAUAAUUGUUGACACUCCGUCAACUUCCAAAUAAAGUAACCAGUUCAGUCCAGUAGAGCACCACUUUGCACCAAAAUCUCGAUCACCACACAUACCCCUUACCGGGCCCGAACACCUCAACAGAAACAGAAGUGGUAAUACUCGAGUAUACCGGAAUCAAGGGUUUCAAUACCCAAAGAUUCCUAAAACAGACUACUGUGGUUCGUUAUCUAAUCGACCAGACCCUUGCCGGCUUGACUCGAGUAACUAGCCACAGGUAUUGAGCUCAGAGGUCACAAAAAAGUCGUUGGAUAUCAGCCUCCAAACGACGUCCGAACAAACUCAGAUACAGAUAACAGAUUGCACACAGUAAAUCGGCAUACAGACAGAUAAGAGAACGAGUGUGAUAAAGUACACUCUCGUCUCAAACAGAAUAAACAGCUAGGACAGUCAUUCAAAUCACAGAUUGCAAAUACAGAAACCAAGUUAAGCAACAAAUGAGGGGAGUGGUACACUCACCAAUUCAAGUAAAACAAAUUCAAACUUUCCCCCCCGAAGUACUUCCUGGAUCACCAACACAUCCUAAAAUGAUCAAAAUAAAAUAAUUAUGGUUCCUAUGGGAAUGACAUUCACAAAUGAAACUCAACUAUGAGUCGUAUGCCUAACCAAACGAACUACAAAUGCAAGGGUGCAAAACCGUGAUUUUGGAACGAAAAGAUACCAGAGGACCUAGGGUUUGAACGACCCAAAAGCCCUUCAUUUCUACCAAAAGGUAACUCAAACUUAAAAAAACCAAACGGCCUAGAAAAUUGGACAGCAUAUCCCCUACAUAUCCUUACUUUUCCAUCCUGCAAGCAACACCAAUUCAUCUCAAAUCAACCACAUACACAGCAUAGACUCUAAAAUACACCUUUCGGCACAAUAAACACAAUUGAAACUACACUUAUCGGAUUGAAACAAAUUUUAUGGCGUUUCGAAGCCAAAAUAUAUACCUACAUUUCUUAUGAAGACCUUCAAAGCCAAAUCAUGCAUUUUCAUGGUCAAAAAUGAAAAUUUCCACGAAAACAUAAAUCUGUCCGUGAAACAGGGCUCUUGGGCAGUCAAGGGUAUUUCUAUCAGUUCACAUACUACAGUGCUCUGAUUGAGCUGAAAAUUUACAGGUAGCUAGCUAACGUAAUUACCAACAACUUUCAUGUUUUAGGUAAGAGUUGAUUCGGCCUCCAUCAUGGACUAACAGGUUUAGGAAGAAUAGGGUAGGAUGAAACCCUAAACUGGAAAUUCCGCAUAAACUCUGAAAUUUUCCGCAAACAACCGCAACUAACAUAUAAAAGCUUCAUUUUACACCAUAUCAAGCUAUCAUUCAUGGCCAACCAAUAGCUAUCUUGUAAAAUCAGAAAAAAAAACACAAAUAAAAUCUGAAAUUUAACUAACUCUACCUCAAACCACAAAAUCUUCCAUAAACUAGCAUAUUUAGUCACUACAAACUACUAAUUGACCAUUAUUAGGAACAAAAGUGAGUUUCCAAGCAAAAUACCUUAACACCCCAAGAAAGGUAGUAGCUUAGAUUUCUUUCUUCCAAAACAACUCGACCAAGUCCUUGAAACACCCUUAGCAAGUCAUUUUUAUGGACAAAUUCAAGAUUUAAUCGGUUGAUUUGCAAGAUCCAUGCAAGAAAUGAAAGAUAUAAGUUGAGGGUUUUCUUUCUUUUCCUCCCUAAGAGGUUCGGCCAAGAUGAGUAGAAAUAAGAUGAUUUUUGGGUCAAAAUUGAGGUAUUAGUAAAGGUGAGAAAAGUAGUCAAAGUCUAAGUUCAAAUAGGAAAGUGACACCUAGCACCUUUAGGGUUUAAACUUAUCCUUUUGUCUCUCCAAAAUUAAUCAUCUAAAUAACUUCUAAUUAUCUCUUAACACCUAGUAAAUUAAUUCCAGUAUACAAAACGUAACCUAAUUGGUGGAAUUUAUCGCACUUAACGCCACUAGCGGGUCCCACGUCCAAUAUACACUUUUUACUUCUCAUGAACUAACUUAUACUAGAAAAAUGAUUCAAAAACUAUUUUGACUUAUAAAAAUCUCAAAAAAAUCAAUAUAAUAGGGUAUAACGAAGAAAAUGCAUGCGAGAAAAUAAAAUAAAAUAAUAUAAAAUAAGAAAAAUUUACGGGUCCUCACACUCUCUCCCCCUUAAGGAAAUUUCGUCCGCGAAAUUUUCUUCACACGGAAUCUAUCAAAAUCUGCACUAGACGGCGGAUCAUACCUUCUAUGUUCUCAGACGAGUCAGAGACCUGAAGUUGCUCUAGGGAAUUCACCCAAGCUGGUACUUUCAAUCCAGUCCCUUUCCCUUUUGUAUGUCCAGGGUUAGUCUUGCUUGGUUGCUGGGUUCUUUUCCCUUGGCGUAGUACAACUGGGCAGUUAGCAAUCCGAUGAUUGGCACCCCCACAACGCAAGCAUUUUCCCCUUCUUUUCCAACAAUUCACCUCAGUAUGAUUGAUUUUUCCACAAUAGCCACAAGAGAGGUAUGGAAUUGAGAUUUGAUCUCUUGGUGAGGCCCUUCUCGGAGUAUCUUCUUUAGGUGACCCCAAAAUUCUCACACCACUAGUUCCCCUACCUACCUUAGCGGGUGGCCUACCUGGAUCACCUUGUUCUUGCCUAUGAAUUUCACUAAGUGCACCCCUUUUCUUUGCAUGGAAGGUCUUCACCUGUGCACCUGAAAUUUUUAGCCUUUGGCUUUUCUCUGGCACUUCCGUAAAUGUAUUAAUUUGUGGCCUUGCUAAAGUCUCUGCUAAAAUCCCUUCGCAUUGCUUUUUCAGUCCUAUGUUCUCGUGCAAUAACUCAAUUUUCUCUGAGUAUUCAUGUUUCCAUCGCUCUUCCCAGUACUCGGCUAAUCUCUUUUGAACCUCUACUUCGUUUCGAAGCAUCUCGAUUUCCUUAUACAUACCAACCAAGUGUGCCAUCUCACAGUUUCGGUGGAACUCAAGUGAUAGCCUGCCAGGCAAGUUAAUGAAUCAUAAUAAGUAACUAGGUAUAAGUGGCAAUCUAACCAUAUAACUGUUAAGUUCCUUUGCUCCAAAUUUAACUACGGAAGAUUAAACUUAGAUAUGCUCAAAUGAAAUAGGCGGGAAAGUAGAACAUAGUUAAGGCAAUAUCUUAAGAUACUAUACCACGUAUCACGUAUAUACAUAUUGAAACCUUAAAGCAUACUUCGUAUAUCAAGAGUGUCACACCUUAUGCCACAUUUUUGUUUCCAAAAUCCCUCUACCUACUUCCAAAACUCUCAAUCUCGGUACGCUACUAAUCAAGCCAAGUUCAUACGAGAACAUUAGUAGAUAGGUAUCAAGGAAUUAUAGGCAAGGGUAGUUCGUCGAGGACCAAUCUACGGUUAUCAGAUAUCCAAAGCGAGGUAGAGACCUAGAUCAUUGUAGUCAGACCAUCUCAAAUCAAAUAAACACUUAUCAAUUCCUCACAGUCAUAGCAAAAGAAAACAGGUCUUAGGUGUGAAUUCCACAAUGUACCCUGCAAUCUAGUCACCUUCUAGAAAACCCUAGCCAGACUAGUAUGAGAUUAGUCCAUGAUAACACUUUCAGAUCCAACCCCCUCGAUUAGGUUAAUUACUAGGUCCAAUAUACAGAUCUUCCGUGCCUUGUUCUUGGCCAUCAAGACUUACCUCAAAUUCAAUCAAGAGACAGACCCUUAUUCUAGCGCUCUCCACCCUUUGGUACUCAGGUCCAAGAAUCUAAAACAAGAUAAUUCACAAUUCGAGCCAGCCGGUCCCAAGAGUACAUCAUCCAUAUUAAAGAUUCCUACCCGACAUACAUAACUAUUGUCCCCAAAGUACCAGAAAAAAGGGUUAAACCUAGAACGUUUCAUGAUUCAUAACUUAUGCUCAAAAGAGUCCUUAAUCCUUUACACCCAUUCACGAAAUUAGGAUCAUAACACCAUUUGGCCCAAACUCACUCCGCGCAGAGAUCACUCGAAAUGGUUCUGAUACCACCUGUGACAGCCCCAUCUCACCCUAAGGUGAACCAAAGGGUUCGGCGGACCGCCUGCCCAACUCUCACUAGGACUACAGAGUCGAAUCACACAAACCCGAAAUAGCACACAAACAAAUCCCCAAGAGAACAAUCAAUCGAAGACUACUAAGUUGAGAAGCAUGAGUUCUACACCGUCAGGUACCAUUUCAAAUGAAUACACUGAAUGUACAUGAUAAAACACUUAUAUACAUACAUUGAAAACUUUAUGAUUAAAAGCGGGAUACUUCAUUCAAAGACACUUAGUGUUUUGAUUACACAACAGCUAACAAAAGAACGUUUACACCAGCUCAACCCUUUUAUCAAAAUCACGGCUCAAAGUGUGGUUCCUUGUAAGGAAAACAAAGAUAACGGGAAGAGGGUGAGUUUACGCUCAAUGAGGUACCAAAAUAAUAACAAGUAAGAAUCAUGAAAUUUCAUAUUCAACUAGUCACAUAUGCAAAUCAAAUAAAAAAUGAACAACACCAUAGAUAGAAAGGAUACGGGUGGCUCUCAGGAGCCAAAUUUCCAUUUGUUUCAUCGAAACUUGAUCAAAUAAUAGUUGACACUCCGUCAACUUCCAAAUAAAGUAACCAGUCCAGUCCAGUAGAGCACCACUUUGCACCAAAAUCCUGAUCACCACACAUACCCCUUACCAGGCCCGAACACCUCAACAGAAACAGAAGUGGUAAUACUCGAGUAUCCCGGAAUCAAGGGUCUCAAUACCCAAAGAUUCCUAGAACAGACUACUGUGGUUCGUUAUCUAAUCGACCAGACCCUUGCCGGCUCGACUCGAGUAACUAGCCACAGGUGUUGAGCUCAGAGGUCACAGAAAGGUCGUUGGAUACCAGCCUCCAAAUGACGUCCGAACAAACUCAGAUACAGAUAACAGAUUGCACACAGUAAAUCCGCAUACAGACAGAUAAGAGAAUGAGGGUGAUAAAGUACACCCUCUUCUCAAACAGAAUAAACAGAUAGGACAGUCAUUCAAAUCACAUAUUGCAGGUACAGAAACCAAGUUAAGAAACAAAUGAGGGGAGUGGUACACUCACCAGUUCAAGUAAAAUAAAUUCAAACUUUCCCCCCCGAAGUACUUCCUGGAUCAUCAGCACGUCCUAAAAUGAUCAAAAUAAAACAAUUAUGGUUCCUAUGGGAACGACAUUCACAAAUGAAACUCAACUAUGAGUCGUAUGCCUAACCAAACGAACUACAAAUGCAAGGGUGCAAAAGCGUGAUUUUGGAACGAAAAGAUACGAGAGGAUCUAGGGCUUGAACGACCCAAAAGCCCUUCACUUCUACCAAAAGGCAACUCAAACUUAAAGAAACCAAACGGCCUAGAAAAUUGGACAGCAUAUCCCCUACAUAUCCUUACUUUUCCAUCCUGCAAGUAACACCAAUUCAUCUCAAGUCAACCACAUACACAGCAUAGACUCUAAAAUACAUCUUUCGGCACAAUAAGCACAACUGAAACUACACUUAUCGGAUUGAAACAAAUCUUAUGGCGUUUCGAAGCCAAAACAUAUACCUACAUUUCUUAUGAAGACCUCCAAAGCCAAAUCAUGCAUUUUCAUGGUCAAAAAUGGAAAUUUCCACGAAAACGUAAAUUUGUCCGCAAAACAGGGCUCUUGGGUAGUCAAGGGUAUUUCGAUCAUUUCACAUACUAAAGUACUCCGAUUGAGCUGAAAAUUUAUAGGUAGCUAGCUAACACAAUUACCAACAACUUUUAUGUAUUGGGCAAGAGCUGAUUCGGCCUCCAUCAUGGCCUAACAGGUUCGGGUAGAAUAGGGUAGGAUGAAACCCUAAACUGAAAAUUCCGCAUAAACUCUGAAAUUUUCCGCAAACAUCCGCAACUAACAUAUAAAAGCUUCAUUUUACACCAUAACAAGCUAUCAUUCAUGGCCAACCAAUAGCUAUCUUGUAAAAUCAGAAAAAAAAACACAAAUAAAAUCUGAAAUUUAACUAACUCUACCUCAAACCACAAAAUCUUCCAUAAACUAGCAUAUUUAGCCACUACAAGCUACUAAUUGACCAUUAUUAGGAACAUAAGUGAGUUUCCAAGCAAAAUACCUUGACACCCCAAGAAAGGUAGUAGUUUAUGUUUCUUUCUUCCAAAACAACUCCACCAAGUCCUUGAAACACCCUUAGCAAGUCAUUUUUAUGGACAAAUUCAAGAUUUAAUCGGUUGAUUUGCAAGAUCCAUGCAAGAAAUGAAAGAUAUAAGUUGAAGGUUUUCUUUCUUUUCCUCCCUAAGAGGUUCGGCCAAGAUGAGUAGAAAUAAGAUGAUUUUUGGGUCAAAAUUGAGGUAUUAGUAAAGGUGAGAAAAGUAGUCAAAGUCUAAGCUCAAAUCGGAAAGUGACACCUAGCACCUUUAGGGUUUAAACUUAUCCUUUUGUCUUUUCAAGAUUAACUGUCUAAGUAACUUCUAAUUAUCUCUUAACACCUAAUAAACUAAUCCCGGUAUACAAAACGUUACCUAAUUGGUCGAAUUUAUCGCACUUAACGCCACUAGCGGGUCCCACGUCUAAUAUACACUCUCUAUUUCUCAUGAACUAACUUAUACUAGAAAAAUAAUUUAAAAACUAUUUUCACUUAUUUUCACUUAUAAAAAUCUCGAAAAAAUCAAUAUAAUAGGGUAUAAUAAAGAAAAUGCAUGCGAGAAAAUAAAAUGAAAGAAUAUAAAAUAAGAAAAAUUUACGGGUCCUCACACUUACAGCGUGCAAAUGUUGAGUGGCGGCGGUGCUUGGUUGUGGAGGAGAAUUUUUGGAGGCAAAAAUUGAAGGUCCGAUGGCUAGAUUUGGGGGAUAAGAAUACUAAGUUCUUUCACUCAGUAGUUAACCAGAGGAGAUUACAAUCAUUUGUUCAUCGGAUCCAAGAUGAGCAAGGCAACUGGAUUGAUUCAGAGGAUGGCAUUGGUGCAGAUGUUGUAUGGUAUUUCUCAUCACUCUUCUCGGCAGUGCCUAUCUCUUCUUGGGAUUUAUCACCCAUUAUCCCCAAAUUAAUUCAGGAUUCUGAUAAUGAGUUGUUGGAGGGAGUUCCUGCGGUGGAGGAGGUGCGACACAUGAUAUUUUCUAUGGAUGGGGAUAGUGCUGCGGGCCCUGAUGGGUAUCCAGGUAAGUUUUUCACGUUUGCUUGGGACAUCAUUGCUCAGGACAUUUAUAAUGCUGUUGUUAGUUUCUUCUGUGGAGAGGAAGUGCCAAGGAGGGUUGCAACAACAUUCAUUGUGUUAAAUCCUAAGGUGCAGAACCCAGCUUCUUUUGCACAGUUUCGACCUAUAAGCCUGUGCAACUUCCUCAACAAGGUGUUAUCCCGAAUUCUUGCAGAUAAAUUAGCUCCAUUGCUGCCCCGUAUUAUUUCUCCUAAUCAGAGUGGUUUUGUCCGGGGACGUCAAAUGUCUUAUAACUAUUUACUUGCUCAGGAGGUGAUUUCGGGGAUUGAAAGGAAAAAUAGGGGAAAAAUGUUGCAUUGAAAUUGGAUAUGACAAAGGCCUAUGACAGGGUCUCAUGGAUCUUCCUGAUUAAUGUCUUACGGGCAUUUGGUUUUGGCGAAAGGUGGAUAGAUAUGGUUUGGCGUUUGAUAUCAAAUCCAUGGUUCUCGGUUCUUCUUAACGGGAAUCCUUGUGGCUUUUUCCCAGCUUCGCGAGAGCUCCGGUAGGGGGACCUGCUAUCCCCUUCCUUGUUUAUUUUAGGAGCAGAGGUCCUAUCUCGUAUGUUAAACCAAUUGUUGCAGUGCCCUGGAUUUUGUGGGUUCAAGGUGCCUAGGGCUUGUCCUUCUAUUACUCACUUGGGUUUUGCAGAUGAUAUUCUUAUCUUUUCUAGUGCCUCGACGACUUCCUUGAAACUGCUUAUGGAGACGCUGGUAAGGUAUGAAAGUAUCUCAGGACAAAGUAUAAAUACUGCCAAGAGUGAAUUUAUGGUUCACUCGACGUUGUCUCGGGGCAGGAGAGCUUUAAUCCAGCGAAUCACGGGCUUUUCCAAAAAGGAGUUUCCGGUACGCUACCUUAGUUGCCCACUAUUUGUCAGGAGGCAAAAGAAGGAUUUCUUUCAGGACUUGAGCAAUAUGGUGUACUCUAAGAUUAGUUCUUGGAAGAAUCGAUUGUUGUCUCCAGGAAGUAAGGUUGUUCUUAUCAAAUAUGUGUUGUCCUCGAUCCCUCUUCAUUUACUGGGUAUGGUUCAUCCCCCGAAGUCAACGCUGGUCAUAAUUGAAAGGCUUUUUGCUAACUUCCUUUGGGGAUCUGCUGAGGGUAUAGCCAAACACCACUGGAUUCGCUGGAGGGACCUUUGCGCUGCUAAAGAGGAGGGCGGGUUGGGCUUCCGAUCCUUGUUCGAUGUGGUUAGGGCUUUCUCUGUGAAGUUGUGAUGGAGAUUUCGACAGAAGUCGUCUCUGUGGGCUAGUUUCAUGAUGGCGAAGUAUGCUGCUCAUGCUCACCCAAGUAUGGUAGAUGGCUCCGUGAGGGCUUCAUCCACGUGGCGCCGGAUGCUUCAGGUGCGGGAGGUGGCUGAGCUGUACAUUACUUUUGUUAUUAGAUCGGGGAGGUCACAUUUCUAGUUUGAUAAUUGGCUCAGUUCUAGGCCGCUGUCCUCGCGGUUGGCAAGUGUUUCUGAUCACAGGAUAUCCGACUUCUUCUUAAAUGGCAGAUGGAACUACCAACUACUUGCGAAAUGGGUGCCUGCGGACAUAGUAGCUGAGAUCGCCCAAUUUACCCUCCCGCGGAUUGUGGAGGAUGACGAGGACGUUAUGGUCUGGCCUCCCUCGCAAUCUGGGGCAUUCACGGUAAGUAAAGCUUUCGAGUUGGUGCGUAGGCAUGUGCCGAGGUCUUUUAUCUUUUCUCAGGUAUGGCAUCCGGUUGUUCCGCUUAAAAUUUCAUUCUUUAUGCUUCGACUAUUGCGACAUCGGUUGCCACUGGAUUCUACGAUAUGUAAAUUUGAUAUUUCGGGUCCCUCAAAGUGUUUUUGUUGUUCUGAAGCUAGUGUCGAGACUCUAGAUCAUCUAUUUUGUGGGGGUGAGGUAGCCGGUGCAGUAUGGCAAUUUUUUGGUGCUCCUGCGGUAAUUUUGUAUGUGGGUGCCUCGGUACGGGAGUACAUGGGUAGUUGGUGGUUUAAAUCGGGUAUGAAUGAGUUCCUACAGUUUACUCACACGGUUAUGCCAUCUUUGAUCUGCUGGAAUUUUUGGAAAGUUAGGAACAAAGCGCGGUUCGAAGGGGUCAAUUACACUCCACUAGUGACAGGUGCCGAACCUGUGCAAUAAUAAAAACCUACUCGAGAAAAAUACAGAUUUUGUAUAUAGCGGUGAGUAGGGUCGAAUCCACAGGGACUGGGGAUAAUUCGUUUCUUCUAGAAUCCAAAGUAUGGGGGGUUCUUGGAUUAAAUGCUAACUAAAGAAAUUAAAUGCAGAAAAUAAUUAAUUAGAAGAAAUAACUUAGAGAAACUCUAGCCAAGAAUACACUUCAGAAAUGGUUCACGCACUGAUCAUUGAUUCAAAGAUAAUUCCAACAUUUAUUACUAGAGUGGUUAUAGUUGUCAUACACGCGAUAAACAACCAACCUUUCCUUACUUUCUCGAUAGUUAAGGUACGACCGUUAACUAUUUCUCUAACCCAAAAACAAUCCUAGGUACGACCGUAGGAUUUAAUUUCUAGAUUGCAUUAAUAAUUAGAAAAGCCCAAUCCUAACUAACAAACACGCUACGAGGGUUUGUUUAAGUUAGAUCGUAUGUUUCCCUGACAUAAACCCAAUUACGCCAGUUGCUACUGAGAUAGAGAUAACGAACAAUUACGGAUUCAAUUACCCCUAUUUAGCAAAAUAGCCUAUGUGAAUAAUUAAAUAUUGCGCACUAAUCAAUCAUCCACACGAGCUAUAACGGUUAAAAGCAGGAAACAUAUGAAUACCAAUAAAUGAAGGAAGCAAUUAAAAUAAAUUAGAUCUCACAGUAAUUGUUGAACCAUAUCUUCAGUUGUCCCCUUGACUAGAAUUGAGAAGCUAGUUCUCCAUUAAUGGAGAACCAGCUGUGCAAAAGAGCUAUUUGAAGUUUACAAGAUUGUUCCUGGCCAAAAUCGGCCAACUAGCCCCGGAAUUAAAAAGUAAUAAGAACAAAGCUCUUUUAUUUCUGCCGUGAAAAGAAGAUCCGAAUUUGUUGCUGGCUGAAGUCUUUAUCACGCGGGAUCCGGCUCUUUCUCUUCUUUGUAUUUCGUUCCUCCCAAAUUAGCCAAAGCCCAAAUACAAAGGUCCACCACCGUGGCUUUCUCUCGAUGGUCCCCACCUAGCAAAGCCAAACGGAAAUUCAUGCCAAGCCAAGCAGACCUACUAGGAGUCUAAUACUUCCCUCUUUUUCCUUUUGCUAGCCACGAAAUUGAAGGAAUUGAUUUUCCUAAUUUUUAGCUUUUUGAAACCAAAUAGACUUCCUCCUACUGUUCCGUUAAUAAUCCACGUAGACUCCCUUUUGAAUUAGAAAACUCUUGAAAAAUCACAUCUUUUAUCUCUUUUUGCUCCACCUUCCUACAAUUAGUACCAAAUACCAAAUAUAAGUAAAAUCAAUCAAUUAAAAUAAUGUUUGGCUAAAAUCUAGGGAAAAAUAAUUAUAAAUUUAGCAACAAAUUAUGGCCUAUCAAUUUCCCCCACACCUAAACCAUGCUUGUCCUCAAGCAUGAAAACAACAAAUCAAAUAAUCAAAUUCAAUCAAUGGUAUUAUUCAAAUCUUCUAUUGCCAAGAUACAAUUAAAACACAUGUUAAGUAUUAGUGGCAAUUUUCAAGAAAUAUCUCUCCAACUAGCUUUCAAGAUCAAGGAUUCUUUCAAUUUAUGACUAACUAAUCUAAGAAUAUAAAAUAUUCAACCAGCAUCCAUAAGCAAAUGGUUCAACUAUUAAGCAAAAUCUCAACAUUAAAAUUCAAGGAUCAGCGGGUUAACAAUUCAUUCAAACACUUCCAUAUUUUUCACUAUUAGCACAUAUUUUUUUUCUAGAAUAUCCCCACACAUGAAUGAUGAAUUUUUUUUUAGGGGGAACGCUUAGUUUUUAGCCAUUCAAGCUUUUUGACGCGAACUCCGACAUUGGCCAUAUGAAGGAGCCCGGUUACUCAGCCAUCAUCGUUUAAAAACCACAUACUCAUAGCUAUCGUCGCUUUUUGACGCGAAAGUCGACAUUUGUGGUGAAGACUCCCGGUUACUAGGCAACGAUACUAGCGGAGUAUAGCCUAAUAUUAUUCAUAAAUAAGCACCAAAAAUAAAAUUAAAUACCACACAAACCCGCUUCAUUUCUUAAACAUGGAGAACUAAAAUUAAUAGUUGAACCAAUUUGCACAAAAAAAAAAUGCUAGACAAAUAUUUACAAUACUUAGAAAAGUUAACCAAAAAGUGCAAACGUCACAAAAUCUCAAAUAUUCGCCAAAGAGAUACCCUUAAAAUCAACCAUGUCAUACUCAACACCUUAAAGUGUAAAAUCUUAGCAAUAGAAAAAUUUGAGACAUCUAACCAUCGUUUAUUAGGAAUAAUCACAAAUAAGCACAAAGAUAGGCAAAAAUUGGACAAAAUUUGACAAAGUCAAACAAAAAAUUCCAACAAAAAUGCCUACACUUGCACUUUUUCAAUAAAAAACCAAUAUACUACCCCCCCACACCUAAAUCUUGCAUUGCCCUCAAUGUAAGCAAAGAAAGAGCAAAACAGAGAUAUUGGGGCAACGACACUUCCCUUAAAACGGAGGAGGGCAGAACUGAACUACGGCUGGAGAGGGAAAGGCGGGCGGAGACCCACGUGAUAGAGAUGCUGUGCUCAAUUCUGGGCCAUCCCGCCCAUGUGACGCUCCAUCCGCUCCAUACGAGUGUCCAUUUGCUCUUGCCCUUAUUUUUUGGUUUAGUCAUUGGAAAUCAGAGGGCAAGGUGGAGGCAAGGAAAUGGAAUUCCAAAGAGGUCAACAAACAGCCAACAAAGCAAAUGACAACUAAAUACAGCUUCCAAUCACAGACAAGUGCAGAAACGGCCGAUGAACACACCCUCAAGAAUUAAUUAAACCUGUCAGCAGCAAAAUUUUCCCCAAAUACCACAAAUUCAACCCAAAAAUCAAUUAAUUAGGUAAACACAGCAAUUUUUCCCAAAAAUUAAUUAAACAGGUAGUCAGAGUAAAAACUUUCCCCAAAUAUCACUGGUUGGGCACAACGUUAACCAAAUAAUCAACAAUCAAUCCACAGAUAUGCCACAGCACCCAAACAAGCACAAAUUUUCUGUCCUCAGCUAGCAAAUCAAAAAUCUGGCCUCAGCUAAGAAAUUAAAAUCUGGCAUCAGCUAAUAAAAGCUAGUAAUCUGGCCUCAGCUACUUAGAGACAGAAAAAUAAAGAAAGAAUUCACCGGAGCUUUGAAUGGCUGUGGGUGAAAUGGAGGGCAGGGGAGGACCCAGCACCGUGCAUGCGUCGAACGCGCGCUGGCAAGCACGCGGAGGUCACGCGCUGUGGGCGCUGCUGCGGCUGAGUUGCUGCUCGAUCUGCCUGGAGGUGAACUGGAGCUGGAGAUUGAGCGAAAGGGGCAACUACGGCUGAGUCGCGUAGAGGGAGGCACGCGACUGGUGGUCCGCGCGCACGGCGGCGCGUAAAAGCUUUUUUUUUUUUUUUUUUUUUUUUUUACUUAAGGAACCUCUGAUUUAGGCGUGGGCACGCCUAACUGCCCCUAGUCUUUUGACCAUCCGUUGAAAUUUUUUUUUUUUUUUUUUAUCCUUUAGCGUGACCACUUAGCAUGGGCACGCCUAACUGCUGUAGAGUCCGCAGAUCCUGAACGAAAAUUUUUUUCCCUCAGGCGUGACCACCUGUGUGGGCACGUCUAACUGCUAUAGAGUCCGCAGAUCCUGAACGAAAAUUUCUUUCCCUCAGGCGUGACCACCUGGUGUGAGCACGUCUAACUUCCACUUUCCUGCCACCAAGCAACAAAUCAUUAAAUGCAACUAACACUUAACAAAAACUCCAAAAACAUAAGAAAAUUAAAACAAAAGCCUUGGGUUGCCUCCCAAGCAGCGCCUUUCUUUAAUGCCUUUGGCUAGACAUUGUCCUGUUUAUUCAUGGAGGAUAAAAUCGCGUAACUCGCUUCAGUGCUUCAUCUUCUAUGUGAUCCUGAUAGCCCUCGUAAAUAGAGUAAUUCUUGAGCACACGAGCUACGGUCUUCCAUGGACCAGUAGAUUGCGCCAAACAACCAAGUAAUGACCUUAAAUCUUCAUUCACUCCUCCAUCACAAGCACUUAUUGGUUUGAGAUAUUUUGCCAUCGUGACUCUUAACUUGUUCCUGUCAUGAAACUCAAAAUUUUCUGGUAUAAUAAAAUCAAUCUCACUAACAGAAAUUAAAGAAUAAGAGUCAGGAAAAUAUUGAUCAAAAAAUGGAGGAGAUGUCACCGCAUUUGGAGAUUGUUCACUGGAUUCAUUCACUUGAACCAUUUGAUGUUGGGGUCUCAAUUCUUGCGCUUCAACUUUCUUUUCAACUGCAUCUUUAGAUUCUUCUCCUUGAGACCCUUGCAAUACCAUGUCCUUUGUCAGAAUAAUUGCACUCUCAUCUUCCUCAUGGUUGAUAAUAGUCGGUGAGGGCAAUUCUUCAUAAAUUGGAGAAAUCAAUUUGCUCAUUUUAGAUGCCCAUUCACGCCUUCCUUCUUUCAUCUCUUCACUCAUCUUUUGUGUCUCCUGUUGAAGUUGAUGUACCUCCUGUUGAAUUUGAUAUGUGUUAGUAGCUAUUAAUUCAACUAUUUCUUCAAGAGACAUACCUGACAUGGAUGACGGUUCUUGAGACUCUAGCUGUUGAAAAUCUAGUGGCCCUGUUGUAUAAUUAAACUGGAGUUAUCCCACCAUCCUUGAUCAUACCCGUUUGGAUUAGGGUUAUACCACGUUUGAGACCAUGGUGAAAAAUCUCCAUAAUUAUUGAGUGGGACACUCAGAUUAUCUUGAUAUUCGGGGCACAUACCGGUCGAAUGAUCCCUGGCAUAACAAAUUUCACAGGUUGCAGCAGCCAUUCUUUCUCUAAUAGAGUUUAGUGCCUCUAAAUAUGCAAACUUAGAAAAAAAAUCAGUCUCAUUGCCUUCCUCGGAAACAAAAUCCAGUAAAUCACCAAAAUACGGAGUGUUAGAAGCCAUAAACUAUAUAAUAAAAAAUAAGAGAAAAAUAAAUAAAUAAAAAUAAAAACAAGAUGAACUCAAAAAGAAACAAAUUAAUCUGGCACCAGUCCCCGGCAACGGCGCCAAAAAUUGACAGGUGCUGAACCUGUGCAAUAAUAAAAACCUACUCGAGAAAAAUACAGAUUUUGUAUAUAGCGGUGAGUAGGGUCGAAUCCACAGGGACUGGGGAUAAUUCGUUUCUUCUAGAAUCCAAAGUAUGGGGGGUUCUUGGAUUAAAUGCUAACUAAAGAAAUUAAAUGCAGAAAAUAAUUAAUUAGAAGAAAUAACUUAGAGAAACUCUAGCCAAGGAUACACUUCAGAAAUGGUUCACGCACUGAUCAUUGAUUCAAAGAUAAUUCCAACAUUUAUUACUAGAGUGGUUAUAGUUGUCAUACACGCGAUAAACAACCAACCUUUCCUUACUUUCUCGAUAGUUAAGGUACGACCGUUAACUAUUUCUCUAACCCAAAAAUAAUCCUAGGUACGACCGUAGGAUUUAAUUUCUAGAUUGCAUUAAUAAUUAGAAAAGCCCAAUCCUAACUAACAAACACGCUACGAGGGUUUGUUUAAGUUAGAUCGUAUGUUUCCCUGACAUAAACCCAAUUACGCCAGUUGCUACUGAGAUAGAGAUAACGAACAAUUACGGAUUCAAUUACCCCUAUUUAGCAAAAUAGCCUAUGUGAAUAAUUAAAUAUUGCGCACUAAUCAAUCAUCCACACGAGCUAUAACGGUUAAAAGCAGGAAACAUAUGAAUACCAAUAAAUGAAGGAAGCAAUUAAAAUAAAUUAGAUCUCACAGUAAUUGUUGAACCAUAUCUUCAGUUGUCCCCUUGACUAGAAUUGAGAAGCUAGUUCUCCAUUAAUGGAGAACCAGCUGUGCAAAAGAGCUAUUUGAAGUUUACAAGAUUGUUCCUGGCCAAAAUCGGCCAACUAGCCCCGGAAUUAAAAAGUAAUAAGAACAAAGCUCUUUUAUUUCUGCCGUGAAAAGAAGAUCCGAAUUUGUUGCUGGCUGAAGUCUUUAUCACGCGGGAUCCGGCUCUUUCUCUUCUUUGUAUUUCGUUCCUCCCAAAUUAGCCAAAGCCCAAAUACAAAGGUCCACCACCGUGGCUUUCUCUCGAUGGUCCCCACCUAGCAAAGCCAAACGGAAAUUCAUGCCAAGCCAAGCAGACCUACUAGGAGUCUAAUACUUCCCUCUUUUUCCUUUUGCUAGCCACGAAAUUGAAGGAAUUGAUUUUCCUAAUUUUUAGCUUUUUGAAACCAAAUAGACUUCCUCCUACUGUUCCGUUAAUAAUCCACGUAGACUCCCUUUUGAAUUAGAAAACUCUUGAAAAAUCACAUCUUUUAUCUCUUUUUGCUCCACCUUCCUACAAUUAGUACCAAAUACCAAAUAUAAGUAAAAUCAAUCAAUUAAAAUAAUGUUUGGCUAAAAUCUAGGGAAAAAUAAUUAUAAAUUUAGCAACAAAUUAUGGCCUAUCAAUUUACCUAAAUCAUGCUUGUCCUCAAGCAUGAAAACAACAAAUCAAAUAAUCAAAUUCAAACAAUGGUAUUAUUCAAAUCUUCUAUUGCCAAGAUACAAUUAAAACACAUGUUAAGUAUUAGUGGCAAUUUUCAAGAAAUAUCUCUCCAACUAGCUUUCAAGAUCAAGGAUUCUUUCAAUUUAUGACUAACUAAUCUAAGAAUAUAAAAUAUUCAACCAGCAUCCAUAAGCAAAUGGUUCAACUAUUAAGCAAAAUCUCAACAUUAAAAUCUUUUCGAAGGGCGGUUCGAAGGGGUCAAUUACACUCCACUAGCUAUCUGUGGUUUUAUUCUCGAUGAUGUACGAAAUCUUUUCUAUCUGAAGUUCCCGAGAGUCUCUUGGGCCCUUCCGACAUGGCAUGCAUUCUACGAUUCCCUCGGUUCUCGUCGCGGUCAGGAGUCUUUCAGACUGGUCAAGUGGUCGAGGCCGCUAAUGUGAGAGCUUAAACUCAACAUGGAUGGCUGCUCCAGGGGCAAUCCAGGACGGGCAGGAGGUAGUGGUAUCAUACGGAAUGGUGAGAGCAAGCUCCUGCUCGCCUUUUCCACAUUUGUUGGGACCUGUACUAGCAUCCAGGCUGAGGCAAGGGCCCUUCUCUUUGGGAUAAACUUGUGCAUUUCUUGUGGCUAUGUGAGAGUGCACGUGGAGAUGGAUUAUCUGGUUCUCGUUAAAAUAUUGCAGCAACAAAUUCGAUGCCCGUGGAGUAUUGAUAUGGAAAUCCGGUCCCUCCUUCAGCUGAUGCCCCAUGUCGCUAGCAUCACUCAUUGCUUCCGAGAGGGUAAUCAAGUGGCUGAUAGACUAUCUAAUAUUGGUUGUGACGAAGGUUGUAACAGAACUUAUCAUCAUCUUUCCGAGCUCCCUACUCAAGCCCGAGGGGCAUUUAGACUAGACAAGUUUGGUCUCCCUUCCCUUCGAAAAUGCUAGGUUCCCCAUUCAUUUAUUACAUGUAAUGUCCUCUUGGGAUGUUCGGUCUUUUCCCCCUCUAGAACUGGCAAAUUGCUUGAAGGAAUAAAAUCAAUAUAAAAAAAAACUCCUUGACAGGUAAAUACAUCUUUUUUGUUGAAGUAAAUCGAAAUCGGUUAACUAAACGCUUACAUCCAUUCGAUUUUUUUUUUUAUUUAUAAUUAGUUUCUUCAGAGAAUUUUACAGCCUAAUGAUUGAUAUGCUUCCUUUGAAAAUGAAAUCUGGUACGCAGGUACAAUACCACCAGAGAUGGGUAACCUUUACCAACUCGAGAAUCUUCAGUUACCUUAUAAUGGCUUGAAUGGCUCCAUUCCCCCUGGGCUCUUCAACCUCUCAGCAUUGCAGAAUAUUGACCUUGCAUUUAAUCUUCUAUCAGGAAAUCUUCCGCGGGAUCUAGGAUACAGACUGCCCAAGUUAUUAUUCAUAGAGCUUGAUGGGAAUAACCUUGGUGGAGUUAUACCGGUGUCCAUUACAAAUUGUUCCCAAUUAAAAAUUCUAGAUUUUUCAAUUAACGGAUUCACUGGUUCCAUUCCUGACGCCCUCGAGGACCUUAGGCUGCUGCGGUAUAUACUUCUGAACAGCAACAAUUUAACAAGUGAUCCUACAUCUACGAAGCUGAGCUUCAUCACUUCAUUAACAAAAUGCAAAAACUUGGUUUGUUUAGAGCUGGGCCCAAAUCCGUUAAAUGGACUUCUCCCGGCUUCCACUGGGAAUCUCUUUGCUACUCUACAGAAAUUGUAUAUAGGAACUAGUGGAAUCAAAGGCACCAUACCAAGUCAAACUGGCUGACCAAUUUGAUAUUGCUUGCUCUACAAUCGAAUCAGUUGACUGGAGGCAUCCCAGCAGCAUUCAAAGAUCAACAAAACAUGCAAAAUUUGGGUAUGGAAGAUAAUAAUCUAAAUGGCACUUUAGAAAACCUUUGCAAUUUGCAGAGGUUGGCUUAUGCAUACCUGACUGCGAACCGAUUUUCCGGGUCCAUACCAGAAUGCUUUGGCAAUAUGACUUCUCUUCGGGAUCUUGAUCUAGGAAACAACUUUUUAGUCACUGCCAUACCUAAUAGUUUUUGGAACCUCAAAGAUCUCUUGUAGUUGAACUUAUACUCAAACUCCCUUAAUGGUUCCUUACCACUUGAAGUUGGAAAUUUGAAAGCUAUUACAUCUAAAGACGUAUCAGCGAAUCAAUUCUCCGGUGACAUUCCUAGCACAACAGGUGAUUUACAAUACCUGUUGAUUUUAAAUUUAUCCCAAAACCAAUUUCAUGGAUCUAUCCCAGAGUCAUUUGGCAAUAUGCUUAGCUUACAAGGACUUUACCUAUCGCAUAACAAUCUUUCUGGCUUCGUACCAAAGUCAUUGGAGGCACUUCAGUACCUUGAAGAGAUUGACGUUUCUUAUAACCAUUUAAGUGGUGAAAUUCCUUCUGGUGGUCGCUUUAGGAACUUUACCGCUGAAUCUUUUCUGUUCAACGAUGCAUUGUGCGGGGAUUCCAGGUUUCACGUGCCGCCUUGCCCAAGAACUAAUUCAAUUCACAGGUCCAGAACAAAAAAGGUGCUUCUAUUUGUAUUUGUUCCUCUGGGACUCGCUUCUGUGGUUGUCGCAGCCUUAGCAAUUGUCUUCAGAAGAUAUUGGAAGAAAUAUCAGGAUUCUAAAGGAACAAACAUGGUAUUGGUGCCAACGCAAGAAAGAGUUUCGUACUACGAACUUCUUCGAGCAACUGAUGGGUACAGCGAAAGCAAUUUGCUUGGCAUUGGGUGUUUUGGAUCUGUUUACAAGGGGAUUCUGAAUGAUGGAAGGUCUAUUGCUGUAAAGGUUUUCAAUUUGGAACUGGAAGGAGUACUCAAGAGCUUUGAUGUUGAGUGUGAAGUCCUGAAGAACCUUCGCCAUCGAAAUCUUGUGAAGGUCGUCAGCGGUUGUUGGAACCGGGAUUUUAGGGCCUUGGUGCUUGAAUACAUGUGCAAUGGAAGCCUUGAGAAGUGGUUGUAUUCUGACAACUAUUUCUUAGAUACUCUAUAGAGAUUGAAUGUAAUGAUAGAUGUGGCAAGUGCAGUGCAAUAUCUCCACGAAGAAUAUUCGACGCCUGUGAUUCACUGUGAUUUGAAGCCCAAUAAUGUCUUACUUGAUGUGGAUAUGGUUGCCCAUGUCAGCGACUUUGGUAUUGCAAAAAUGCUGGAAAAGGAGGAAAGCUUUGCAUGGACCAGGACCUUAGCUACAAUUGGAUACAUUGCUCCAGGUAAUGAUUCUUCAAUCUUAAUCCUAAAUGUUUGUAUAGCAUUUAGUUUCUUUUUGCCUUCUUUUAUGUGAUACUUGUUCAAUUUGAAUGUUGGUUGUAGAGUAUGGAUCUGAGGGUUUGAUAUCAGCAAAAUGUGAUGUUUACAGCUAUGGAAUCAUGCUGAUGGAAGUUUUUUCAAGAAGAAAGCCUAAUGAUGAAAUGUUUGUGGGAAAUUUGAACUUGAAGAGUUGGAUAAAUGAUUCUCUGCCUAAUUCGAUUCUUCAAGUUAUUGAUGCUAAGUUGUUGAAGCAUGAGGAUGAAAAUUUCACUGAGAAGUUGGAGGGUUUUACAUCCAUCUUGGAAUUAGCCUUAAAAUGCGUUCUUGAAUCUCCAACUGAUAGACUCAGUAUGAAAGUUGUUCUUGAAACACUGAAGAAGAUCAAACUCAAAUUCUUGCAAGUAAUGUAGGCUGAUGAAUAGUUCGGAUCGAAUAUGUAUCAUCUUUUAUAAUCAUCCGAAAAAUUAGGGAAAAGAGGCAAUUUGUUGAUGCCAAAUAAAUCAAAGCACAUGAGCUAUGAAAGACGUUGUAUUACUGCAAAUCAAAUUGUAUGAUUAAAAUUUGGAAUUUCUGAAUGUAGAGAGAAGCAGGGAAUGGAGCAGUGUUCAAACAUAACCUCCUCAAUGUCAUGACGCUGCAGUUGUUUUCACUGAUGAUAUCCGCUUCAAUUCUUCGCCAGUUUCUUAGACACAGGAAUCAUAUAGAUCAGUGAAAACCAUAUCCCUUGCUUAUGGCUUAGAUUAUAAAACAAUUCCAAAAAAGACAAUAUCUGAUUCAUCCAACAAUUUGGCUGACUAAAGUGCAGAGUUGGUUCAUCCUUAGUGUAGGUGGAGGUUUCAAACUUGAAAUCUCUCAUUUACAUUCUCUCCCUUCAUACCAUCCAACCCAUCCCUUCUCCUGUUGACUGUAGAAUUGAAAAAACGAAAUAAAAAAAGGCACUUGAUUGUAUUCUAAUAUAAAUCAAUCUCUCAAUCUAAUUUUACCUCUAAGUUUCAAAUAUGUCCAUCCUAAAAAUACCAUUGCGAUUUUUCAAAAUCUCAAGUAUGUACACUUGAGUGAGUCUAAAAGAAAAGGAUAUAAACAUCUUGUAAUUUCUUAGAAUCUCUAAAUGAAAAGGAUAUAAAUAAAUUGUUAGGAUGUCACAAAUUUGUGUCUCAUUGAUCAUGAAAAUCUUUGGCUCGACCACUGUAGAACACCCCUCCAAAAAUUGAUUAUGUGCACAUGAUACGAUUCAAAUCCUCUCGCAUAUACUAAAAUAAAAAGGACAUUGUUAACUGAAAAGUCCCAUGAAGUCCUGUAAAGAAAAAGUAUGGUUCUGCCAAUAAUAGAAGUCAAUUGAAAAUGCCUUGUACAUCCUGACCCAUUAAUGGCUAGCGAAGAAAAAGUCUAAAUAUUAAACGUUCAUAUAGAAUGGCUAACAAAAUUUCCAACGUCCUUUGCACGCUGAAGACUUGGUGCAUGCGGUUGUUGUCAUCUCACUAUCUCAGAUGUUGUAGAACUAUUAAGGGAAACUUGCAGAAUAGAUCCACAUCAAAUUAAUGAAGGUGAGAAAAAAAGAUUAUUAGGACGUUCAGAAAUUCAUGACUUAGACUAGUACAAGAUUGCGUGCACGAAUACUCCCACUGUGAAUCAGUUGGAUCUUAAUAUUGCUUGACUGGAUUACCACCUAGCAAAACUUACCUACCAAACUUCCCUAUGUGUCUUCAGCGACUACAAUGUUAUGAAUUCUUUGCAGAUUGUUAUUUGAGUUAAAGAGACAAACGAUGUCAACAAUAGGAAGCAAAAUACGAACAAAUUAGUGGAAAAGCUAAAAAGGUUCAUGGAUUUUUCAAAGGCAACGUUGGAAUAACUUGGAGAGAUAAAUGCUAAAGUCUAUCACCAUAUGCGGUCAUUGGAACACGUAAAAGAUUUAUACAUGACACUACACGUCUUUCCAAAAGAUACUCCCUCUAUCCCAUUUUAAUAGUUCUAAUUUUUUUUCAUACAGUUUAAGAAAAAGCAGUUAAUUUUAUUGGAAAAAUAAAUUUAGAUUGCUAUUUUUCUAAAAUACCCUUAAAUUAAAUAGAGUACAACUUUAUAUUAAUUAUUUAUGAAAACUUGAAUUAAUGGUUUAUGAGAAUUUGAAUUGAUGGUCAAGAAACAAUCUACAUUAAAUAGAGUAGUUUUUACUAAUAACAACCUACAUUAAAUAAAGGUCGUUUAGAGAAAUUAAAAGAUAAUUAUAUUUUUCAAUUAAAAAAUGGACUACAAUUUAGGAUAGACGAAAAAAGAAAAUAGAACUAUCAAAGUAGGAAGGAGAGAUCAGUAUGAUCUCACCCUCGGGUAAACAAUAUGUACAUAUACAAUGUUGGACUAAGAACAGUCUAAACUGUUCACGGUCAACAAGACACAAAUUUAAAAUGUACUAUUGAAACAAUGUCAUGUAACUCCGACAAAAUAAUUAUGUAUGUACUCAUAUGAACAGUAAUUAAAUAGUGCAACAUUUAUGUUACUAUAAAUUUGAACAAAUCAUUACCUUGAAUUAUAUUAUAUUGAAGAGGAAAGACAGACCUCCCCGUAUCAUAAUCUCAUUCUCCAUGCACGAGAGCUGAUACAGAGGAAUUGGGAGUGUCAAUUGAACCGCAUAUGAAGGGAGGGAAAUUAGUGUGCUGAUUGGUUAGCUAAACACAGCUUCCAUGCAUGGCUCAGCAGAUUAUUGAUGAAAUCCCAGCAUAGAUGACAGAACUAUUGAUAGCUGAUGUGUUUGGAGUUCCAUUUACUCGUUCUAUUGCAAUUUAAGGGGUUAUGAUGACCUCCUCCAAUGUAUCCAAAAAAAAAAAAAAAAAAUUACAUCAUAUUCAAAUGGUAUUACACUGUUUAGAAGGAGUUGCAUUUCCUCGCUUUGUUGCAAUUUAAGGGGUUAUGACCUCUUCCAAUGUACCCAAAAAAUUAUAUCAUAUUGAAACGGUAGUAUACUAUUAGGAAUGGAUUUCAAUACAACUGUUUCUGUCCUAUAAAAAUAUCGACAUUGACUGUUUAUUCUAUGUCUUCUUAUAUUACUUUAAUUUAUAUAUAAUCUCAAACAACUAAAAUCAAUAACUUUUGAAGCCGUUGAUCCUAACAGGACGUAACCAAUUUAAGUGAAACUGUUACUAAUAUCGUAGGUGAUAUAGUAUUUUUUUUUUAAUUUAAUGUAACUUAUGAGUCAAAUGUUGGUACCUCACAAUUUAGAUUGAACGAUUAAUCAAAUUACUAGAUAUUUGAAUCUAGUCCUAUUGGUACGAAUGGAUUUUGGUGACUAAACAAGCCAAACAUGAAAAGCAUGUUAUAUGUAUAGUAAACUUUCAAACUCAACUCAUCUUCAACUUGAUUCAAUUAGUAGUAAAACUUGAAAUUUAUCGAUAGAUUUUUCAACCUACAUGUACAAAGCUCAAGCUCAAUUUGACAAAAGCUCGUUUGAGUUUGACAUAAUAAAUAUCAAGUCAAACUUGGAUAAAAUUUUAAACUCAUUAAAGUAAACAAACAAGUUUAAAUACUGGAGUGUCGAGGUUGAUUAAGUUCAUUUACACCUCUAAUCCCAACUAAUAUAAUCUUAACCAACUUUGGGAUUUGUCCACACAAUAAUGCUGUCUAUAAAAUCCCCACAUUUAAGACGUAUAUAUGCUUCUUACAUUGGCGUCUAAUUUCCUAGAUCCAUCACCAAUUUGGACUAUUGAUCAUAUAGCUAGGUUGAUAUGAAGAAACACUUUUAUUUCUACCCUAUUGCAGUAUUUGUUUUGCUGCACUAUCUAAUGAUGACCAGUUGCACAGCCAUGAAAAGAUUAAGUUUAGGCACUGAUCAAUCUGCUCUUUUAGCCCUGAAAGCCCAUAUCACUUCAGAACAGCAAGAAUUCUUGUCAAAAAACUGGUCUUCUACAGCUGCUGCAUCCUCUGUCUGCGACUGGAUAGGAGUCCAAUGCAGCUCUCGACACCAAAGAGUGACUGCUUUAAAUAUUUCAAACAUGGGACUCACCGGAACAUUACCUCCGGAUUUGGGAAACCUCUCCUUUCUUGUUUCUCUUGAUCUGAGAAGUAACUCCUUCCACGGAAAUCCGCCCGAAGAGUUGUCACAUCUACGCCGCCUGAGGUUCAUCUUGUUUUCCAACAACAGAUUCACUGGGGAGAUUUCAAUGUGGUUUGGUCACUUUCCCGAACUCCGGUUCUUGUUUCUUGACAACAAUGGUUUCGGUGGUUUUAUUCCUUCUUCAAUCUCAAACUCGUCAAAAGUGGAAGCUUUAACUCUAAGAGGCAAUUUUCUGGAGGGUAAUAUUCCAGAAAAGAUGGAAAAUCUUUCAGUCCUCAAGGAUCUGUCUCUAUCUGGGAAUUAUUUAGUUGGUCAAAUACCAUUGAGUUUAUGCAAGUUUUCUAAACUUCAAUCGCUAGACUUGUCAUUCAACAGGUUUAGCGGGUACAUACCCAAAGAAAUUGGAAAUCUGGAGAAGCUUACGUAUUUAUCCCUCAUGAAUAACAACUUCACAGGUAAUGCUUUUGCUUUGCCUUUUUGCAUACGAACUGCAAUCAAUGGUCAUUUUUCCCUGUUUGGAACUGGGAUUCAACACUAUGUACUGUUUUACCAGCAUGGCUUCGAUGGCUGGUUUUGUUUUUUUUUUUUUUUUUUUAGUUACUAUUGUAACACCUCUGCUUCUUUAUUCCAGAAAAUUAAAAGCAUAGUUACCAACACAAAUUCCCGCUUUGCAAGUAAGAUAGUUCUCAAUAUAUCUCUAAAAUGAAUAUGAUUAGUUCUAUCUUUGCAUAAAAUUGUUUAGGUGUAAUUCCGCGAGAGAUUGGCAAACUGCGUGGUUUGAAGGUUCUCGUGUUGGGCCGUAACAAUUUGACAGGUAAUCAGGUCUAUGAAUAGCUUCACCACUACUUAUGGUCUAUUUACAAUCAUGCAACUAGCAAAUAUUUGGAGCAAGUUCUGGGUGAAAUGAAUUCAUGUCAUGUCUAUUUGAAUGUCCAUAAACUUAAUCAGAUACUCCUACUUACUAUGGAAAACAUCCACCCAAAAAAAAAAACAAAACUGGAAGUUUUGAAGAGUUAUAUAUUCCUUGGAUGUAACUAAAGGUAUCAAUAACAACUUGAUUAUGUUGAUUCGCCCAAACGAGCAUGCUAAUAAUCCGCCCAUUAAUUUUGAAUAGAUCUAAAUAAGUAUUCAAUUAAAUCCAUCUAAUUUGUGGAUAAUGGGUUGACUCGACUCACUCAUUUAUACUCAUUUAAAAAUAACCAUACAUUUUAACUCAACUUUUAGUGAGUAUUAAGCAAACAAAUUUGAAUUUUUUACGAAUUUAAUAACAAUAAAAUACCGUUAAUUUUUUUGUCAAACAUCAUGCAAAAAAAUAGAGAAAAAAGAGAAGAAUUUUAAGUGAUUCAUAAACGGAUAAUUGGGUAUACCCAGACCCAUUUAAUUAAUGGGUAUAAAUCUACUAGCCUACCUGCGUGUGUGAUUGGCAGGUACAAUUCCACAAGAGAUAGGCAAUCUACAGAACCUGCAGGGGCUCAAUCUGGAAUGGAAUCAAAUCACAGGAAGCAUUCCAAAAGAAAUCAGGAAUUUGACGAUGCUUACUGAGCUCUACUUCGCCAACAACUCCUUGACAGGUAAAUGCAUCUUUAAAGUACCAUUUUUUGAUGAAGUAAAUUGAAAUCGGUUAACUAAACGCUUACAUCCAUUCAAAAAAAUUUUUUUAAUUUAUAAUUGGUUUCUUCAGAGAAUUUUACAGCCUAAUGAUAGAUGUGCUUCCUUUGAAAAUGAAUUUGGUACGCAGGUACAAUACCACGAGAGCUGGGUAACCUUUACCUACUCGAGAAUCUUCAGUUACCUUAUAAUGGCUUGAAUGGCUCCAUUCCCCCUGGGCUCUUUAACCUCUCAGCAUUGCGGAAUAUUGCACUUUCGUCUAAUCUUCUAUCAGGAAAUCUUCCGCGGGAUCUAGGAUACAGACUGCCCAAGUUAUUAUUCAUAGAUCUAGCUGGGAAUAACCUUGGUGGAGUUAUACCAGUGUCCAUUACAAAUUGUUCCCAAUUAAGAAUACUAGAACUUUCAACUAACAGAUUCACUGGUUCCAUUCCUGACGCCCUCGGGGACCUUAGACUUCUGCAAUAUCUAGCUCUGUUCAGCAACAAUUUAACAAGUGAUCCUACAUCUAUGGAGCUGAGCUUCAUCACUUCAUUUACAAAAUGCAAAAACUUGGUUUUUUUAGACCUGGGCUCAAAUCCAUUAAAUGGGCUUCUUCCAGCUUCCAUUGGGAAUCUCUCUGCUACUCUACAGAAAUUGUAUAUACGAAAUAGUGAAAUCAAGGGCACCAUACCAAGUCAAACUGGCAACUUGACCAAUUUGCUAUUGCUUGAUCUAGAGUCGAAUCACUUGACCGGAGGUAUUCCAACAGCAUUCAAAGAUCUACAAAACCUGCAAGGUUUGGCUGUGGGAGAUAAUAAUCUUAAUGACACCUUAGAUAACCUUUGCAAUUUGCAUAGCUUGACUUUAAUAGAUCUGACCACAAACCAGUUUUCUGGGUCUUUACCACAAUGCUUUGGUAAUAUGACUUCUCUUCGGGAUCUUACACUAGGAAACAACUUUUUAGUCUCUGCCAUACCUAAUAGUUUUUGGAACCUCAAAGAUCUCUUGCAGUUGAACUUAUCCUCAAACUCCCUUAAUGGUUCCUUGCCUCUUGAAGCUGGAACUCUGAAAGCUGUAACAUCCAUAGACAUAUCAGCGAAUCAAUUCUCAGGUGAUAUUCCUAGCACAACAGGUGGUUUGCAAUACCUGUUGAUUUUAAAUUUAUCCCAAAACCAAUUUCAUGGAUCUAUCCCAGAGUCAUUUGGCAAUAUGCUCAGCUUACAAGGACUUUACCUAUCACAUAACAAUCUUUCUGGCUUCGUACCAAAGUCAUUGGAGGCACUUCGGUACCUUGAAGAGAUUGACGUUUCUUAUAACCAUUUAAAUGGUGAAAUUCCUUCUGGUGGUCGCUUUAGGAACUUUACCGCUGAAUCUUUUCUGUUCAACGAUGCAUUGUGCGGGGAUUCCAGGUUUCACGUGCCGCCUUGCCCAAGAACUAAUUCAAUUCACAGGUCCAGAACAAAAAAGGUGCUUCUAUUUGUAUUUGUUCCUCUGGGACUCGCUUCUGUGGUUGUCGCAGCCUUAGCAAUUGUCUUCAGAAGAUAUUGGAAGAAAUAUCAGGAUUCUAAAGGAACAAACAUGGUAUUGGUGCCAACGCAAGAAAGAGUUUCGUACUAUGAACUUCUUCGAGCAACUGAUGGGUACAGUGAAAGCAAUUUGCUUGGCAUUGGGAGUUUUGGAUCUGUUUACAAGGGGAUCCUGAAUGAUGGAAGGUCUAUUGCUGUAAAGGUUUUCAAUUUGGAAUUGGAAGGGGUACUCAAGAGCUUUGAUGUUGAGUGUGAAGUCCUGAAGAACCUUCGCCAUCGAAAUCUUGUGAAGGUCAUCAGCGGUUGUUGGAACCAGGAUUUUAGGGCCUUGGUGCUUGAAUACAUGUGCAAUGGAAGCCUUGAGAAGUGGCUGUAUUCUGACAACUAUUUCUUAGAUACUCUACAGAGAUUGAAUAUAAUGAUAGAUGUGGCAAAUGCAGUGCAAUACCUGCACGAAGAAUAUUCGACGCCUGUGAUUCACUGUGAUUUGAAGCUCAGUAAUAUCUUACUUGAUGAGGAUAUGGUUGCCCACGUCAGCGACUUUGGUAUUGCAAAAAUGCUGGAAAAGGAGGAAAGCUUUGCAUGGACCAAGACCUUAGCUACAAUUGGCUACAUUGCUCCAGGUAAUGAUUCUUCAAUCUAAUCCCAAACGUUUGUAUAGAAUUAAGUUUCUUUUUUCUUUUUUUUCUUAUGUGACACUUGUUCAAUUUGAACGUUGUUUGUAGAGUAUGGAUCUGAGGGGUUGAUAUCCGCAAAAUGCGAUGUUUAUAGCUAUGGAAUCAUGCUGAUGGAAGUUUUUUCAAGAAGAAAGCCUAAUGAUGAGAUGUUUGCUGGAAAUUUGAACUUGAAGAGUUGGAUAAAUGAUUCUCUGCCUAAUUCGAUUCUUCAAGUUACUGAUGCCAAGUUGUUGAAGCGUGAGAAUGAAAAUUUCACUGAGAAGCUGGAGGUUUUAUUGUCAAUCUUGGAAUUGGCCUUAAAAUGUGUCUGUGAAUCUCCAAGUGAGAGAGUUAGUAUGAAAGUUACGCUGGAGACACUGAAGAAGAUCAAACUCAAAUUCUUGCGGGUCGAUUCGUAGUUUGGAUUGAAUAAAUAGCAUUUCUCAUAUCUUGAAUCACUACUGGAUAUGUAUUCCAUAAAUUCUAUUCUGGUUCACAAUUGGCUGAUCGAAGGUCAUUUCCAUUCGAAUGAAGGUAUGGUCAGGCGAGAGAGACAGAGAAAUUCUGCUAUCACCAUUCUUGAAAUUCGUUGUGUGCACUGCUGUAUAAUGAGGACCAGUUUCAUAAUUCAGCAUUGAUCAAUCCGCUUUUCAUAAUGCAGUUUAUGAUUUAACCGUAUGCAAAGAAGCAAAAAGUGUUUAACAAAUUCACCUGAAAUUCUUGGCAUUAUAGUGAACUUUUCCUCAGAAAACGUCAAUCAGUGGAAAUGUUUCUUAUCCAUGAUUUUGAAUGUAUAAAUACAGAAGGACACGUUGAAAUGGAAGCUUAGACAGCAAACUUGCCUUCAUAAUCUAAAACUUCAAAAUCAAUUAUCCUACGAAAUAAAUUCGAAACUUCCACAUUGUUUAGUUCAGAAUGAUUUACUCUUUUAAGGGUACAUGGGUCCAUAACACAGAAACCUCAUAUUAGCCGGAGAUCUUGAUUGAAGUUGUAACAUUUCUCCAUAAAAUCCUCAGAGUGUGUCUCUAUACAAUUUUUCCUAGUCUAUUAUUGAUAAAUGCUUCAAAAAUUAAUUUAGGAGCCACGAAAGGUUAUCCAUUGAUUUACAUUUCAGCUGAAAUAUUUAUUCACAAGUUUCCUGGUGAAUGUACCAUGUCGAAAAAUCAAAAUUUGGUCUUCGUAAUUUGGAGUUUGGAGAAAGUGCUAGUUAGAAGCAUAUAUGAAUUUUAAGAUGCCAAACUAAGAGAUUUGAAUUUUGUGAAUGAAGCAAAUGUCUCUGGCUCUAUGAAUUGUGUUCCUUCUCGAUCCCCUAAUCGUGUUUUCCACCUCAUGAAUUUUGAAAUUAUUACUAUAAAAGACAAAAAGAAGUAUACUAGCAAAUUUUUCUUUUUUUCCCCAAAAACGACAACUAUUGUAUAAUCUAUCUAUCCUAGACUAUUGGGGAGGGGGAGCCUAAAGAGGUUUUGUAUUAGAGGCUAGUAGGUAUACAGACCUUACUAGACCAAGGGAGUGCAAUGACACAACCUUCGGAUUUUUUUUUUGUUGUAGGUGGGAUUUGAACCCUCCACCUAUAGCCCAAGCAGGGUCUUAAGACUCAUCUUAGUUGCCACUGAGUUUAGCUCAGUGGUUGUAUACUAGCAAAUUUUCGUUUAUGCAGUACCUCAAAUUGCUUGUAAACUUGUCCAAUAUAAAUUUUUGAUUGGUGGGCUUGAGUUUUCUUUCAUUGAGUGAAUGGCUGCUUCCAACUACCUUUAGAGAGUUGACCACAGGAAAAGGUUUAAGGCUCUCUUUAGAUGUAGGUCAAGGGAUUCGAUCUCUUGAUUUGCAUUCAUUUUCAGAAUUUUCUAAAAGUUUCACUCUCUGGUGCAAAGACACCCAUUUGGUCCAUUGGCGGUUCAUCAGUCCUCUUAGUUCUCCCUUGACCUAUUUGGUCCUACCCCCUCCCCUCAGAAUAUUUAGAAUAGAAUAGAAAUAGGCAUAAAAUAGAAGCUGACACCCAUUUAAUUCGGUCAUGAUUCAAUUCCCUCCGAAUUCUUUCUUGACUUAUUUGGAUCCACCCCCUCUCCCUUAGGAUACUUAGGAUAGAGUAGAAGCAGAUAUAAAAUAGAAACUAUCGUGUUGACCACAAAAAAAAAAAACAAAGAGUGAAUGGUGGCUUCAAUUUUAUUUGGUCCACUGAGUCAAUGACAGUAUUGCAAUUUCCAACAACCCACUGGUACUUUAGGGAUCUCUCUUGACUUUAGUCAUCUUCCCAUAAUCAGAAGGAGCCUUGUGAAUUGCCCCCAAAAGAAAAUGAAAAAACAAGAGAGAAUCAUUCCAAUCGUCCCCAUAUUCAACGUUGACGGCAUAAGUAGGAAGAGAACCAGGGAUUCAAGUUCAACAUUGGUUACCAAUGCAAUGGAUGGCUUAUUGGGACAUUGUAGGGCCAAGAUAUGAUUUAAAAACAAAAAAUUCAAUAGGAGAUGGGAAAAUAGGCCAAUUUGUUUAUCUCAAAUAAACCAAAGCACGCGAGCUUUGAAAGACGUCGUAUUACUCCAAAUCAAAUUGUAUGAUUAAAAUUUGGAAUUUCUGAAUGUAGAGAGAAGCAGGGAAAGGGCCAGGAAGCCUCUGUGUUCAAAAAAUAACCUCCUCAAUGUCAUGACACUGUAGUUGUUUUCACUGAUGAUAUCCACUUCAAUUCUUUGCCAGUUUCUUAGACACAGGAAUCAUAUAGAUAAGUGGAAACCAUAUCCCUUGCUUAUGGCUUAGAUUAUAAAACAAUUCCCAAAAAAGACAAUUUCUGAUUCAUCCAACAAUUUUGGCAACCUGUAGCCUAGUCCCCAGAAUUUCUCAUAUCUUGAAUCACAGCAUACUUACUCCAUAGAUUUUAUUCAAUUCUGGUUCACAAUUGGCUGACUAAAGUGCCUUUCCAGUCAAAUGAACGUAUGGUUAAGCGAGAGAGGCAGCGAGAGAAAGAAAUUCUGCUACCAUCAUUGUUGAAAUGCUUUGUGUACACUAUUGUAUAAUGGGGAGUGGUUUCAUAAUUCACCAUUGAUCAAUCUGCUUUUCUAGCCCAAUACUGGAAAAAUUAUAUGCAGUUUAUUGCUUAAUCGUAUUCUAAGCCAGAAAUGUUGAGUUUAAUUUUGUAUUCCAUAUCGAAAGUUUUACAAAGAAAUCUCUCCUCAUACUAGUUAUAAAUGUAGUGGGUUUGAGUCAGUUUGAGUGUGCUAAGAGUACCAAUCCAAAUGCCAUAUGCACAAGUUCAAGAGAAUUUUAGGGGACCCAUGCUCCAGUUUAAGAGAACUUUUGGUUAGACAUCAAACCAAAAGAAUAAGUUAUGGGCCUCUAUACCGUUAAGUAUUUUGUGUUAUUUAGAUUCUUUAAAAAACAUCAUCAGAAAAAAGAAAUAAAUUAAAGUUUUUUGAAACAGUAGAAAAGGAAAUCUAUUUUGUCAUUUAGACAAAAAAAAAGGUAUGAUUCUUAAGAAGUCAAUGGGAAUUAGCCAAAGAAAGAACUGCCUAUUACAGGAUGAACCCAAUCUGGAAUAUAAACAAUAAAAGAAAACACCUAUUAAGUCGGAAUUAUUUCUUAAAGUUUUGUACUCUUUUUCCGUUAUAAUAAAUGUGUUACUCCUUCGCCCAUGAACAUAGAUCAAUUCGGUCGAAUCACAUAAAAUUUUGUAUCUUUCUAUUUAUUUUAUUUGGUUUGUUAUUGUAUUUAUUUGGUUGCCAAGAACUUUAUUGUUCUCAUUGGUUAAUUUCCUAAAACCAGGCCUAACAAGAAAAACAAAGAAACAAAAAGUGUUUAACAAAAUCACCUGAGCUUAUCUAAAUAUUCUAACACGUAAUUCUUGGCAUUAUAGUGAACUUUUCCUUGGAAAACGACAAUGGAAAUGCUUCUUAUCCACGAUUUCGACUAGGCAUAUCAAUUGGAUCCCUUUGAUCCAGAUCCAGACUCAUUUAAUUUAGUUAGAUCCAAAUCCAGAUCCAAACCCUUUUGGGUCCGAAAAAGUAAGUUCAUAUCUAAACCCUUAUGAGUCUGGAUAUUCAAUGGGCAUUCAUGGGUGUUUUCUGAAAAUACUAAAGUAAAAAUGUAUUAAAAAAUAUAUAGUGUUCAUAAAUAAUAGAAAUACAAUCCAAUUUUUGUUUUCAAAUAAUAAAAUUAACAUUCAACAAAUUGAAUGCAAUAUUUUGAACUCAAAAAAAGAAUUAUUAUUGGCUACUUCUAUAUAUUUUUUAAUAUUCAACUGCAUCCACAUCAAUAUUUCAUUUGUUUGCCUUUAUCUUUUCUCCUUUUCUUGAAAAAGUUUGUACCAAUUACAAUGACAACUAGGAUUAGUUUUGAAAAAAAAAAAACAACCAUAACAUAUAUAAAUAUUUAGUCUUAUUAAAAAAAUGUAAUUUUGUACCUCUUUUUCUUAUUUGAACCUCAAUAUUGGCAGAUAUCUCGUAAUCCGGCAUUAAAAUAAUGAAUGAGAUAAAAAUCAUUUGAUUAAGGACCGAUGGCAAAUAAAUAAUAGAAUAAGAAAAUUUAUAAACAUUACUCAUUUUUUCUUUGAUUCAAUAUAAUCAUUAAUAGUCACUAAUGUUUCAACAACAUUUAGAAGUAAUUUGGCACAAAUCUCAUCAAUCACCGAACCACGAAUACGAAAUGCAGAUUCUGAUGCCAUAAAAUGUUAUUGUAUUCGUUCCAAUAACCAUAAAAUAUUAUAUUAUUUUAUAAAUUUUCUAAUAUAUAUUAUUUAAUUAAAUAUGUGUGGGUCUGGGUAAGAUCUGAUAUGAGUCUGAAUUUGGAUAUAGAUUCUAGGAAAUCAAACCCUACCCAGACCCACAACUCUCUCAUAGGAUUUAGAUCUGGGUUUGGGUAGGGUCUGGAUUUGAGAAAUUAAAUCCAAACCCUACCCACAAUAUAUUGGGUUUGAAUUGGAUUUGGGUAAUACCCAAUCCAUUUACAUGCCUAAUUUUGACUGUAUAAAUAGCGGACACGUUGAUAAGGAAGCUUAGAUAGGAAAAUAGCCCUCACAAUCAAAAACUUCAAAAUCAAUUAAAACGUACAAUAUCAUUGUCCUACAAAAAUCUGAAAUAAUCGUCUGAGUUGUAACAUUGUCCUAUAAUCUGCAUUGAAGUUGCAACAUUUCUCCAAAUAAUCGUCUGAGUUUAACUCUAUACAGUUUUUCCUAAUUUGUUAGUGAUAAAUGCUUCAAAAAUUAAUUUAGAAGCCAAGAAAAAUUAUCCAUUGAUUUACGUUUGAUGAAAUUUCAGCUGAAAUAUUUAUUCACAACUUUCCAGGUAAGUUGAUUAUGUCGGCACGCACAAUGAAAAACCAUAAUAUGGUCUUAGUUUGGAGUUUGGAGAAAGUUUUAGUUAGAAGCAAAUAUGAAUUUUAAGGUGCCAAACUAAGAGAACUUAAUCUUGCGAAUAAAACUAAGAGAACUUAAUCUCUGGCUCUCUGAAUUAUGUUAAUUCUGGAUCCCCUAAUCGUGGUUUCCACUUCAUGAAUUUUGAACUUAAUAUAAAGACAAAAAGAAGUAUACUAGCAAAUUUUCAUUUAUGCAGUACCUCAAAUUGCCUGUAAAUGUGUCCAAUAUAAGUUUUUUAUUCGUGGGCUUGAGUUUUUCUAAUCGAGUAAUUUAAUUUGGUCCACUGAGUCAACGACUCUACUCCAAUUUCCAACGACCCAGUGGCACUAUAAGAGUCCCUCUUGACUUCAGUCAUCUUCCUGUAAUUGGAAGGAGACUAGGGAAUUGACAGGAACCAGAGAGAAUCAUUCCAUUUUGGUCAACGGCACCAAAAAGUGAUUAAACCCUUUUGGACAGUUACACGGAGGAGGUUCGAAUCUCACUUGCAGUAAACAAAAUUUAAACAAGAUGUCGGAGUAUUCUUUGAUCUAAUUAGAUUUAUAUACCUGCUAGUCUCUGAUACAGUCUUUUUAGGCUUUCUCUCUCUAUAAAAUAGAAUAGAUUAAUAUUAUACAAAUGUUAUCGUUAUAAAAAAAAAAAAAUCAUUCCAAUCAUACUUUGCAUGUUAAAGCACCCAUGAUCCUUCGAUGAAAUGAGCACUUGAUAUUUUUUCGAUGGAUUGGAUUAGCUUGUAUUUACAUACACAAAUUGCAAAUACAGAUCGAGAUGCAAGAAUUUUUCUUAUAUUAUUAUUAGUUCCCUUGUAUUUUUGCUUCUUUCAAACAUAUGGAGAUGCAAGAAUUUUUCUUUAAUUUAGAAUACAACAUUUACUAAUAUGACAUAAAUGGGAGUAAAACAUAAUUUUUCUAAGAAACUUUGGACUUUGGGAGUAAACUUAUUGUUAAAACCGUAACCUUAGAAUAAGUUCCGAGGCUAGAAAGAGAUUAUAAAAAGUGGUGUAUUGUUUUUCAAUGUUGAAGGGGUAGGUUGGGAGAGAACUGGGGAUUCAACAUUUUGUUAGCGAUGGAUGGUAUUUGAAACAUUUAAUGGCCAAGAUUUGGUAAAUAUGCAAUUGUGGCUCAACCUUUGAAUACAACAAAUAGCGAAUCUAAUAUUAAUUUCAGGUAACGUUAAUAACCCUUUUUUUUCGCCAAAAAAUUGCUGCCUCAUAAAGUUGGACCUACCUUGUUUGGAAAGUAAUUUCUCUCCGAAAAUUUUUUUACGUUUUCUAUUAACACAUUUUUCAAUCAACUUUUCAUUUCUAAAUAUACUCCAAACUGGCAUCUACACUCCUUGUAAGUUUGAAUUUGAAAAGAAAAAGAAAAUAGAUAGAAAUCCAUUUUAUUAUACUCCAAACUGGCGUCUAUGUGCUAACCAAUCUACAGCUUUUGAAUAAAAUAGCUAAUCUUCGUAUAAAUUAACUUCGCAUUGACUUGAUGAUGACAAUCUAUUUGUCAGGAAAUUAGCAAGAGAGAAUUUAAGUAGAAACCACAAAAUGUCCUGGAGCAGCAUCACUAGUGACCGAAAUUUACAUAAUAAAGGGCAAGUGACGAAAUCUCCUGGGGCAGCAUCACUAGUGACUAGUGUCCACAAAAUGUAGGGUCUCUAUUCCCUUCAUGACUUUGCUCGGAGACACAUUCCUUAGUGUAGAACCCACUAACCAAAUGUCACAUUUAGUGUUGAACCCACUAACCCACCCACAUUUAGUGUUUGCCCUAGAAUACAGUCGUAUCCAUUCCCAAAUUCACCCAACUAGAGAAGUCAACUCGGAGGAAGGGAAAUUUAUUUUUAAAAAGAAAAAGAGAGAGAGAGAGAGAAAUAGACGGAAAAAGUGGAAAAUUGAUCAAAAUUCAGCGAAAAAGGUUUAUUAAGGCAAAGUUUGGAUAACUGAGAGAGGAAAAUGCUAAAAUGUAUUGCCUGUGGUCAUUGGAACGUAUAAAAGAUGAAAGAUCUACAUGAAACUACACACACAUAUUUCCAAAACAAUGACUAUAUAAAUAUACAUAGAGGUUGGACGAAUGAGAAUAUAUCCCCGAUUAGGACUAUUGAUUGAUCAUAUAGGUCGAUAUGAAGAAACACUACUUUUACGUGUUCCCUCUUGCAGUACUUGUUUUGCUGCACUAUCCAAUGAUGACCUGCUACACAGCCAUGACAAGAUUAAGUUUAGGCACUGAUCAAUCUGCUCUUUUAGCCCUGAAGGCCCAUAUCACUGCAGAACAGGAAGAAUUCUUGUCAAAAAACUGGUCUUCUACAGCUGCUGCAUCCUCUGUUUGCCACUGGAUAGGAGUCCAAUGCAGCUCUCGACGCCAGAGAGUCACUGCUUUAAAUAUUUCAAACAUGGGACUCACCGGCACGAUACCUCCGGAUUUGGGAAACCUCUCCUUUCUUGUUUCUGUUGAUCUGAGAAAUUACUCCUUCCACGAAAAUCUGCCCGAAGAGUUGUCACACCUACGCCGCCUGAGGUUCAUCUUGUUUUCCAACAACAAAUUCACUGGGGAGAUUCCAAUGUGGUUUGGUCACUUUCCCGAACUCCGGUUCUUGUUUCUUGACAACAAUGGUUUCGGUGGCUUUAUUCCUUCUUCAAUCUCAAACUCGUCAAAAGUGGAAGCUUUAACUCUAAGAGGCAAUUUUCUGGAGGGUAAUAUUCCAGAAAAGAUGGGAAAUCUUUCAGUCCUCAAGGAUCUGUCUCUAUCUGGGAAUUAUUGUUGUGGUACAGAACCAGAAAUCUUGUAGGAAUGGAAGUUGAAUAAACAUAACAAAUUUUGAACACUCAGAUUUGAUCGGAUUCAAGAAAUAACACCUCUCCUUUUGUUGAUGAACUUCAAAUAAGUACAGAAUAAGAAUUGGCGGGAAGAGGAAGAAGGGGAAAAAGAAUGCAUGAAAUUGAGAGAAAGACAACAGAGGGGUUAUUCCCUCUCUGGAUGCAAUAACAAAUCUUAACCAAAUUCAUAGCUAACCAAUUACAUGAUCGUAUCUUUUAUAGAAGCUAUUCUAACUAACUCCUUAAAGUAACUAAUGAGGAAUUGACACGUGUAAGUAGAAUCUUCAAGCUCGAUGGAUUCCAGUUUCAGCAAGAACAGCAUGAGCUCCAGUAAAGGCGUGAUCGAUGGAACGCGCUUUCACCUACUCUUCUGUGACUUCUCUUUUUCUGACUUCACGUCUUCUUCUUCCUUACACUGCUAACUGUUGGCUCUCAUCAAAUCACGACUUCUCUUGACAUCUUCCUCCCAUUGCCACGCCUUCCUUUGUCUUUCCUUCACGCCUUCCACUACUGAGCUGUCGACUUCAUUACAAUAUCCCCCCCUUAAUCAGUAAAUCUUGUCCUCAAGAUUGGAAGGUGGGAAACUGUUUCCCGAUCUCCUCUGCAUCCUCCCAUGUAGCUUCUGCAGGAUCUGUGCCCCACCAGUGGAUUAACCACUGAGUUGUAGCAGCAUUUCUUUUCUUUACCAUCCUCCUACCAAUCACUGCUGCUGGUUCUAUCCUCCAAUGCCCCUUCUCAUUUGUUUCUGGUAGUUGGAGUGUAGGUGUGGCUUUGUCGCCAACCUUUUUCUUGAGCAAUGACACAUGGAAGACAGGGUGGACCUUUGAAGAAGUGGGUAGAUUCAGUCUGUAUGCUACCUCUCCUAUCCUUUCUGUUAUCUGGUAUGGGCCAAAAUACUUUGCUGAGAGUUUGGUGUUUUCCCGCAAGGCUACUGAGCUCUGUCUAUAUGGUUGUAGCCUUAGAUAUACCCAAUCUCCUUCACUGAAUUUCCUUUCACUCCUCUUCUCAUCAGCAUAUUUCUUCAUCCUUUCUUGUGCCUGUUUCAAGUUCUGCUUCAACAUGUUAUCCAUCUGCUGCCUUUCCUUGAUGUAAUCUCCCACUGCAGCCACUCUAGUCUGAAAGUAUGGUCCUAAAGCCAGUUGAGGAGGGGGGAGGCCAUAUAAUUCCUCAAAUGGAGUCAUUUGAAUGGCUGUGUGGUGCGAGGUGUUAUACCACCACUCUGCCAAGGACAACCACUGGUUCCAUCCCUUAGGUUCUAUAUGAGUCAGACACCUGAGAUACAUCUCUAGCACUUGAUUGACCCUCUCAGUCUGACCAUCAGUCUGAGGGUGAUAAGUUGUACUGUAGUUCAGCUUAGCUCCCAACACACUGAACAAUUCACCCCAGAAUUGACUGACAAAUAUCCUAUCCCUAUCAGAUAGCAUGCUCUGAGGAAUCCCAUGUAAUUUACUGACAUUAUCAAUGAAAAGUCUGGCUACCUUUGGUGCAUCAAAAGGAUGUGUUAGACUGAUGAAGUGGGCAUAUUUGGUGAAUCUAUCCACAAUCACCAUUAUGGUAUUCUUCCCUUCUGAUUGAGGUAGUCCUUCAAGGAAAUCCAUGGUAACGUGGCUCCAGGAGUGUUGAGGGAUAGGCAAUGGUUGUAGCAGUCCUGGAUAAGCCACAUGUUCAUCUUUACAUUUCCUACAGGUGUCACAUUCCAGGACCACCUUCUUGAUUUCUUUGUACAUUCCUGGCCAGUAGAACAACUGUUUGGCUCUCAUGUAGCUGGCUUGAAUACCUGAGUGACCUCGUAAUUGAGAGUCAUGUAGUGCAGUGAUAAGCUUUUUCCUGGUGUUCCCUUGUCCUCCUACUACCAAUCUUUUUUUGUACCUGAGAAUACCAUCCUGGUAAGUGUAGUCUGGGGCCUGUGUAGGAGACAGUAGUACCAGUGAUAUGGUCUUCUGAGUCCACUCGUCCCCCUCAUAACUCUCUAUUACUUCCCUAACCCAAGCAGGUACUGCGCAGGAUAUAGUGGUGCACUCCCCUAUCCCCUCUCUGCCUUGUCUAGAGAGUGCGUCUGCAGCCACAUUGUUUUUUCCCCUCUUGUAGUGAAUUUCAUAGCUCAGUCCCAGCAAUUUAGUGAGCUACUUUUGUUGGAGAGGAGUAGUGAUCCUUUGUUCCCGCAAGUACUUUAAACUCUGAUGAUCAGUGUGUAUGAUGAAGUGAUGCCCUUCCAAGUAGUGUCUCCAUUUGGUUACAGCAGUCACCAGUGCUAGCAGCUCUUUCUCAUAGAUUAACAGUCCUGUGUUCUUCUGUCCCAAGGCUUGACUAAGGUAGGAAAUAAGCCUUUUGUUCUGCAUCAGGACAGCACCUAUGCCAGUAUAGCAUGCAUCAGUCUCAAUGAUGAAUGGUUGUGUGAAGUCAGGCACUGCUAGCACAGGGGUAUGGCACAUGGCUCCUUUUAGCUCCUGGAAAGCCCUUUCUGAGUCCUCAUUCCAAUAGAAAUUGUCCUUCUUCAACAGAUUCGUCAAAGGCCUUGCUAUGGCUCCAUAUCCCUUGACAAAAUCUUCUAUAGUAGCCUGUCAGCCCCAGAAAUCCUCUUAGCUGCUUGAUAUUAGUUGGUUUGGGCCAAUUCUCCAUGCAUUCUAUCUUCUUAGGAUCAACUUGGACUCCUUCUGCUGAUAUUAUGUGUCCCAAGUACUCCACCUGCAACUGAGCAAAAGAGCACUUGCUCAUCUUGGCGUACAGUUGGUGUUGUCUCAGUAAGUUCAUUACCUCAGCUACAUGCUUCACAUGCAAUUCUAGUGUUGGACUGUACACUAGAAUAUCAUCAAAAAAUACUAGCACAUGUUUCCUCAUCUGAUCUUGAAAAACUUGGUUCAUUAGGCUCUGGAAAGUUGCUGGUGCGUUGGUCAAGCCAAAUGGCAUGACUUUGAAUUCAUAGAGUCCCUGGUGAGUUUUGAAAGCUGUUUUUGGGAUAUCCUCCUCCUUGACUCUGAUCUGAAAGUAUCCUACCCUCAGGUCAAUUUUUGUGUAGUACCUGGCUCCAUGUAGCUCAUCUAUCAACUCCUCAAUCAGGGGCAUGGGGAAUUUGUUCUUUACUGUUAAAUCAUUCAGCUGUCUGUAAUCCACACAGAACCUCCAUGUUCCAUCCUUCUUCUUAACUAGCAAUACUGGGGAGGCAAAAGGACUACUGCUAGGCUGUAUGAUGCCUAUUUCCAGCAUUUCCUUUACCAGUUUCUCAAUCUCUGCCUUCUGUACGUAGGGGCACCUGUAUGGCCUCAUCUGGAAGGGCUUGGCUCCCUCUUUUAGAAUAAUCUGGUGGUCAUGGCUCCUGGUUGGAGGCAUUCCUUUGGGUUCUUCAAAUCCAUCCUUGUAUUGAUCUAGCACCUGACUGACUUCAGCAGGUAUCUGUUCUGUUCCAUCUUCCUCUUUUAUUGCCACCAGUUGUGCUACCACCCCAUAUGCCUGUUUCCUCAACCACCUAUCCAACCUGCCUCCUUUGAUCAUCUUUAAUCUGGUGCUAGAAUCGUCUCCCUUCAGUACUACCUCUUGUUCCCCCUUAUGGAUUAUCAUGCUGAGCUCCUUGAAAUUGAAUUCUAUGGGGCUGUGUUUGGCCAGCCAAUCUACUCCAAGGAUCAUGUCACAGCCUCCUAAUCUCAAGGUGUUAAAGGCAUGAUGGAACUGAUAACCUUGCAUUUCCCACUGCAGCGGUUUAACCAGUCCCUUGGAUUCCACAUUUUCACCAUUAGCCACAUGGACCAUUAGGCUAGGUCCCUGUGUGCUCAGCUUCAACUCCUUUGCCAGUUGUUCAUCCAGGAAACAGUGUGUACUACCACUGUCUAUUAGUGCAGUAACCUGUCUCCUGUCAACCAGGCCCUUCAGCUUAAUGGUCUUGUGCCCUGCUCCCCCAGCCAAGGCAUGUACAGAUACCUCAAUAUGCUCAUCUACCACCUCCCCAUUAAUACAGUCACAAUAGACCUCAUCUUCCUGCUCCUUGCUCCCUUCUGUAGUCUCAGCUCCUUCGGCCAACAAGUAAUGAAUAUGGGACUGUUUGCAUGUAUGUCCUAAAGUAUAUGGCUCAGCACAUUUAUAGCACAAUCCUUUCUCUCUCCUCAGGUUAAAUUCUGCAGGGGAUAUCUUCUUGAAUUGAUUUUGGUUGUUGCAUUUUGAUUGGGGGGUCUAGGGGAGUGUUUGACAUUGUCUUGGUUCUAUCUGGUAUGAGGGGGCAUUUUAAUAUGGCUUUUCUGACUGCUAAAACUAGUAGGAACAGCUUUGUGUAACUUCUGGAUAGCUUUUAAGUUCUUUUCUUGUAACUUUUCUACUUCAAUGGCAUCAGCUAAGGUUUCUGGUUUUGACAUUUUCACCAUAUUGACAAUUUCUUCUUUCAAUCCACUCAUGAAGCAUGCUUUAUAAUAGUAAUCAGAUAAAUGUGGUAAGGUUGGCAUUACCAGUGCUUUGAGCAUUUCAAAUUUUUCCAGGUAGUCAGCUACUGAUCCAGUCUGUACUAGCUUGUUGAACUCCUCAAUUGCUUCCUCAGGUUUUCCUUCCCCAAAUCUGAUGCAGAGAGCAGUGGUUAGCUCCUCCCACGGUAUAGCUUCCUUUCCAUGAAAGACUCCAUGGAACCAGAUGUCUGCUCUAUCCCUAAAGUAAAGCUCUGCUACCUCAGCCUUCAUUUCAUCUUCUAUUCCAUGUAUUUUGAAAUACUUGUUAGCCUUUCUGAUCCAUUCCCUCGGAUUGUCCCCAUCGAAGAUAGGUAGAUCCAUUUUAGGCAGCUUGUUGAUGGUCUUGAACUCUCUCCUUCCAGCUACUUCCUUUGGUGGUUCCAACUUAGAUCCCUCAGGUUGGGCCACCCCCUUAGAACUGCUGCUUCCUUCUAAUUCUUUCCCUCUGUCGUUCAUUUUAGACAUUAGUUGAGCCAUCAUAUUCAUCAUACCUUCAUACUUCUGAUCUAACCCUUUCAGUAAUUUUUCAGUAGCAUCCUGCCUGAAUUCCAUUGAUCUGAUCGUCUGCUCCAUUCCUUCAUUUUUGUUGGUGAAGGUUCUGACCACACUACCAAGUUCCACUACCUCUCUUCUCAAAGCUUCAUCCUGAUUUUUUGUCAUCCCUAUGGCUCGUAAAACUAGCUCUGAUACCACUGUUGUGGUACAGAACCAGAAAUCUUGUAGGAAUGGAAGUUGAAUAAACAGAACAAAUUUUGAACACUCAGAUUUGAUCGGAUUCAAGAAAUAACGCCCCUCUCCUUUUAUUGAUGAACUUCAAAUAAGUACAGAAUAAGAAUUGGCGGGAAGAGGAAGAAGGGGAAAAAGAAUGCAGGAAAUUGAGAGAAAGACAACAGAGGGGUUAUUCCCUCUCUGGAUACAAUAACAAAUCUUAACCAAAUUCAUAGCUAACCAAUUACAUGAUCGUAUCUUUUAUAGAAGCUAUUCUAACUAACUCCUUAAAGUAACUAAUGAGGAAUUGACACGUGUAAGUAGAAUCUUCAAGCUCGAUGGAUUCCAGUUUCAGCAAGAACAGCAUGAGCUCCAGUAAAGGCGUGAUCGAUGGAAAGCGCUUUCACCUACUCUUCUGCGACUUCUCUUUUCCUGACUUCACGUCUUCUUCUUCCUUACACUGCUAACUGUUGGCUCUCAUCAGAUCACGACUUCUCUUGACAUCUUCCUCCCAUUGCAUUGCGACGCCUUCCUUUGUCUUUCCUUCACGCCUUCCACUACUGAGCUGUCGACUUCAUUACAAUUAUUUAGUUGGUCAAAUACCAUUGAGUUUAUGCAAGUUUUCUCAACUUCAAUCGCUAGACUUGUCAUCCAACAGGUUUAGGGGGCACAUACCUAAAGAAAUUGGAAAUGUGGAGAAGCUUACGUAUUUAUCCCUCAUGAAUAACAACUUCACAGGUAAUGCUUUUGCUUUGCCUCUUUGCAUGCGAACGAGGCCAAACUGCAAUUAAGACAGUUCUCAAUAUAUCUCUGAAAUGAAUAUGAUUAGUUCUGUCUUUGCGUAAAAUUGUUAGGUGUAAUUCCCCGAGAGAUUGGCAAACUGCAUGGUUUGAAGGUUCUCAUGUUAGGGUGUAACAACUUGACAGGUAAUCAGGUCUAUGAAUAGCUUCACCACUACUUAUGGUUCCAUUCCUGACGUCCUCGGGGACCUUACACUUCUGCAAUUUCUAGCUCUGUAUGGCAACAAUUUAACAAGUGAUCCUACAUCUAUGGAGCUGAGCUUCAUCACUUCAUUGACAAAAUGCAAAAAUUUGGUUUAUUUAGACCUGGGUCGAAACCCCUUAAAGGGACUUCUUCCAGCUUCCGUUGGGAAUCUCUCUGCUUCGUUAGAGAUGUUGAUAUUACAUUCAUGUGAAAUCAAGGGCACCAUACCAAGUCAAACUAGCAACUUGACCAAUUUGCUAUUGCUUGAUCUACAAUCGAAUCACUUGACCGGAGGUAUUCCAACAGCGUUCAAAAAUCUACAAAACCUGCAAGGUUUGGCUGUGGGAGAUAAUAAUCUUAACGGCACCUUAGAUAGCCUUUGCAAUUUGCGUAGCUUGACUUUAAUAGGUCUGGCCACAAACCAGUUUUCUGGGUCUUUACCAGAAUGCUUCGGUAAUAUGACUUCUCUUCGGGAUCUUACACUAGGAAACAACUUUUUAGUUUCUGCCACACCUAAUAGUUUUUGGAAACUCAAAGAUCUCUUGCAGUUGAACUUAUCCUCAAACUCCCUAAAUGGUUCCUUGCCCCUUGAACUUGGAACUCUGAAAGCUGUAACAUUUAUAGACGUAUUAGCGAAUCAAUUCUCUGGUGACAUUCCCAGAACAACAGGUGAUUUGCAAAACCUGUUGAUUUUAAAUUUAUCCCAAAACCAAUUUCAUGGAUCUAUCCCAGAGUCAUUCGGCAAGAUGCUCAGCUUGCAAGGACUUUACUUAUCGCACAACAAUCUUUCUGGCUUCAUACCAAAGUCAAUGGAGGCACUUCGGGACCUCCAAGAGCUUGACGUUUCUUAUAACCAUUUAAGUGGUGAAAUUCCUUCUGGUGGUCGCUUUAGGAACUUUACCACUGAAUCUUUUCUCUUCAAUGAUGCAUUGUGCAGAGAUUCCAGGUUUCAUGUGCCGCCUUGCCCAAUAACUAAUUCAAUUCACAGGUCAAGAACCAAAAAGGUGCUUCUAUAUGUAUUUGCUCCUCUGGGAAUCGUUUCUGUGGUUGUCGCAGCCUUAGCAAUUGUCUUCAGAAGAUAUUGGAAGAAUUAUCGGGAUUCUAAAGGAACAAACAUGGUAUUAGUGCCAACGCAAGAAAGAGUUUCGUACUAUGAUCUUCUUCGAGCAACUGGUGGGUACAGUGAAAGCAAUGUGCUUGGCAUUGGGAGUUUUGGAUCUGUUUACAAGGGGAUUCUCAAUAAUGGAAGGUCUAUUGCUGUAAAGGUUUUCAAUUUGGAACUGGAAGGAGUGCUCAAGAGCUUUGAUGUAGAGUGUGAAGUCCUGAAGAACCAUCGCCAUCGAAAUCUUUUGAAGGUCAUCAGCGGUUAUUGGAACCAGGAUUUUAGGGCCUUGGUGCUUGAAUACAUGUGCAAUGGAAGCCUUGAGAAGCGGCUGCAUUCUGACAACUAUUUCUUGGAUACUCUACAGAGAUUGAAUAUAAUGAUAGAUGUGGCAAGUGCAGUGCAAUAUCUCCACGAAGAAUAUUUGACGCCUGUGAUUCACUGUGAUUUGAAGCCCAGUAAUGUCUUACUUGAUGAGGAUAUGGUUGCCCACGUCAGCGACUUUGGUAUUGCAAAAAUGCUGGAAAAGGAUGAAAGCUUUGCAUGGACCAAGACCUUAGCUACAAUUGGCUACAUUGCUCCAGGUAAUGAUUCUUCAAUCUUAAUCCUAAAUGUUUGUACAGCAUUUAGUUUCUUUUUGCCUUCUUUUAUGUGAUACUUGUUCAAUUUGAAUGUUGGUUGUAGAGUAUGGAUCUGAGGGUUUGAUAUCAGCAAAAUGCGAUGUUUAUAGCUAUGGAAUCAUGCUGAUGGAAGUUUUUUCAAGAAGAAAGCCUAACGAUGAAAUGUUUGUGGGAAAUUUGAACUUGAAGAGUUGGAUAAAUGAUUCUCUGCCUGAUUCGAUUCUUCAAGUUAUUGAUGCUAAGUUGUUGAAGCAUGAGGAUGAAAAUUUCACUGAGAAGUUGGAGUGUUUUUCAUCCAUCAUGGAAUUGGCCUUAAAAUGUGUUCGUGAAUCUCCAACUGACAGACUCAGUAUGAAAGUUGUUCUUGAAACAGUGAAGAAGAUCAAACUCAAAUUCUUGCGGGUAAAUUAAUAGUUCGGAUCGAAUAUGUAUCAUCUUUUAUAAUCAUCCGAAAUAUUACGAAAUACAUGCCAAUCUGUUCACUUUAAAUAAACCGAAAGCACAUGUAAUCUUUGUUAAUUCUUCCUUGCAUCUGUUGAACGUUUGUUGUAUUUUCUGCCAUUAGUGCAGAUCUUAUGAGUUGAAAUGAAAUUGUUGUGUUGUAUGACUGCAAGUCAACAUGUAUUAUUAACUCGUGGAAUUUUUUAAUGUGGUUUUUCAAAAUCAACCCUUGAAUGUGAAUGUGUAGUUUUCACUAAUGAUAUCUGAUUCAAUUAUUUGUCAAUUUCUUAAACGUUAGGGAAUCAUAAAGCAUAUCCCUUGCUUCUGGCUUAGAUUAUAAAACAAUUCCCAGAAAAGUCUAUUUCCAAUUCAUCCAACAAUUUUGGAAGCUGUAGCAUAGUUUCCAAAAUUUCUCAUAUCUUGAAUCAAUGCAUAUGUAUUCCAUAAAUUUUAUUCCGUUUCAUAACUGGCUGAUGGAAGGUCAUUUCCAUUUGAAUGAAGGUGUGGUCAGGCGAGAGAGAGAGAUUCUGCCAUCACCAUUCUUGAAAUUCUUUGUGUGCAUUACUGUAUAAUGAGGACUAGUUUCAUGAUUCAGCAUUGAUCAACUAUAUAAUACUGGAAAAACUUAUGUGCAGUCUAUGACUUUAUUGUAUGCAAAGAAACAAAAAGUGUUUAGCAAAUAUUCUUCACGAAAUUCUUGGCAUUUUAGUGAACUUUUCCUCGGAAAACUUCAGUUGGUGGAAAUGUUUCUUAUCCAUGAUUUGGAACGUAUAAAUACAGAAGGACACGUUGAAAUGGAAGCUUAGACAGCAAAAUUGCCUUCAUAAUCUAAAACUACAAAAUCAAUUAAAACGUACAAUAUCAUUAUCCUACGAAAUAAAUUCGAAACUUCCACAUUGUUUAGUUCAGGAUAAUUUACUAUGAACCCACGUUCUGUGAUUUCACAUAAUUUACUAUCCAUAUAAAUACUUGGGCAUGGUGUUGUCAAUCACUGGCCUUAAAGUUUGCUGUGUGCAAAAACAAAGAGAAUCUGGGAACGAAGAGAAAGCAUGCUAUUCCUCUUUUAAGGGUACAUGGGUCCAUAACACAGAAACCUCAUAUGAGUGGGAGAUCUUGAUUGAAGUUUUAACAUUUCUCCAUAUAAUCCUCAGAGUGUAACUCUAUUAUUGAUAAAUGCUUCAAAAUUAAUUUAGCAGCCACGAAAAAUUAUCCAUUGAUUUACAUUUGAUGACAUUUCAACUGACAUCAACCUGCAAUCAUGAUUAUCGAAGAUAAUAUGAAAUACAGGUCUGCAAUGUCAUUCCUCUCUCUAGUGGAGGCAUUUCUCUCUCUAAAGAGAGCUUUCCCUCCCUGUGGUGGGAGCUUCAGACAAGCUUCAAAAAGCUAAAUUUGGAAGGUUUCACUUUCAACGCAUUCAAGGAACUCUGCUAUUGGUGCACUUAUUUCUGCCACUACCUGUCUUUUUGGACUUCUUUCAGCAGCUUAGGAAUUUAAAGGCUGUCGGAUCUACAACUGCUGACCAGCACCAACAACCCUUAUAUCUGGCUCGAGUGCGGUAACAACUGGCGGACAAAAUCCACUGUCGGAGACAAAAACAAAACCUCGAGUCACUAAGAAUUUGUACGUAUCGAAACAGAGGAAGGAGCAGGCGAAGCUGAAGCGAUAGGAGGAAGAUGCAAAAUAACAAAAUAAAAAUAAAAAAAAGGAAAAAAAAAAACAAACUCUCAAGUCUCUUUAACCGCAGAUCUGCUUUACUGCAUCCAGACCCCUUGGAAACCAAUACGAGAUGGGACAGGUAAUUUCAUAUCCAUAUUCUGCUUUCCCAAGCUAUCAUCUUUUAGUUUAUCUUAGCUCUUCUUUUCCUUUUUAGCUUUGUUCUGGUAGUAUAUAGUAGAUCCGCCCUUUUUGGUUUACAUCUAGGUUAGCUUUCUUACCCGAAGGGAAGUGUGUGGAAUACCAUUUGAUUUAUCUUCCCCAUGGCGGAGGAACUGGCUGAGAUUUUGCAAAACUUUGAUCUCUCAAGUGCAGAGCUCCAAACCACUACCCUAGGACAUGAGGAAAUAGGUGGGGGGUUCAAGAGUGUAGAAGUAGCUUGAUUGGGAAGGUCGUGGGAGAGAAAGUAUCGAACUAUACUGGAAUCAAGAACUUUGUGAUAGCUGCGUGGAGCUUCCCAAGAGAACUACAAGUGGUGGAGCUAGGACCCAAUCUGUUCCAAUUCAUCUUACCUUCAGCAAAUGAUAGACACAGGAUUCUGACUGGUGGACCGUGGAUAGUGGACAACCAAGUGCUGGUGCUAAGCGAGUGGUAUGAAGGGAUUGAGGAGGAUGCUGAGGCGUUCAGGUCAGUUCCCUUAUGGGUACAGGUAUGCAAUUUGCCAAUCCAUUGGAUGUCAAAGGAAGCUGGGAGAAGGCUUGGUUCAAACUUUCAGUCGGUAAGAGAGGUAAUUGUCCCUCAAACUGGUGGGAAAGAAGGAAGACACCUGAAACUUUUGGUGGUGGCAGACAUCUCACAGCCACUACUGCGAGGUACCAUUGUCAAGGUGGGUGAACAAACUAAAUGGGCUAGUUUCAAAUAUGAGAGGUGCCCGGAUUUUUGUUAUAAGUGUGGUAUCAUUGGACACAGUAAGAGAAAUUGUCAGAGGCAAGAUGACAAGGGGGUGGGGAAAAAGGAUAACCAAUAUGGCCCUUGGCUAAGGAUAGGCAAUGUGAGGAGUUCCCAGCACAAGCAACAAGUUGGUACGGUGUACAACCCCCAAAAACAUCACUGGAGACUUCAAGAUGGGGAGUGGAGGGAGCAAAGGCAAUCAGAGGGCCUAGAAAAAGCCUUGGAAUCUCAACUUGACAAUGAAAGUGGUCUAGCUAGGAAGCUUGUGGCUGAUACGGGGUUGGUGACAAGCAGUGGCAGGGGCCAGGAUGGCCAGGGGAGUGGUUCGAUAGGAGAUGUGAGAGUACACUCAGAGAAGCUUAAUGAAUCUGGUAGCAAAGUGGGUUCGGAGUUAACGGAAAUUCUACACAUAGGACAAUCAAAGGGGGUAAUCUCGAACCCAAAUUGCCGAGCUCAGAUGCAGGGAUAUCUCAACCAGAAGAACAGCUCUCAGUCAAACCAGCCUCUGAAGGUCCAAUGAUAGAGGAUGAACAAGUUAACUUGAUAAUCCAAAUCCCAUGGGAUGAAGAACAGAAGGAUGCAACACCAGGUGUUGCAACUACAAAUAUAACUGUUGAGGGUGGACCAAAGAUCAAAGAAGCUUUAGUUAAACAGUCCAGAUGAAUCCAGAGAACCCUAAGAUCCCCAAGAACACCUAAGCAACCAGAGGAAACAGUGAACAUCAACACAGUUAGGGAAAGGAAAACUAGGAAAAGAAAAGGGUUCAAGAGGGAACUUGAUAUGGAUAUUGAUGAGGACAUCAUACAGGAGGGUAAGAGGAGCAAGGUGGAUCUUAUGGAUAACUUGAUCGCUCCUAUGGAGGAGGGGGAGGGGUCCAACCCUUUAUAGACCCCAAUGGCUAAAUGAGAGUCCUGCUAUGGAAUUAUCAAGGAGUGGGGAGCCCCUUGACAAUUCCCCAGUUGAGAGAGGUGAACAACCUCUCCUCUCCGGACAUAGUGUUCUUAUGUGAAACCAAAAAUAGAAGUAAGUAUUUGGAAAAAGUCAAAAAUAUUUUGAGAUUUGAUGAAGCUGUCAUCGUGGAUGCCAUGAACAAGGCAGGAGGGAUGGCAUUUCUUUGGAGGGAGGAGAUUAGGAUAAAACAAGUGCUCAAGACUGGCUUUACAAUUGAAGCUCAGAUUGAGGAUAAGAAAAGUAGAUGGGAUUGGUGGUUUAUUGGUAUAUAUGCGAGCAGUGAUGAUCAAGUUAGGAAACAGCAAUGGCAAGUACUCCAAGCUAGGAAAGUUUUGUGGGGAGAAAGAUGGAUUAUGGCCGGUGACUUUAAUGACAUUGUCUCGAAUGAAGAAAAAUGGGGUGGAACCUGGAGGGACGAAGGCAGCUUCAUGGCAUUCAAAAACCUUAUCAAUGAUAAUCAAUUGAUGGAUGUUGGUUUUGAGGGUCAUCCUUGGACCUGGUGUAAUAAUUGGGCAGGUGCGGGUGAGAUAAAACAAAGACUGGAUAGAGAUUUAUGUAGCUAUCCUUGGCUCCAAAUUUUUGAUAAGGUUAAGUGUAAACACUUGGAUUCAUUUGCGUCAGAUCAUAGUAUGCUGAUUAUAGAGACAAAUCCAACACAAAUCAGGAGAAAGAAGAGGUUCUAUUUUAAUAAAAGGUGGCUCCAGCGAGAUAAAGUUUGGGAUAUUGUCAAACUGGCGUGGGACCAAAGGGACAAUGGCUCAAGGAUGUUCAAGGUUGUGCAAAAAGUGAAAAGGAGUAGAGUUAAUCUACUGAAAUGGAACAGUAAAAUCCAAGGCAAUUCAAAACAAAAGAUAGAGCAAAUCAAGGGCCAACUGCAGCAACUAAAUCUGUGUGAUACUGAGGCGAAGCGAGUGAGGAAGAAGAGUCUUAAGAAUGAAUUGAAAGAGGCUUAUAGAGACGAAGAGAUCUACUGGGGUCAAAAAGCAAGGGUGCAAUGGCUCAAGGCAGGAGACAAAAAUAGCAGAUUGUGGAGGGGAGAAGGAGGAGGAAUAAAGUGGUCAACAUCCAGAGAGAGGAUGGCACAUGGACUAAGAAUGAAGAUGAGCUCAGUGUAGAGAUUGCUAGCUAUUAUAGAGAACUCUUCAAGACUUCAGACGCAAAUGAUAUGGAGGAAGUGUUAAAUGGUAUUCCACACACAAUCUCAGGUAGUAUGAAUGAUAACCUAACAAAACCUGUAGAUGAAGAGGAGAUUAGAUCAGCUCUCUUUUCUAUGAAUCUUGAUAAAGCUCCGGGUGUAGAUGGAAUGCCUUCCAUUUUUUUCCAAAAGUUUUGGAACAUAGUUAAAAAGGAUUUGGUAGGUGCUGUCCAAACAUUCUUCCACACUAGUCAUCUGCUCAAGUCUGUAAAUCAUACAGUCAUUUCUCUCAUUCCUAAAAUUUUGAUUCCCACAUCCCUUAAGCACUAUAGACCUAUUAGCUUGUGCACGACUGUAUAUAAAAUCAUAGCAAAGAUUCUAGCUAAUAGGUUGAAACAGGUUCUUCAUUUCUGUAUCAGUAAAACUCAGUCAGUUUUGGUUCCUGGGAGGCAAAUCUUAGACAAUAUUAUGAUUUCCCAUGAGUUUUUACGCUAUCUCAAAAACAAAGGGCAAGGAAAAGAAUGAUUUAUGACUGUGAAAUUAGAUAUGUCUAAAGCUUAUGACAGGGUGGAAUGGAGGUUCCUGGAAGUUGUAAUGCGGAAAAUGGGGUUCAAUGACAAAUGGAGAAGCUGGAUCAUGGAGUGCAUUUCUACUGCUUCUUACUCGUUCCUGGUUAAUGGCGAAGUCAAGAAGUAUGUGGUGCCACAAAGGGGCAUUAGGCAGGGUGAUUCACUGUCACCCUACUUAUUCCUCCUAUGCUCGGAAGGCUUUUCCAAUCUCCUCCAAAAGCCUGGGACUGCGAAAAAAAAUUGAAGGCAUGAGAAUCAGCAGGCAGGGACCAAGACUAACCCAUUUAAUUUUUUGCAGAUGACUCUUUGAUAUUUUGUAAAACUGAUUCCCAGAAUGCAGCAGAGCUCAAAAGGUUACUUAACGUAUAUGAAAGAGGAACAUGCCAGCUGAUUAACCUGGAAAAAUCCUCAGUCAUAUUCAGCAACAAUAUGCAGCAGCAAAGGAAGGUGGAAGUCAGCCAAGCUCUAGGAAAUAUCCAUGUUGUAAGCCAAGGAAAAUACUUGGGUCUCCCAAUGGUGGUAACAAGAUCUAAACAGCAGCUGUUCGGAUACAUUAAAUCCAGUAUUCAACAGAGACUAAAAAAGUGAAAAAAUAAACUUUUGAGUGCAGCAGGUAAAGAGAUUAUGCUCAAGUCUGUGGCAUUGACACUGCCAACAUACACAAUGUCUUGCUUCAAGCUACCUAAAAAAUUGUGCAAGGAGAUUAACUCCACAAUGGCCAACUAUUGGUGGGGUGAGGAGAAUGGGAAGAACAAGAUGCACUGGAAAGCUUGGAACAAGAUAUCGCGGGACAAGCAAGCAGGUGGCUUAGGCUUCAAGGAUUUAGAGGCUUUCAAUCUAGCCUUAUUGGGAAAGCAGAUUUGGAGGCAACUCACUCAACCAAAUUUGCUGGUCAGCAGAGUGCUAAAGUCCAGAUAUCACCCAAAGCAAUCUAUAUUCAAGUGUAAAGUUGCUGGGAAUGCUUCAUGGAUUUGGAAAGGACUGAUGCGAGCUAGGCUGAUGGUUGAAGAAGGAACUCGAAAAAGGAUUGGUAAUGGCCUGAGUACUAACAUUUGGGAGGACAGCUGGAUUCCUAUGACACCAAAUGGAAGAGUGACAACACAGCAGCCACAAGGAGUUAAUUUGGUUAAGGUGGCAGACUUGAUCGUCCAGAAAAAAUGGAACAAGAACCUUCUCUUUAGGAAUUUCACCCCCAUGGAGGUAGAAGGAAUACUAAGCAUCCCCAUUAGCUUACUCGACAAAGAGGACAGCAACUUCUGGAUUCACAAUUCAAAUGGGCAUUAUUCAAUGCGAUCAGCCUACAGGGUCCAAACUAAAUGGCUGAAGGCUUACGAGUAGGAGGUCAGGGGGCCAGCUAGUACUAGUUCGAGUAUCCAAGGUCAGAAAAUUUGGAGGCACCUGUGGAAACUGAAUAUUAAGCAUAAAGUGAAGCUUUUCUUAUGGAAAUGUCUCAACCAAGCAUUACCUGUAAGACACCUCAUUCACAGUAGAACACAACAAGGUGAUCCUACAUGUAGAGUGUGUGGAGAAGAUUGUGAAAUGGUUGAACAUGCGUUACUUAAUUGUAAUCAUGUUAAACUGGUGUGGAGAAUGGCACCUAUCCAAUGGGAGGGAAUUACAAAUCUGCAAGGUUGUUUUAGUUCGUGGUGGACCUCGGUAAUGGAGGCGAGGUCGAGAAGUGAGGGAUAUGAACACAUUUCUCUCACGGCUAACAUUCUUUGGUAGAUCUGGAAAAGCAGAAACGUGAAGGAAUUUGAAAGUAAGCAGCAUCCCCCACUACGAAUAGUGCAGAAAGCUCAGGAGGAAUGGUUGGAAUAUGGUGAAGCUACGGUCAUAGCCUUAAAGAUGAGUACAGAAGAAACAGGAGAACAACCGCAACCCCCCCAGCAACAAGAAGAAACAGAAAGCAUUCUGAGAUUAAGGUUUGCUAUAGAAAAGAGCAAGGACAGCCCCCAAAUAGGGACUGGAGCAACUGUCUCUUUAGAUAAUCAACAACUGAUGAGAGGAUGGGCUUUACAGGAAAGAUGUUCUGGCCAUAAGCUAAUUGAUGAACUAACUGCAAUUAAGCUACUAAUGUGUAAAGCUACUGUACAGAAGUUGGAGAGGUUAGAAGUUCAUGUCCAGAAUAAGCAGACACUCCACCUCAUCCAGCAGACAAAAUCUUCAGAUAUGCGAGUGGUAACAUUGCUGGAGGAUAUACAUAGCCUUAAGUACCUGUUUCGCAUGUGCUCCUUUUGCCUAGUUAAUAGGGAUAUUAACCAUAUUAUUCAUAGAAUUUGCACUCAUGCGCUAGACUUUUUUGUUGACCAGGAAUUUUGGAUUCCUCAGUGAUAGUUAGCACUGACUGUGUAGUUCCCUCAAGUCUUUACUUGAAAUUGUAAAGUUUUUGGUCUUCUAUAAAAUCACUUAUCGUUUCGGAAAAAAAAAAAGAAGAUAAUACGAAACACAAAAAAGAGCAAUUUUUGAAGUUAAUUUAAUUUGGUCCACUAAGUCAACUGAUACGGCACAUACAGAAGCUCCUGGAGCAGCAUGACUAGUGACUACUGUCCACAAAAUGUAGGGUCUCCAGUCCCUUCAUGACUUUGCUCGGAGACUAGUUAACUUUGAAACUCAUUCUUUAGUAUUGAACCCACUAACCACAUAUCAUUUAGUUUUUCUUCAAAUUUUACAAGAUGCCAUUUAGCAUUAAAAAAGAAAAGUAAAGGAAAACAUGCCGAUUAAAAGCUACCUAUAAAUGAAAUCAUAGUACGUUGUUGAAAACUGGUAAACACUCAAUGAAUUAGGUGAGUAAAGGUUAGUUUAGCACUUCACUAAAUAAUCCCUCAAUUGCUGCUGGUUGAGCAUAUAUAUAUAUAUAUAUAUAUAUAUAUAUAUCAGUAGUGAUUUCCAUGAUGACAAUUUCGGGUGCUUAUUGUUUGAGCCUUUAAGGGAGCAUUGUCUUUACUUACUACUCAAUUAAAAAGAAUUUAGUUACAGCAUAAUAAAACAGGCUGAAGAAUAUAUAUAAUAGGUUGGAAUCAUUACUAUUAAUCAAUCAUAUUAGUGCGUUAUAGUACGUAUUAGCAUUUGGUAUCUACAAUAGAACUAAACGUAGAAAACACAUGUAGAGUAUUUGUUGUUAAUUUUCUUUUCCCUUGGUUAUUGAUUAUAAAAUUGGUUGUGAUUAACUUUGGAAGAUUUGAUUUAACGUAAUGGGCAGGCAUAGUUUGAAUAUUCUAUACACAGAUGGAGAUAAUGUUGUAAAUAAUGCGCAUGCUCUUUUUAUUUCGAAUGUGCAUGUAUUUGGGUUUGUUUACGUAUAAUUUUCUUAGUUCAAGUAAAAAUCUAUAUCUAUAUGUAUUCAAGAAGGGGUUUUUAGCAGAAACCCUCUCAAUGGCUUCUAAACUUCUCAUUCUUUUUUCUAAAUUUUUGUAUUUAUUUUAAUACAUAAAAAGUAGUGGGUCAUAACCCACCUUAUCACCAAUCAAAUUUAAAUUUAAAAUAUUCUCACUAUCUAUUAAUUCAUCCUACAACCACUCUUACAAAUCCUCUAAUCAUCAUCCCACGUUUCUCCCUACAUUUCCUCCCACGUUUCUCACUCCAAUUAAGAGUCCACUCCAACUAUCUCUUAAUUCAUCCUACAACCACUCCUACAAAUCCUCUAAUCAUCAUCCCACGUUUCCCCUACAUUUCCUCCCACGUUUCCCACUCCAAUUAAGAGUCCUCCAAUUUAAGAAUUCCACCCAAAUUAAAACUCCUCCAAAGAAUUCCAUCCCCAAUUCCCCCACCCUCUCUCUCAGUUUCUUAUUUGUUUUUGGUUCUCUAUUGAUUUUGUAAAUGUAUUGAUUUUGCUUCUUUUGUGAGCAGUUAUGGAUGAGAUUAUGUGUAGAAACUUCAGCGGAAAUCAACCUUCUUGCGGAGAACUAGAAGUAUAUUCUUGCCGACUUAAUUUUCUAGGUCAGUCCCCUCUGCCCCUCUGCCUUUUAAGUAUGUUUUGCUUUUGAUUUGCUUUUUGUCAUGAAUGAUAUUGCAUUGAUUUUCUGAUCAUCCAUUAUUUCUGAAAUUUUUUUACAAAAUCCUAUGAACGGUCGUUUGCUUAUUGUUACACCGUAAAGCAAAGAUACUCAACAGUGGGAUAAAGUAUAAACACAAAAUCACAAGCACAUGCUCCAAAAGACCCAUUAAAGGCAUGAUUUAUGCAUCGACCAUGCUGUUGCUACUUAAACAGCAGCAAUUUAGCGAAAAUGGAAAGUGGAAACGAUGUGUGUGAAAUCAAAUGCUUAGUAUUUGUAAGUAUUUCAUUUUAACAACAUUCACAUUCAUUUGAAGAAAUAUAUCAUUCCCUUUUUUAAUAUAAAUUUUUAUUUUUUUUUUCAGGAUCCAUUUUCCAAAAAAAGACAAUUCUUGAAUGAUAUACACAUUCUAUUAUAUUUCAAACUAUUGUUAAACAUAUAUUACAUUUUAAUUUUGUUGGUACAAUUUUUUCACCUUUAUUUGUUCACCAUUUUAUUUUUAUUUUUUUCAAUAAUGUCGGCACCGUGCGUAGCACGGGUAUUCACACUAGUCUAUAUGUAUUGCAGAGAGGGUUUUUAGCAGAGACUCUCUCAAUGACUUCCAAACUUCCCAUUCUUUUUUCUAGAUUUUUGUAUUUAUUUUAAUACAUAAAAUCUAAUUAAAAACUCUAAAAUAGUGGGUUAUAACUAAUCCUAUCACUAGUCAAAUUUAAAAUUUAAAACUUUUCCACUAUCUCCUUCAUAAACCGUUUAUAGUUUGUUAUUUAUACUUUAAGUCCUUUUGAUUCCUUAAUUAAAUAAAAUACAUUUGUCAAGCCAAAAUUCUCAGGGAUAAUUGGUUAGUCUCAUUUUAAAAUUAUUCACCCUAUUAUAUCUUUAUCACUUUAGCCCCUUUUAUUCCUUCAUUAAAGAGGAUAAAUUUAUCUAGCCAAAUCCUCGAGAUAAUGUGAUUAGUCCUAUUUUUCAGUUAUUGCUUUCCUUCUGAGUACAAUAAUCAUUUGUCAACAUUUUCUAAUGAUAUACUUGAUUACUCUUAUGUUUUAUUAAUUUAUGUUACAAUUUUAUUGCAGUCUUAAACUUAUCAUUUUUCUUUUAUAUUCAACAAGUUUAGGGAACUCUAAUAGGUUUACUUUUUAUAAUUUUUAUGUUGGAUUUUAUUCAGUAGGUUUGUUUUUUAAAGUUUUAAAAUUUGAGUGUUGAAAUUAUACUCUAACAUUAAAUUGGAGUAUGUAAAUAACAAUUAUGAUAUUUUAUUUGCACUUAGAAUAAACUCAAUAUUAAUAUCGUGCAAGCAUCUAGAUGACUUUUCAUUUAGCACAUGUACACCAAAAAGUGCAUGUAAAGAAAAAUUUAUUUAUGAAUUUUAAAUUAAUAAAGGUGUAUCUAGAAGGUUACUUUUGGUGGUAUUUUAGCAGAAUUUUGAUGAUAAAAAGGUUGUAUUUCACCAAAUUUACAUCCGAAAGUUUACUUUUUCUCGAUGAUUGCAAUUCUAGCUUUUUAGAUUAAAAACACUUAAAAAUGAGGCAGCAACUUGGAAAAAUAAUUCUAACUUUUUAUAUGUCCAAAAACACUUAAAAAGUGAGAUGAUGAAUCCUAAGUAGUGAAAGGAUUAGAAAGAUAGGACUGUAGGGUUAAAGAAGGUAAAGAUUAAGGAAGAGUUAUCAAAUUAGAUGAUUUAUGUGAGUUUGAGCAAGUUAUAAUUAGGCUCACGAGUUGGGGGACCAGUUGGUACAUAUGGAGAUUUCUUGGGUAGGUUACUCUCUCCAGGUGUCGGCGGUGUAUGCCAAAUGUACAAGAGUGGGUCGGCGGAGCUUAUGGCAAGCAAUGGAGGAUGUCCGUGAGAGGUUUCCAGGUCCAUGGCUAAUGGCGGGAGACUUUACUGUGGUUUCUAAUGCCAGCGAACGGUUUGGCGGGGCCCCACCAAACAGGCGCAAUAUGGAUGAUUUUAACGAGGCCAUUUUCUCUUGUGGGCUUGUUGAUGGCCCCCUGUUCUCCUGGACCAACGGUAGGCAGUGUUUGGAUCGGGCUAUUGCGAACACAGCCUGGAUGGACACUUUUGAUGUGACGAAAGUGUCCCACCUAGUGCGAGGUAGAUCUGACCAUGCUCCUCUCUUUGUCAAAUGUGGCUUGCACAAGGCACAUAGCUCAUCUUUCCGUUUCCUUAAUGUCUGGACCAAACAUUCGAGCUUCAUGGGUGUGGUCCGGGACGCUUGGCAAGUUCCUGUUCACGCUGGGGGUAUGCUCGGUUUCUACCAACGGCUGUCGAAUGUUAAAAGUAAACUCCGCGGCUGGAGCAGGCAGUCGUUUGGAGAUAUCUUUCAGGCAGUACAUGUGGCUGAGGAAAACUUGUUGUAUCAUCAGGAGAUGUUUGACGCGACUCGCGAUGACAUCUCUCGGAUGCAGUUGGGGGAGGCUCAGGCACAAUACGCCCGAGCGUUAGGCGUAGAAUGUGAGUACUGGAGGUAGAAAUCGGCAAUUAAGUGGAUUCAGCAGGGCGAUGCCAAUACCAAGUUCUUUCACUCGAUCUUGAAGCAGCGACGGAGUGUCAAUUUUGUCUCAAUGGUGAGGGACGAUGCGGGUCACUAGCUAGAAGAUGAGGAGGAGAUCAGAGUUUCGACAGUGCAAUACUUUGAGAAGCUGCUCACGUCGGACCGGGAGGACCGGACUACCCCAAGCUUGGACUUCCCGCUCCCCUCACUGACAGAUGAGGACAAUUUGAUGUUUCAGCAGUUGCCGUUCCUGCAGGAUGUAAAAGAGGUAGUUUUCUCGAUGUCAAAAGAUAGUGCGUCGGGGCCAGACGGAUUCGGGGCAGGUUUCUACCAAGAGUAUUGGCCAAUAAUCCAGCGUGACAGCGUGAGCUUCUCGAAGCGGUUCAGGAGUUCUUCAAGGGGGCCCCUCAACCCAGAGGCUUCUCUAGUGCAUUGAUUGUGUUAAUCCCAAAGGUACCGGGGGUGACUAAAUGGCAGGAGUUCAGACCGAUCAGCUUGUGUAAUCAAAGCUCCAAGAUUAUCUCCAAAGUGCUGACAAACCGCCUCAACCUUCUGCUCCCUAAACUUAUCUCACCAUGGCAAUCAGGUUUUGUCCCAGGCAGGAGUAUUGCUGAUAAUAUCCUUGUGGCACAGAAACUGGCACUGGAUAUUGAUAGGAAGCUGCGAUGCCCAAACCUGAUGCUGAAACUAGAUAUGGAGAAGGCGUAUGACAGGGUAGAAUGGAGUUUUCUUAUAUUUAUGCUCCGACAGUUUGGGUUUCAGGAGUGGGGGGUAGAUCUCCUCUUUCGGACGCUAUCAAACAAUUGGUUCUCGAUGCUAAUCAAUGGAUCCUCGGCAGGAUUCUUCAAAUCCUCUAGGGGGGUUCGACAAGGCGACCCGCUCUCUCCACUGUCAAGAUGAGAGUCAUUUCUUCAUCUCCCCUGGGUUGCGGGUCCCUUACUUGGCGUUUGCGGAUGAUACCCUGGUCUUCACCCGGUGCUCUGAGGAGGGGUUGGCUUCUCUCAAGACGUUCUUUGACUCUUACCAGGCUUUCUCGGGUCAGAAGACUUCAUUUUGUCUACCCGGGCAUCCCCUACACAUAGGACAGUCGUGGCCUCAACGUUGCACUUCCAGCAACAGUUCCUGCCGUUCACGUAUCUGGGGGCCCCAGUCUUCAAGGGAAGAAUGACGUGCGUUUGACUCCCUUGUGGCUAAGGUGCAGGCCCGUCUAACCUAUUGGAGCUCGCGGUUACUCUCGUCAGGAGGUAAAUUGGUGCUACUGCGGCAUGUUCUUACCUCGAUGCCUAUGUACCUGCUGCAAGUGUUGGACCCCCCCGGGCAGUUUUGCUCAAGCUGGGAAAGUUGUGUAAUGCUUUUCUCUGGGAUAAGCCCACUGGAGUGAGGGGCAUCCAUUGGACUUCUUGGGGAAAGAUCUGCUACCCGGUUUCUGAGGGUGGCUUGGGUUUUCGCUCCUUUGAAGACAUGAGCUCUGCCUUCGCCGGUAAGCUAUGGUGGCGGUUGAGGAAAAACGAAUCGUUAUGGGCGCACUUCAUGCAGGCCAAAUAUGUUAGAGGCAAGCACCCGCUCCAAGUGCAGGUGGUCAGGCCUUCGGCUGCAUGGAGGCGGUUGGAGGGAAUUAGACGGGUAGCAGAGAGUCACAUCAGGUGGUGCGUGGGUAAAGGAUUUGUAGAUCUGUGGUAUGAUCGUUGACUAUUUGAUGUCCCUCUGGUCGACCUCCUUUCCAUUAAUGACCCGCCACACAUGCUGCUCGCAGAGUUCUUUGAUGACAGGGGUUGUAAUGUAGCGAGACUAGAGCAAUGGGUGCCUGCUCAGCUGGUUAAUCAGAUCCAGAAUUCGGCACAAACGCAACACCUCGCUACUAGACGGGCUCCUUUGGACAAGCAUAGUGCCACUGAAGUUAUCAUUCUUCGCAUGGAAGGUUUUACGUAGCCUGGUCCCCGUGGAGAUGGUUCUGAAACGACGUGGAGUUCCCCUGGCAUCACGCUGCCCAUGUUGCCUGUUGGAAGAAGAGUCACUAGUUCAUCUCUUCGUAACUGGCCCUGUAGCAAGGGAGGUUUGGAGCUCAUUUUGUCAGAGGUUUGGGAUUAUUGAUCCUCGCUCCUCAUCGGUAUCUGUGAUGGUCUUGACAUGGCUCAGCUCGACUUCGCUGGUAUCUCGUGAUCAUAUCAGGACCGUCGUUCCUUUAGUAAUACUAUGGUUCCUAUGGAAGGCUAGGAACAGGGCGCUCUUCAAGGGUGAGAUAUUUGAGGCUCGUAGGGUGGUGUCUUCGGUCGACGGAUUUGUGAAGCAGUUGGAAGCGGCAACAAAACUUUUGGCAUGUCAUUUUCGGGGAGACAUGAGAGACCCAUGGGUCGGACUGUGCACCCGACCAAUGAAACGGAAAACUGCACAGGCGGUGUCUUGGAAACGCCCUCCGUUGCACCAUGUCAAAUUGAAUACGGAUGCUAGUGUCUCUCACAAGCGUGCGUAUGGGGGUGGGUUGCUUCGCGACUCGGACGGCCGCUUAAUUUUUGCCUUUUACAAGGAGUUCGGGGAAUUGGACGUCCUGAUGGCAGAAAGUUCAUUGUUGCUGCAUGGCCUUCAGCAUUGUAGGGACCUAGUCAGGGGGCCCCUGCUGGUGGAGGUGGACUCUAAGAGCCUGGUUGAUCUACUCAAUGCGGGAGCAAUGUCUCGUUGGCCUCUGUGUAACACAUUGCGUCGCAUCCAAGCGCUGCUUUCCUCACUUUCGGCAACGGUAUCCCACGUCUUUAGAGAGGCAAACGCUUCGGCGGACGCGCUCACCGGGUUGCGGUUGCCGUCAAAAUUAUUUUGCACUUCACUCCCUCAGCUUCCGCAUUUAGUACGGGCUACGGUAUACUUAGACAGCCGCGAGUUCCCCUCCUUGCGAUGGCAACCCGGAUAGGUGUCUUGAAUUUGCGGGUGGCUGAAAUUAUGUAUUUCAUCGUUUUAUCAUAGCAUGUACUUCUCCGGUUCCAAUCAAUAAAAUAAGGUAUUUUUUUAAAAUAAAAAUAAAAAAAAAGUUAUAAUUAGGCUAACCUAUAUAUUCCUAUUUAGUGAAUGGUUCAAAAUAGACGAGUCGUCAAUGAAUAUAGUUUUAUAUGGGUUUGGAUUAUCCAAUCACCCAUUCUCGGCCCACUACUAAAUUUUAUUUACUUUUUCAUCCACAUUUUGUUUAACAACAAAAUAGUAAAUCAUAUCAAUAUAUCAAGUUAAUAAAUCAAUUUUUACCUAAAGAAAGAGAAAAAAACAAAAAAAAUUACUUAGAGGAGCCUAAAAUGGUCAUCAUAGUGAGUUUUAAAUUUUGUCACUUUACGACAAUCUAAAAAUAAUUUAGGUAUUAAUGCAAACAAUCAAUUAACAGUCACAAAAUUUAUUAAACUUUUAUGAAAGAAAUGGAGGAAGUAGGAUAAAUUUUAAAAAAUAAAAUAAUAGAAAUUAAAGACGAGAAAAAAUGAUGAAUACAUCUUUGCAAAAUUUAGAAUAUAAUUAUUAGAGUAAUUUAGAUUUACCCAGAAAUGAUUGAGUUUGAAUCUACGUCUAGUUUAAUUAAGUCAAAAUAAGUGAUCCAAAUUUGUCCAUUUCAUACCCACUAAUUAAUGGGUUAAUUUGAUCACCCAUUUGAAUCCAAUUAAAUUACAUAUGCAAACUCAUUUGUUAAUAGGUGAGCCAAGUAAAUAGGUUACCAUUUACACUUAAAAAUGGAUGAAAAUAGUAGUAGAAUAGGAGACAAGUGGCUGUAAAAUUGGGUAAGAGAUAGGGUAAUUGGGUGGGAGCGAGAUAGAGCAAAGAGAAAAUAGGAUUUGGUGGAACAAGAAAGGGUUGUAGGGAUACAAGAAAAUUGGAUAGGAAAUGAAGGAACGAAAGAAGGUUGUAGGGAUACGAAAAAAUUGGAUUCAGAAAGUGAAAAUAAUAGUAGUGGAAAGUAGGAGGAACAUCGAAAAGAGAGGAGGAGAGAGGAGAGAAUGUUGUGUUUGGCCAUAUUUUUUCCUCCGUCCUAUAUAAAGCUGUGCAACGCACAGGUCAAAAUACUAGUUUUUAUGCAAAGUAGUACACAAAAUUUUGGAGGCAUAUGGCCAAUCGUGGAGUUGGAAAACCAAAAAAAAAGAAAAAAACACUUAAUAGUGUUAUAAUAUAAAUCAAUCUCUCAAUUUCAUUCUGACUUUAUUUCUAAAUUUUAGACAUACCCACCCCUAAAAAGAGAAGACUGUUGCAAAACUUAAAAUUUCAAGCGUUCACACUUGUGUGAGUGUGAAUAUAUGAAUAGGAUAUGAUAGGGUGUUAAUUGUUGGUUAUUUUAUUAUUAAUUUCCCCUUUGUCCUUGCCAAAUAUUGUUUUAAUUAUUAAUAUUUACUUAUAUUUUGUAUUUGGAUUUAAUUUCAGGGAAUGGAACAGAAACUACAAAAAAGGAAGGGCUUUCUGAGCAAUUUACUGCACACAUGGGAGUCUUCUGCAAGGCUCACUCAACGUGGCCCACAAGAGAGGAAACAAUUGGAUUUCCCUUUGGCCCUUAUUGAGCUGAUGAAGAAAGGGCUAUGAGAGCCCUAGGAACCAAGGAAACAAAAAGAAAAUUGAGCCGCAGCUUUUGUAUUCUUUCCUUGGCUUUCAAUUUCGGUGGGGACCACGAGAGGAGAAAAGGCUUUUUCUUCAUUUGGCCUUUAAGAGAAGUAACGUACAGAGAUGGGAAACAAGAAGCAAUUUGGCAGGACCCACCUUGUGGAUUUGGUUUUCUCUCAAUUCGGCAGAGUUUCCUUCUUGGACUUUGACUCUCAAUUCGGCGGGAUCCACGCACUAGGAGAGGCAUUAGUCCUCUUUGGCUUUAAAAACAAGUACACGGAUGGAGAUGAGGGGAUGAAUACUUUUUAUCUUUAGUUCUUAUCGAAGCUUUAGGAUAGUUUUAGUUUUUUCGUUUCUUUCUUGGCUCUUUUGAUGGCCUGGAUCUCAAUGGAAUUACUUGAAGAUUUUCUCAUGAGACGUGGCUAAGUUUGUCUAGUCAAGAACAACGGAGGAUUUGGUUCUACUAAAUUUGUGAGAUCGAAUUAGUUUUUAUUUAUUCCCAUUAUUCACUGGUAUUUGUCUAUCUUCUGCUUUAUGUUCAUAUGGUUGUUUAUUAUUCGAUUAUCCAGGGCCCGGAUUCUAGAUUAAUUCAAUAACCUGAAGCCAAUUAGGGUAGUUAAAUCCGUAAUUGUUUAAUUAUUCUAAACUGGUGGCAACUGGCAUGAUUGGGUUUGUGUCAGGGAGAUAGGCAGGCUAACUUAAAGAGACCCUCGUAGCGUGUUGAUUGGUUAGAAUUAGCCUCUUCUAAUUAUUCAUGCAAUUAGGGAAUUGAACUUCUAUGGUCGUACCUAGGAUUAUUUCCUGAUUAGAGAAAUAGUCAACGGUCGUACCUUGGCUAUCGACAAAUUGAGGAAGAGUUGGUUGUUUAUCGCGUGUAUGACAACUAUAACUAAUUUAUCAGAUAGUAACUGGAAUAAUCCUUGCAUCUGUGAUCGAAUUAAGUGAACCAUUUCCGAAGUUGUCUCUUGGCUAGAGUUCGUCCAUUAUUAUUUUUAUUGUGAUAAUUAGUUAUUUGAGUUGUAGUUAUUUUAUUUUAAUUAAUUUAUUCCAAGUAAUUUAGUUACUAUCAUUUUCAAAACCCCCCAUAUCUGGAACUUGAGAAGAAAUUAAAUUAUCUCCAGUCCCUGUGGAUUCGACCCUGCUUACCGCUAUAUACAGAAUUUGUAUUUUAUUUAAGCAGGUAUUUAUUAUUGCACAGGUUCGGCACCUGUCAAUUUUUGGCGCUGUUGCCGGGGACUGGUGCCAGAUUAAUUUGUUUCUUUUUGAGUUCAUCUUGUUUUUAUUUUUUAUUUUUUAUUUAUUUUUCUCUUAUUUUUUUUAUUAUAGUUUAUGGCUUCUAACACUCCGUAUUUUGGUGAUAGACUGGAUUUUGUUUCCGGGGAAGGCGAUGAGACUAGUUUUUUUGCUAAGUUUGCAUAUUCAGAGGCAGUAAACUCUAUUAGAGAAAGAAUGGCUGCUGCAACCUGUAAAAUUUGUUAUGCCAGGGAUCAUUCGACCGGUAUGUGCCCCGAAUAUCAAGAUAAUCUGAGUGUCCCACUCAAUAAUUAUGGAGAUUUUUCACCAUGGUCUCAAACGUGGUAUAACCCUAAUCCAAACGGGUAUGAUCAAGCAUGGUGGGAUAACUCCAGUUAUAAUUAUACAACAGGGCCACUAGAUUUUCAACAGCUAGAGUCUCAAGAACCGUCAUCCAUGUCAGGUAUGUCUCUUGAAGAAAUGGUUGAAUUAAUAGCCACUAACACAUAUCAAAUUCAACAGGAGGUACAUCAACUUCAACAGGAGACACAAAAAAUGAGUGAAGAGAUGAAAGAAGCAAGGCUUGAAUGGGCAUUUAAAACGAGCAAAUUGAUUUCUCCAGUUUAUGAAGAAUUGUCCUCACCGACUAUUAUCGACCAUGAGGAAGAUGAGAGUGCAAUUAUUCUGACAAAUGACAUGGUACUGCAAGAGUCUCGAGAAGAAGAAUCUAAAGAUGUAGUUGAAAAGAAAGUUGAAGAGCAAGAAUUGAGACCCCAACAUCAAAUGGUUCAAGUGAAUGAAUCCAGUGAACUAUCUCCAAAUGCGGUGACAUCUCCUCCAUUCCUUGAUCAAUAUUUUCCUGACUCUUAUUCUUUAAUUCCUGUUAGUGAGAUUGAUUUUAUUAUACCAGACGAUUUUGAAUUUCAUGCCAGGAAUAAAUUAAGAGUCAUGAUGGCAAAAUAUCUCGAACCAAUAAGUGCUCUUGAUGGAGUGAGUGAAGAUUUAAGAUCAUCACUUAUUUGUUUGGUGCCAUUUACUAGUCCAUGGAAGCCCGUAGCUCGUGUGCCCAAGAAUUACUCUAUUUACGAGGGCUAUCAGGAUUACAUAGAAGAUGAAGCACUGAAACGAGCCACAAGAUUUUAUCCUCCAUGAAUACACAUGAAAAUGUCUAGCCAAAGACAUUAAAGAAAGGCGCUACUUGGGAGACAACCCAAGACUAUUUGUUUCAGUUUUCAUGCAUUUUUGAAGUUUUAGUUAGGUGUUGGUAGCAAUUAAUAGUUUGAUUGGUGACAGGGAAUUGGCAUUUAGGCGUGCCCACGCCAGGUGGUCACGUCUGGGGAAAAGGGUUGGAAGGCGAGAAUCUGUGGACUCUAAGGCAGUUAGACGUGCCCACGCUAGGUGGUCACGCCUGAGAGAAAAAAAUUUUCGUUCAGGAUCUGCGGACUCUAUAGCAGUUAGACGUGCCCACGCCAGGUGGUCAUGCCUGAGGGAAAGAAAUUUUCGUCCAGGAUCUGCGGACUCUAUAGCAGUUAGGCGUGCCCACGCCUAAGCCAGAGGUUCCUUGAAAAAAAAAAUCAAAAAUUCAAAAUAAAAACAUUUUCCGUUUUACACCUUCAGUGUUGGUUAUCACAAUUCGAGUUUUGAAAUUUGAGUGUGCAAUAAAAAAAAAAUUUUCUUUUUCUUUCUUUCUUUUCUUCUUUUUUUUUCUUUCUUUCUUUUUUCUUUCUUCCUUCUUCCCCGCUGCCUCUGUUUUCCCCUUUUUCUUCUUGUCCUUCAUUCGUCCAGCUCACCUCGCGGCUCCAUUGAGCACAGCCCACGCAGCUCGCGGCCAAGCCGCGCCUCUCCUCCACUCUCACCUUCCAGGAGCGCCACCCCCUCAGCUUAGCUCGCCGCUAUCCAGACCGCCAACCCAGCUCCCUUUUCUCCUCUGCCUUGCGCGCAGCUCGCGGCCAGCGACCCCAGCGCCCGCCUCACCUCUGCAGUCGCGUGGCCUCAGCCGCGCCUCUCUCCACCUCGCGGCCACCGUCAGCUCUUCCCUCUCUCUCUACCUCACGGUCCACCACCAGCUCGCGCCACUCUACCCUCAACUCAACCCAGCCACUCUUCACACGCCGCCGCCUGCUUCAGUGCGUCCCCAGUCGCGCGCCGCCAACACCCCAUCUCUCUCUCUCCUCGCGCGGCUGCCCACCUCUACCAGCCUGCAAGCCACCACUCUGUCCUCCAGCUCAGCUCAACCCCCUCCAGCCCACCGCCAAGCUCCGAGCUCCACCGCCAGUCCACCAGCAGCUUCCUCCGCGCGCGACCAGAACAGCGCCUCCAGCAGCACAGCGCGCGGUCACCAGGGCAGCAGCUCGCACACAGGCGAGCCCAGGCGCGACUUCACAGCCGCGUUUCCUCCUCGCGCGAGUAGACCAGGCGCGCGUGCGACGCCCGCGCGGUGAAUUCCUCCACCUCUUUGCUGCCCCUGCUCUCUUCACUAGCACCCACUGCCUACUCCAAACAUCUGGUGAAUUCUUUUUUUUUUUUUUUUUUUCAGUCGCUAAGUAGCUGAGGCCAGAGUACUAGUUUUUCAUUAGCUGAUGCCAGAUUUUUGAUUUGCUAGCUGAGGACAGAAAUUUUGUGCUUGUUUGGGUGUUGUGGUAUAUCUGUGGUUGGUUGUUGAUUAUUUGGUAAAUUUUGUGCUCAACCGGUGGUAUUUGGGGAGAAUCUUUACUCUAGUUGCCUGUUUAUUUAGUUUUUGAGGGGUUUUUGCUCUGUUUAUUUGCUUAAUUAUUUUCUGGGGUUAAUUUUGGGUGGAAUUCAAUUUAUUUGCUACCCCAUUUGGGGGUGCUCUCUGGCAUUGAUUAUAUUGUUGAAUAUUAUUUGGGUUUUGACUACUUGAGAUUUCUAUUGCAUCUGGGGGAUAAAAUUUGAUGACUUUUGUGCCAGUUUAUUUGUUUGGAAAUUGUUGGGGGUAAUUUGGGAGUUACUUGUCAAUUGGGUCCCGUGGUACUCUCUGCCAUUCAGUGGUACUGAUUGGUGUGUUUGGCUUUAUCACAUGUCUUGGGUUGGCCAUUUGAUUUCAAUUUUCCUUUUGCAUGCACCAGUGGUACUGGUGAGGGUAGUACCCAAAAAUAUUUGUUACUCCUGUGUUAUUGGUUGCCUAAUCGACUACUGGGCAUUUGUGGUUGAGUUGUUUCUGUCCAACUUCUGAACUGUUGUUGCUGGAGUUGCCAUUUUCUUGGGUCACUUGCUGAUUUUAGCAGGCUGAAGUGGGUAAUUGACUGUCCAAUUGGAGACAGUUGUUACGAUAUUGGGUCCGAUUGUGUCUAAUUGCUGAAAGUUGUUGAUUUAUUAAGACACUAGCACAGUUCCUAGUUUGUUUGAGUUGCUGUUCUGUUGCAUUAUUGGGAGCUGUGCUCUAGUAUUGUGGCUACUUUCCUGUGUUUAUUUGUCGAAUUGGGAUAUGAAUGCGCCGUUUGCAUUUGCUUGUUGAAGUCGGUUGCCUUUAAUUGACUUGCUUGGGGUAUUUGGAGCAGUUGUUGCACUUUGGACGGCCUUAAUUCUGAAUUUGACUACAUGGGGUCCAUAAGUACUUAUUGAUUGCAUUUGCUAUAAGUGUUGGGGUCUGGUUUAAUCUGUGGGAGAUUGAAUUGUGCAUUUUGCUCAUUGAGAUGGCUUUAAAAAUUGUUAUUGCUUUGAAUUUUUGGCUUCCAUUAUUUGUUGGCAAUUGUAGUCUCUUGUUGCUUAGAGUGAUAUUUAGAGUCCAUGGUGAAGCCACGAAUGGCACCAGCUCCAGAUGUGAGUUGCUCCGCAAUUUCCACCUGAACCGCCCCUAUUUUGAUGACUUCAGGGAAGUACCGUUGCCCCUCUCCUUCCUUCUGCUCUUACAUUAUCACAUUGAGGGCAAUGUGUGAAUUAGGUGGGGGGGAUCAUAGUGGUGCUAGUAUUCUCAGUUUUUAGGUUCCGGAGGUUUUUCCUUUGUUUUUAGUUUGAUAUUUAUCUUCUUUUUCGUUUAUUUCCUUUUCUUUUUUUUUUUUUAGUGGUCAGCUCUUCUAUGACUACCAAGUUUGACGCUGGAUUGUUGCCUCUAAUUAUGUUAUUGCCAAGUUUUAUUAAUAAAAGGGUAUCAAGUUAAUGUGGUUGAAUUCAGGAAUAUCUCUUUGGUGAAUAUCGGUAAUUGCUUGACUUUUCCAAUUUUUGGUUAACUUUUCUAGGCAUAGGGAAUGAUUGUUGGCAUUUUCAUGUGAAUUGGUCCAGUUAUUAAUUUUAGUUCUCCAUAUUUGGAAAUUUGAGGCUGGCUGCUGUUCUUUUGUGUCAUUUUUAGUUAUUGUGCUAUAUGAUUGUAAAUAAGAGAUGACUGUACUCCGCUAGUUAUUACUACUGAGUAACCGGGGAUCUUCACCUAAAAUGUCGAUUCUCGCGUCAAAAGGUAGUAAUUGCUAUGAGUGCGUGAUCCCGUAGCAAUUGGAGCUGAGUAACCGGGCUCCUCCAUCUAUCAAAUGUUGGAGUUCGCGUCAAAAGGCUCUAAUGGCUAGGAACUAAGUCUUUUGUUAUUAUUGAAAAAGAAAAAAAAUAAAAAUAAAAAAAUAUAUAUAUAAAAAAAAAGCGUGAUAAAAAAAAAGUGAAGGUUGUGUAAGUGUGUGUCUAAAGUCAGCUUACCGAUCUAUGAGUUAAUGUUGAGAUUUGGAUUAAUAGUUGGACCAUUUGCUGAUAAAUGUGAGCAACCAUUCCUUUUCCUUAGAUUAGUUUGCUUUAAAUUGGAGAAGUUGGUGGUUGAGAAGCUAACCGGAGUGGUUUUUCUUGGAUCUUAACUGUGAUGCUUGAUAUAUGAUUUUCUUGGUGUCUUGGCAAUACGGUAGUUGGAGCAAUAGUCAUUGUCGAAUUUUUGGUAUUCAAUUGAUGUUCCCAUGCUUGAGGGCAAGCAUGAUUUAGGUAUGGGGGGAAUUGAUAGGGUGUUAAUUGUUGGUUAUUUUAUUAUUAAUUUCCCCUUUGUCCUUGCCAAAUAUUGUUUUAAUUAUUAAUAUUUACUUAUAUUUGGUAUUUGGAUUUAAUUUCAGGGAAUGGAACAGAAACUACAAAAAAGGAAGGGCUUUCUGAGCAAUUUACUGCACACAUGGGAGUCUUCUGCAAGGCUCACUCAACGUGGCCCACAAGAGAGGAAACAAUUGGAUUUCCCUUUGGCCCUUAUUGAGCUGAUGAAGAAAGGGCUAUGAGAGCCCUAGGAACCGAGGAAACAAAAAGAAAAUUGAGCCGCAGCUUUUGUAUUCUUUCCUUGGCUUUCAAUUUCGGUGGGGACCACGAGAGGAGAAAAGGCUUUUUCUUCAUUUGGCCUUUAAGAGAAGUAACGUACAGAGAUGGGAAACAAGAAACAAUUUGGCAGGACCCACCUUGUGGAUUUGGUUUUCUCUCAAUUCGGCAGAGUUUCCUUCUUGGACUUUGACUCUCAAUUCGGCGGGAUCCACGCACUAGGAGAGGCAUUAGUCCUCUUUGGCUUUAAAAACAAGUACACGGAUGGAGAUGAGGGGAUGAAUACUUUUUAUCUUUAGUUCUUAUCGAAGCUUUAGGAUAGUUUUAGUUUUUUCAUUUCUUUCUUGGCUCUUUUGAUGGCCUGGAUCUCAAUGGAAUUACUUGAAGAUUUUCUCACGAGACGUGGCUAAGUUUGUCUAGUCAAGAACAACGGAGGAUUUGGUUCUACUAAAUUUGUGAGAUCGAAUUAGUUUUUAUUUAUUCCCAUUAUUCACUGGUAUUUGUCUAUCUUCUGCUUUAUGUUCAUAUGGUUGUUUAUUAUUCGAUUAUCCAGGGCCCGGAUUCUAGAUUAAUUCAAUAACCUGAAGCCAAUUAGGGUAGUUAAAUCCGUAAUUAUUUAAUUAUUCUAAACUGGUGGCAACUGGCAUGAUUGGGUUUGUGUCAGGGAGAUAGGCAGGCUAACUUAAAGAGACCCUCGUAGCGUGUUGAUUGGUUAGAAUUAGGCUCUUCUAAUUAUUCAUGCAAUUAGGGAAUUGAACUUCUAUGGUCGUACCUAGGGUUAUUUCCUGAUUAGAGAAAUAGUCAACGGUCGUACCUUGGCUAUCGACAAAUUGAGGAAGAGUUGGUUGUUUAUCGCGCGUAUGACAACUAUAACUAAUUUAUCAGAUAGUAACUGGAAUAAUCCUUGCAUCUGUGAUCGAAUUAAGUGAACCAUUUCCGAAGUUGUCUCUUGGCUAGAGUUCAUCCAUUAUUAUUUUUAUUGUGAUAAUUAGUUAUUUGAGUUGUAGUUAUUUUAUUUUAAUUAAUUUAUUCCAAGUAAUUUAGUUACUAUCAUUUUCAAAACCCCCCAUAUCUGGAACUUGAGAAGAAAUUAAAUUAUCCCCACUCCCUGUGGAUUCGACCCUGCUUACCGCUAUAUACAGAAUUUGUAUUUUAUUUAAGCAGGUAUUUAUUAUUGCACAGGUUCGGCACCUGUCAGGAUAUAAUCAUAUUAGGGAAAAUGACAUGUUUCAUCCCUCACAUUUCGUAAAAAAAUUCUUUUCGUCCCUCACAUUUAAAACGAAACAAAUUGGUCCCUCACAUUUAAAAACCCAAGCUUUUACAUCCUAGAAAUCAACUCUCAGCUGUGAAUCAAACCAUCUAACAACCCGAUUAUAAAUUUUAGGGGUAGAAUUGGUAGAUCACUCUCAAAAAUAUAUUUCUAACAAAUAAAUUAAACAAUUAAAAAACCUGAACAGUCCAUUCCUCCUUCAAAUCCAACAAUCCAUCUUCAUCCCCGCCAAACUCAUCCCCGAACACUUCAAAAAUUUUCACUCCAUUCUCAUGUUUAAAUACUGUCCUUUCCCAAGCCGCAAAUCAUCACAAUCUUCAAGAAAUCUCUUUCAGCUCAGGCAUUUUCACAAACAUAUACGACUCAGACUCGAAUCUUUCCAUCAUGGCCAGAACCAAGCAAACAGCCCGCAAAUCCACUGGAGGCAAGGCCCCGAGAAAGCAACUGGCCACAAAGGCUGCCAGGAAAUCCGCCCCAGCUACCGGCGGAGUGAAGAAACCCCACAGAUUCCGUCCCGGAACUGUAGCCCUGCGAGAAAUCAGGAAGUACCAGAAGAGCACUGAACUUGUUAUCCGGAAGCUCCCGUUUCAGAGGCUUGUGAGGGAGAUUGCUCAAGAUUUCAAGACUGAUUUGAGGUUCCAGAGCAGUGCUGUUGCGGCUGAUUUACUUGGAGGAAAUCAGUGAAAUGCUGAGAUGGGCUGAUUGUAUUUUCUUCUGCCUUGUGGCCUGUUUUUGUAAUGAAAAUUUGGUGGUCAAAUGAAUGAAAAUCUUAUGAUGUUUGUUUCAGUCUUUUAGUACUGCUACUCUAUAAUAACAAUUUGAUAUAAUUGAUGCUGUAAUUUGUAGCUUCAAUCUUUGCAUGGCUGUUUUUGGAGUUGUUCCAAAAGAACUUACAGAAAGAUUAUUGUGUCAAAUAAAUUCAAUUUAAAUUUUGAUACGAUGGUUGGCCUGUACCAGUUGCUGCACCUGCUUUCUUGCCACUAAAUUUUGCAGAAAACUUAAUAAAUGGCCAAAGAAGCUUUUGCAGAAAACUUGAAAGAAACUUAGCCGAAGCUGGAAUAAGCUGGACUGAAUUACCAAAUUUGCAAAAGAUAAGGUGGAAUGAAGUUCUAACGUUGCACAAUAAAGUAGCAGUAAUUGAUUACAAACCAAAAUGCCAAAGAAAACUGGGUUCAAGCUGAAAAAUUACAAAGGAUAAGCUGGAAUGAACUUCUAGUGUUGCACAAUAAAGUAGCAGUACUUGAUUAUUAACCAAAAUGCCAAAGAAACUAGGUCCAAAACAUCUUUCUUAGGACAGUAGCAAAAGUGAAACUAAAACAGGAGUAGCAGUCAAAAAAAUUGCUUCAAUGACACUAGCUUAGUGGGAACACUAUGUGAAGUCCAACUGCACAACUGAUAUUCUUUCAAUAAAGUGCAUUCCUAUAAAGAGCAGCAACGGUGGAAGGACAUGUGCACCUUGUAUGGCCGACUCUGCGACACACUCCACACUUGUAGUUCUUUUCACCAUUCGAUUCCUGGGCAAGAAAAGCAAUAGAAAAAGGUUAGUCUAUUGAAAAUGAAUACGAUACUACAAAAUUACGUUGAAAUAAUUACAAAAUUGAAUUUACUGAACUGGAACAUGGUUUCUAUUUUCGGAGACUUGAUUGGAUGUAAAUAAAGUUGAUGUAUUCUGGCUUGCCAUUGGUGCUUCUGGCAUAAAUCCUUCAUGAGAAGAUGCGCUGCUGGCAGGCACACCAGUGGCAUUUUUAUUUUUCUUGUUUGAAACAAAAGCAGUCUCUCUAGUAUGAACUUGACUCCCUUCAUUUAUUUCAACCAUCAUGCAUUUUCGACUAUUGUGACCAGCCAUCUUGCAUUUCCUGCACUUGUAAGACAUCAGGCCUGUUCUACUCAACUUCUGCACCUGCUUUGAAUUCUUCUUAGGAGCUGGUACUUCAUCUGGCUCCCUCCUUCUUACUUUCUUAGGUCUUCCAGGCAACUUGAUUUUUUCCGGAGGAAGCAAAGGACCCUUGUUUGCCUUUGGCCAUAAUUCUUCUCCAUCCAUAGGGCCUAUAACUGGAGAGUAGGCCCUCAUAUAGGCUUCCUUUGAGUAACAAUCAUGAACAAAAGUUUCAGGUUCUUCAUCUGUCAAAGUGAUGGCACUAUAUGCAUGUGAACAAGGUAUUCCACUGAGGUCCCAUUUUCUGCAACUACAAGUUCUACUUACCAAAUCCACAGUAUAUCUAUCCCCAUACAUGCAUCUAACUUCAUAUUUCCACACUCCAGCUGCAGUAGCAAUACAUGUCUGAGCAUCAUCUUUAAUUUUUUCAAACUUUUUCUGUAUCUUAGGACACAACUGACCUUUUUGCUUCUUCAUCCACUCUCUUUUUUUCUCCAUCCUAACCAUCAAAUAGAAUCUGAUGGUCUCUAACAUACCAAUUAUUGGUUGUUCCCUAGCAUCCAGAAUUAUAGAGUUGAAACUCUCACAUAAGUUAUUCAGAAGGAUGUCACACUUGGAAAGUAUCCUAAAGUGUGAUCUGGUCCACUCCUUUGGUGUUGUAUGUUUCACUAGCCAAUUGAAUGCUUCUACAUCGAACUCCUUCAAUGAUUCCAUUUCACUAGCAAAUCUGCUUUCAUAGGAAGCUCUUGCAGCAGACCAUAUUCUAUCUUUUAAUGCAAGUCCAGGAUGCUCUUUCUUGAAGUUAUUGUACAUGUGUCUCACACACAUGCGGUGUUCCACACCAGGCAGUAGCUCAUGUAUUGCUUGAAUGAGUCCCUAAAAAUGGGUUAUUGUCAUUAAUUAAUUAAGCAAGAAAAUAUAAUUAUCCAAUUCAUAAGAGAAACUAUAACUAACAUUUUGCUUAUCAGUCAUGAAAGUCCACGUUCUUUCAUUUGUGAUCUGAAGAUCAUGCUUCAAUUCUGUGAGAAACCAUCUCCAUGUGUGCUUGUUUUCUAUUUCAACAACUGCAUAAAUCACGGGGAAUAAUUGGUUGUUUGGAUCUAUCCCUAAAGCAGUAAGGAGAACUCCUUUGUGUGGCCCUCUGAGAUGGCAGCCGUCAAGUCCUACAACAGGCCUGCAACCAUCCAAAAACCCUCUCCUACAAGCAUCAAUGCACACAUAUAAUCUUUCAAAUUGAUCAUCACCCUCAUCAUUUUCUGUAGUAGUCAUAAAAACAUUAGAGCCAGGAUUUUUUUCCUCAAUUGCAAGGCAGUAGUCCCAUAGCUUGUUGUAUUGCUCUGUGUACUUUCCCUCUAUCAAUUCCUUUGCUUUUGCUUUGGUUAUAUAUGCUACAUUCCUAGUGAUAGUUGCAUUGACAUCAGUAUGAACUUUAUUUACAAAGUCAUCUGGUUUGUAAUUGGGGUUCACCCUGAAGUCCUCCAAGUACUUGUCACAUAAAAACUUAAUAUUUGCCAUCCCAUGAUCUGAUGUUCUUCCACAAGUGUGAGUUGUCAUCAUUGUCUUUAUUAUAAAGUCCCCAGUUUUAUCUAAUUUAGAUGCAUAUACAAACCAAUUGCACCCUUUUCCCUUGCAAUAUGCUCUCACCCGUAUCAAAUCAUCUUUUUUGAAUCUGAUUUUUCUACCCCACUUGACUCCAUGUGCUCUGCAUGCUUUUUUGAACAGCUGUUUAUCAGUAAAAACAAGUUUCAAUUUGAACUUUGGGUCAUCCAUGUCAGUUUUAGGAUUAAACCUCUCAUAUUUUCCUGAUUUAGAACAAAUUCCCCCUUCAUUAUCACUUGAACUUGAGUUGCUGUCGAAUUCCUUAUCUGUUGAAGAAUCUGUCUCCUCAGCACUAUCAGAAGAAGCUUCUUCUAUACCAUUAUAUUUUUCAUGUCCAGCUUCAAGGUUGCUUUUAUUCACCCUAAAUUGAUCAGCAAUUUUAACCCAAUCAUUUUCCCCUUUACUAAAAGUCCUGUAAAAUUCAUCUUCAUCACUAAAAUCAUAAUCACUAUCGUGGAACUUCUCCCCUCCACUUGAUUCAUCAUCUUCCACUAAAUGGUCUAACUUUCUUUUACUGAUUUUUUUGCUAUGACAAAUUUUUUUACCAUUCCUUCUCGUCUUCAUUGCUACACUAGCGUGUUUGCCUCUAGCACAAUUAAUAGGUGUACCAUUAGUUUCACCUUCAUUAUUAGUAGUAGUAGUUUCAUCUCUGCUAAUCGCCCCAUCAGCUUCACACUCGGGAUUUUUAACUUCACCACCAUAACCGUCUUUAUCAUGGUCAACAUGAGCUUCUUCUUGGGCAUUACCAUCAAGAAAUGCUGUUUGCCUAUGCACAAAAAAAACAUCAACCAUCUUUUUCCACUCCCCAAUCCUUGCCAACUCCGUUGCAUCCUCUUCAGAGAACAUGUAAAGCAAGCCAUCUUGCAUUCUUUGACCAGGUAGCAAGUAGUAGUACCUAAUAGAAUGUUCUUCAUAUCCAAGCUCCUCUGCAAUCUUAUCUAGGGAACACAAAGACCAUCUCUCUGAGUUACAAUAGUGAUAAACUGCAACCAAACCCCCUGCGUAUGCUCUCUCAUGCGUAACUUCAAGCUUACCUCCAUGAUGGACCCUAAUAGAAAAAAAAUUGGUGUUUGUUCCUGCCAAUAAUUAUUGAGGCCAUUAAAAACUUGGGACCACAAUAGGUGAACAUGUUCACAUGCUAUAACCAUUAAUUUAUAACUCUAAUUUGUCUCAUCUUCAAUAAAUUAUCAACAUCAAAACAAAAAUUGGAUUUUUUUACUCCCUAAAUAUUCCAUUGCAUAUAGAUAAAAAAAAAAAAAUCAUUCAUUUGCGACCACAACAACAUAUUAGAAGACCCUAGUUUCUUGUUCUUCAUUUAAAUAUACACCAUAAUCAGGAUUACCACACAAUCAUUCAAUAAUUGUUGUAUUUUAUUGCACCACAACCUAUUUAACGUAAAUCAACAAAAUUUUUGCAGAUAAACAUAAAAACUUACCAUAGUCUGGUGCCUGCCGCCCUGUUUCUUCCCCUUCGUUGCCUUCCAUGAAAAGUUUUCUUCCCCUUGUUUGCUUGGUUCCGGCCAUGAUGGAAAGAUUCAAGUCUGAGUCGUAUAUGUUUGUGAAAAUGCCUGAACUGAAAGAGAUUUCGUGAAGAUUGUGAUGAUUUGCGGCUUGGGGAAGGACAGUAUUUAAACAUGAGAAUGGAGUGAAAAUUUUUGAAGUGUUCGGGGAUGAGUUUGGCGGGGGUGAAAAUGGAUUGUUGGAUUUGAAGGAGGAAUGGACUGUUCAGAUUUUUUAAUUGUUUAAUUUAUUUGUUAGAAAUAUAUUUUUGAGAGUGAUCUACCAAUUCUACCCCUAAAAUUUAUAAUCGGGUUGUUAGAUGGUUUGAUUCACAGCUGAGAGUUGAUUUCUAGGAUGUAAAAGCUUGGGUUUUUAAAUGUGAGGGACCAAUUUGUUUCGUUUUAAAUGUGAGGGAUGAAAAGAAUUUUUUUACGAAAUGUGAGGGAUGAAACAGGUCAUUUUCCCAUCAUAUUAUUAGGAUGUAACAAAAUUGUGUCCCACUAAUCAAGAAAAUCUUUGGCUGCAGGAUAUCCUUCCAACAAUUGCUUAACAACCGCUGAAGCGAAGUAAACUUCACUUGGCAUUGUCUAAGUGGAAAGUCCCAUGAAGUCCUGUUGCUAGGGAUGUUGAGAGGAAAAGAAAAUUUGGUUCUUCUACUACAGAAGUCAAUUGAAAUGAACCCUUCGUUUGGGUUAAGAAAUUUGACGAAGAAUUUGAAAUCCAUCUAAAUUGGUCUAAUUAUUUAAAUUGCUUAAUUAAGAGAUAUUUGGGUAUGGUGUAAUACAUCAGCUAUUAAAAAAAUAUUUAAAUACUAAAAUAAUUGAUAGUUUACAAAUUCAAAUAUCUCUUAAAUAAUGCGAACAACUAAAGAAAUUUGAGAGGAUUUUGAAUCUUUGGCCAAAUACCUCAAUCAAUCGAAAGGCAAUCUUAAACGAUAGAAUUUGCCGUGUACAUCCUGACUUAGGAAAAGCUUAUGGAAGAAAAGUUCUAAAUAUCAAGCGGUCUAAUACGGAACGGUCUUUACACUCUAAAGAAAAGUUGCUGAUAUGUCACAAUGUUGAAAUUUGUUAGAUUAGAAUUAUUAACAGAAACUUGCAGAAUAGAUCAGCAUCAAAGCUAGGCGAGAAAACUGAUGAUAAUUAAGUAGGUUCAGAAAUUCGUCGGUUAGACUAGUACAAGUUUGUGUACAAAUAUAUAUUCUUUCAUUUAUAUUUCUGAAUGUCACACAUUGCGGAAAUAUCCUAAUUAAGUUUGAGUUAAAGAGACAAAAUUAUAUCAACAUUAGGAAUCAAAAUACGAACACAUCAGUUGGAAAAAGGUAAAGAAAUAUUUAAUCCCACAUAAACACCUAACAGGAAUUGGCUCGCAUGGGGAAAUUGAUGAAGAAUGUUAGAUAUGUCGUAGCUUCUUGGCCGUUUGAGAUGACGGAAUUAGGGGUAAUACCAACCAAGCCAAAAAAAUCAAUCCACGAAAACAGCCUAAAAGAUUUAUGACUAGAGAAGAUGAAAGAUGAAAGAAAAUGAAGAAACAUUAAACUCCAUCUUAUUAAUUGAUUUAAUAUAUAUAUGUAUAUAGUUGGUUUUUAAUCAAAUCGUGGGUUGAUUUUUCUGUUUGAUUGGUUUUGCCCCUAAUUCCGUUAUAUUUAACACUCAAAAUUGAUGAAGUACUUAAACCGAACAAAUUUUUUUUUUUGGAUCAAGGGCUUAUAUACAGCAAUUUAUAGUUACGGGAUUAAAACCGUACAAAAUGAAUAGUUUUGGGACCUGCCGAAAAAGUUUCCUCUGUGUUGUGUGAGUCUCCUGUGGGCUUGCUUCUGGUCGGUCAGUUAUAUUACGCAAAUAAUUUCCUGCUCCAAAUUGGAGCAGUCCAACUCAGGUGGUCAAUUGAGUGUACAUUAAUUGGCGCUGGACUGGACUGCAGGUAUAUAUCUCCCGCUAAAGUCUAGACUACAGUCUUGAUCAUCCCCAAGUUCCGGGAACUAGAGGAGUCAAUUGGACUCGACUCGGAGGAAGGGAAAUUUAUUCAAAAAAGGAAAAAAAAUUCAGCGGAAAAGGUUUUAUAAGGCUAAUUUUGGAUAACUAGAGAGAUACUAAAUGCUAAAAUCUAUUGUAUAUGGUCAUUAAAACAUGUAAAAGAUUUACACGGCACUACAUAUAUUUCCACAAGAAGGUUAUAAACAAGUUAAGAAUAUAUGGUAUAACCGGCGGGUAAACCAUAUAUAUAUAUAUAUAUAUAUAUAUAUAUAUAGAAUUGGCCUAAGGUCACAGAGUUAGUGACGAUUCACAACCCUCUCAAACUGUUUAUGGUUCAAAGUAUGUCAACAAGACACAUAUGUAAAUUAAAAAAUCGAGACAAUACUACAUAAUUCUAACAUAAUAAAUAUGUAUUCAAUAAAGUUUCAACUCAAAUUGACUUUGACUAAAUUAGUAUAAUAUGUAAAAAUUUUAACCUACUCGUGCUAGGGUCAAGCUCAAUUUGAUAAAAGUUUCGAGCUCAAUUUGAUAAAAGCUUAUUUAGAUUUGACACGAUAAAUAACAAGCUUGAGUACUAUAGUGUCGAGGUUGAUUAAGGUCAUUUACACGUCUAAUCCCAAUUCCCAACUAAUUUAAUCUUAAACAAAUAACAAUUUAAGAACUUUAUACUAUACUUACUCCUAACUUUUCCUUGACUAGGUAAUAUCACUAUUUAUAUGUGGUUGUGCUCCAUAUUUCGUUGUUUAAAUUCUAGUAAUUGAAUGUUGGUUGAAAAUUCAAGGAGAAUUGAAUCAUAGCUCUUACUAAACAUUAAUAAUCUCCAAUCGAACUAAACAUUAAUAAUAAUAAACAAGUAUGCAGUUUUUGUUGUUAUUUUCUUUUCUCUUGGAUAUUAAUUAAAAGUUGGUCGUAAUUGACUUUGGAAGAUUUAAUUCGAAUGUGCAUGUAUUUGGGUUUGUUUACGUAUAAUUUUCAUACUACAAGUAACAAUUAUUUUAAUUGUAAAAUUGCACAUUAAAUGUUGGAGACAUAUAGCUAAUUGCGAGUUGAAAAAAUGAAAAAAGAAAAAGAAAAAAAGGACAUUGCUAACUCGAAAGUCCCUUGAAGUCCCAUCGUUGGCGAUGUUGAGAGGAAAAGAGAAAGGCUGGUUCUGCCAUUAUAGAAGUCAACUGAAAAUGCCUUAUAUACAUCCUGACCUAUUUUGUAGAAUGGCUAACAAAAAUUUCCAACGCCCUUUGCACGCUGAAGACUUGGUGCUUGUGGUUGUUAAUUGACAUCUCAGAUGUUGUAGAAUUAUUAGCAGAAACUUGCAGAAUAGAUCCACAUCAAAUUAAUGAAGGUGAGAAAAAAAAGUGACUAGGACGUCCAGAAAUUCAUGACUUAAGACUCGUACAAGAUUAAUUAUUGUGUGUACAAAAUUACAAAUAGUCCCACUUUUUCUGAAUGGCACAAUUCUCAAGGCUAUUCAUUGCAGAAAAAAUUCAUGACUUAGACUAGUUCAUGGUUUUUGUUCAUGGUUUUUUCAAAGGCAACGUUGGAAUAACUUGGAGAGAUAGAUAAAUGCUAAAAGAUUUACACAUAUCUUUCCAAAAGAUUGAUAGAAGUUGCAACACAAUGGAGUUCCGUAGGGGUGGCAAUUUUCGACACGACCUGAAAACACGACACAAAACUAACACGAAAUUAAUGGGUUUGGGUUGAGGUUUCGAGAGUUCGGGUCAGAAUCGGGUUGAACCCGAUGAACCCGAAAAGAAAACAGGUCGAUUUCGGGUCAACUCGUGGUGACCUGAUAUGACCCGUUUAUGACUAAACUCAGUUAUUCUUUUUUUUCAAAGGUAUUAAUUACUUAAUCCUAAAUGAAUUUAUUUAAUUUGUAUGAAGUUGAAAUUAUUAUAUUUGGACAAAUAAUUUAUGUUAUAAGUUUGAACAAAUCAUUUACCUAGAAUUAUAUUAUAUUGAAGAGGAAAGACAGACCUCCCCGUAUCAUAAUCUCAUUCUCCAUAUGCGAGAGGAAUUGGGAGUGCCAAUUGCACCGCAUUUGGACGGAGGGAAAUUAGUGUGUGUGCUGAUUGGUUAGCUAAACACAGCAGAUUAUUGAUGAAACACAGAACUAUUGAUAGCUGAUGUGUUAGGAGUUCCAUUUACUCAUUCUGUUGCAAUUUAAGGGGUUAUGAUGACCUCUUCCAAUGUACCCCAAAAAAAAUUAUAUCAUAUUGAAACGGUAGUAUACUACUAGGAAUGGAUUUCAAUACAACUGUUUCUGUCCUAUAAAAUAUCGGCAUUGACAGUUUAUUCUAUGUCUUCUUAUAUUGCUUUAAUUUCUAUAUAAUCUCACAAAACUAAAAUCAAUAACUUUUGAAGCCGUUGAUCCUUACGUGAAACUGUUACUAAAAUAGUAGGUGAUAUAGUAUUUUUUUUUCAUUUUAACGUAACUUAUGAGUCAAAUGUUGGUACAUUAAUUAAUCACAAUUUAGAUUGAACGAUUAAUCAAAUUACUAGAUAUUUGAAUCUAGUCCUAUUGGUAAGAAUUGGCUUGAGUCAAGUUCGGUGACUAAACAAGCCAAACAUGAAAAGCAUGUUAUAUUUAGUAAACUUUCAAACUCAACUCAUCUUGAACUUGAUUUAAUUAGUAGUAUAAAAUUUGAAAUUUAUCUAUAGAUUUUUCAACCUACAUGCACAAAGCUCAAGCUCAAUUUGACAAAAGCUUGUUUGAGUUUGACAUAAUAAAUAUCAAGUCAAAUUUGGAUAAAAUUUCAAACUCAUUAAAGUAAACAAACAAGUUUAAAUUCUAGAGUGUCGAGGUUGAUUAAAUUCGUUUACAUCUCUAAUCCCAACUAAUUUAAUCUUAACCAACUUUUGGGAUUUGUCCACACAAUUAUGCUGUCUAUAAAAUCCCCACAUUUAAGACAUAUAUAUGCUGCAUGCAUUGGCGUCUAAUUUCCUAGAUCCAUCACCAAUUUGGACCAUUGAUCAUAUAGGUCGAUAUGAAGAAACAACUUUACUGCUACUACCCUCUUGCAGUACUUGUUUUGCUGCACCAUCUAAUGAUGCCCGGCUGCACAGCCAUGAAAAGAUUAAGUUUAGGCACUGAUCAAUCCGCUCUUUUAGCCCUGAAAGCCCAUAUCACUUCAGAACGGCAUGAAUUCUUGUCAAAAAACUGGUCUUCUACAGCUGCCGCAUCCUCUGUCUGUGACUGGAUAGGAGUCCAGUGCAGCUCUCGACACCAAAGAGUAACUGCUUUAAAUAUUUCAAACAUGGGACUCACCGGCACAAUACCUCCGGAUUUGGGAAACCUCUCCUUUCUUGUUUCUCUUGAUUUGAGAAAUAACUACUUCCACGGAUGUCUGCCCGAAGAGUUGUCACACCUGCGCCGCCUGAGGUUCGUCAGGUUAACCUCUAACAACUUCACUGGAGAGAUUCCAAUGUGGUUUGGUCACUUUCCUGAACUCCGGUUCUUGUUUCUGGACAGCAAUGGUUUUAGUGGUUUUAUUCCUCCUCCUAUCUCUAACUUGUCAAAACUGGAAACCUUAAAUCUAAGAGACAAUUUCCUGGGAGGUACUAUUCCAGAAAAGAUGGGAAAUCUUUCGGUCCUCAGAGAGCUGUAUCUAUCUGGGGAUGACUUAGUUGGUCAGAUACCAUUGAGUUUAUGCAAGUUUUCUCAUCUUCAGGUGCUAGACUUGUCUAACAACAGGUUUAGCGGGCACAUACCUAAAGAAAUUGGAAAUCUGGAGAAGCUCAAGGAGUUAUACCUCAGCACCAAUAACUUAACAGGUAAUAAUUUUGCUUUGCCUUUGUACACUCACAUGGUCAAACCGCGGUUAAUAGUUUUUUUCCCCUGUUUGACACAAGGAUUAGAAAAGCGUGUUCAAGUGAAAUCAAAAGAUAUAUAUAUACUAUUCAUACUGUUCAGAUGAAAUCAAAUAAAUAUAUACAUGAAUUUUUUAAAAAAACUAUUCAUACACAUGAUCAACGAAAUGCAAUGGCUCCAUGGGGGGAAUAAUGCAUUUGAAGUUAAAUUUAAAAAAUCAUUUAAUAGAGAAAAAAAGAAGAAGAACGACGGCAAUAGAUUCUAUCUCGUCUUAGCCACCAAAAUCACCUAGAUCUUUCUCAAUAUGGUCAUAAUUAAUUUGGGAGGGAGAAGAAUUUAGAUUCCUAUAAACAAUAAAGUGUUACUGAACUAGCAUCCAAGUUUUUUUUUAUAUAAUUCUGUCAGCAUGAAUAAUUUUUUAUUUUGAGGGAAAAGGAAUGGGUUUGGUAGAUAAUUUUCUUAAAGUAUGUGAGUAGUAUUUUUAGUUCAAAAUUAUUAAGGAACUUUGUAUUUGUGGAGGAAAAUCAAGUAAGGGUGAUUUAGGAUUAUCAAUAGCAAUAUUUUGUUUACAUCAGCAAAGUGAGCCCCAAACAAAUUUCUAAAAAAGGUUUUUACUUUUUCAAACUUAGAGGGUAUUGCUUGCAAUUGUCAUAAACCUUAGGGAAGGUUUGUGAAACGGUUCCUUUGUUUUAAGUAAAUCCAUGUUUGCAUUCUGUCGGAUGUGGAUGUAAGAAGCUAAGGAUUGUAAACUUGAAAGGGCAAGACAUAUAUGGAGGUGAAUAUGGUGAAAAUUAGAUUAUUUCCAAACUUUUACGGAGGAGAGUUGUAAUAUUAUAAGUGGCUAAAGUUGAAAUUUUCAAAAAUUGGAAGGUCUAGGUUCAAAUUUGCUUUUUUCCUCGCUACUUUUUUAAAUCCUAAUUAUCCUUCUCUUGCUAUAAUAUAAAAUUAAAAAAAUGUGUAUAAGUGAAAGUUUGAGAAGCUACAAAGGGAAUAAUAAUUAGUAAGGGAAAUUUCAAUUUCUUUGGACAGCCUGCUGCUGCAACGUCCAAAAGUUUAAAACACAAAAUGUACGGUUUCAAGUAAGACUGUUUUCAAUAUAUCUCUAAAAUGAAUAUGAUUAAUUUUGUCUUUACGUUAAAUUGUUAGGUGUAAUUCCCCGAGAGAUUGGCAAUCUGUACGGUUUAGAGCUUCUCGUAUUGGGGAGUAACAACUUGGCAGGUAAAUGUAUAGCCUCACCACUACUUAUAUAUGGUCUAUUUACAAUCAUGCGACAAGCAAUAUUUGGAGUAAGUUUCGGGUGAAAUGAAUUCAUGUCAUAUCUAUUUGAAUGUCCAUAAACUUCAUCAGAUACUCCUACUUACUACGGAAAACAUCCACUAAAGCAAACUAAGAAGUUCCUGAAGAGGUCUAUAUUCCCUGGACGUAACUACUUAGAAAGUUGUCACAACAUUUACAUACUUUAGACAAGCAUAAAUCCAAUGAUUAUUAACCACUUUUUUACAUUUACAUACUUUAGAUCCUUGGACCAUCUCUUUUUUUUUUUUUUUUUUUAACCCCUUUCUGUGCUGCAUUGGAACGAUUAUUAUGUGGAGAAACAUUUUAUAUUAUUCGCUCUACCAUUUUUUUUGGUAUUUUUGAUGUUAGCUGCUUGCCGACUUGUACGAUUGGCAGGUACGAUUCCACGAGAGAUAGGCAAUCUCCAAAACCUGCAGGGGCUCAAUCUGGAAUUGAAUCAAAUCACGGGAAGCAUUCCAAGAGAAAUUGGGAAUUUGACGAUGCUUACUGAACUCUAUUUCGCCAACAACUCCGUGACAGGUAAAUACAUCUUUUUUGUUGAAGUAAAUCGAAAUCGGUUAACUAAACGCUUACAUCUUUUCUUUUUUAAUUUAUAACUGGUUUCUUCAGAGAAUUUUACAGCCUAAUGAUAGAUAUGCUUCCUUUGAAAAUGAAUCUGGUAUGCAGGUACAAUACCACGAGAGAUGGGUAACCUUUACCAACUCGAGAAUCUUGAGUUGUUUUCUAAUGGCUUGAAUGGCUCCAUUCCCCCUGGGCUCUUCAACCUCUCAGCAUUGCGGAAUAUUGACCUUGCAUCUAAUCUUCUAUCAGGAAAUCUUCCGCCGGAUCUAGGAUACAGACUGCCCAAGUUAUUAGCCAUAGAUCUUGAUGGGAAUAACCUUGGUGGAGUUAUACCAGUGUCCAUUACAAAUUGUUCCCAAUUAAGAAUGCUAGAACUUUCAGUUAACGGAUUCACUGGUUCCAUUCCUGACGCCCUCGGGGACCUUAGACUUCUGCAAUUUCUAGCUCUGUAUGGCAACAAUUUAACAAGUGAUCCUACAUCUAUGGAGCUGAGCUUCAUCACUUCAUUGACAAAAUGCAAAAACUUGUAUUAUUUAUACCUGGGCCGAGACCCCUUCAAGGGGCUUCUUCCAGCUUCCGUUGGGAAUCUCUCUGCUUCUCUACAGAUAUUGCAUUUAGGAAGUAGUGAAAUCAAGGGCACCAUACCAAGUCAAACUGGCAACUUGACCAAUUUGCUAUUGCUUGAUCUACGAUCGAAUCACUUGACCGGAGGUAUUCCAACAGCAUUCAAAAAUCUACAAAACCUGCAAGGUUUGGCUGUGGAAGAUAAUAAUCUUAACGACACCUUAGAUAACCUUUGCAAUUUGCAUAGCUUGACUUUAGUAUAUCUGACCACAAACCAGUUUUCUGGGUCUUUACCAGAAUGCUUUGGUAAUAUGACUUCUCUUCGGGAUUUUAAAAUAGGAAACAACUUUUUAGUCUCUGCCAUACCUAAUAGUUUUUGGAAACUCAAAGAUCUCUUGCAGUUGAACUUAUCCUCAAACUCCCUUAAUGGUUCCUUGCCUCUUGAAGUUGGAAAUCUGAAAGCUAUAACAUCUAUAGACGUAUCAGCCAAUCAAUUCUCUGGUGACAUUCCCAGCACCACAGGUGAUUUGCAAAACCUGUUGAUUUUAAAUUUAUCCCAAAACCAAUUUCAUGGAUCUAUCCUAGAGUCAUUUGGCAAUAUGCUCAGCUUGCAAGGACUUUACUUAUCGCACAACAAUCUUUCUGGCUUCAUACCGAAGUCAUUGGAGGCACUUCGGGACCUCAAAGAGCUUGACGUUUCUUAUAACCAUUUAAGUGGUGAAAUUCCUUCUGGUGGUCACUUUAGGAACUUUACUGCAGAAUCUUUUCUGUUCAAUGAGGCAUUGUGCUGAGAUUCCAGGUUUCAUGUGCCGCCUUGCCCAGGAACUAAUUCAAUUCACAGGUCCAGAACAAAAAAGGUGCUUCUAUUUGUAUUUGCUCCUCUGGGAAUCACUUCUGUGGUUGUCGCAGCCUUAGCAAUUGUCUUCAUGAUAGGUUGCAAUUUUAUUAUUAAUUUUCCUUAUUACCCGAGUUGAUGUGGAUUAAUUGUUGGAUUCUACUCACUUUUAUUGUUUUGCAUUUAUUUCAGGGAGUAGAAUGGAAAUAUGAUAACAAGUAUCAAUUUAGCAGAAAAGGAGCCCAAGUAGAGGUGUGCAUUCGGUGCAAAUUCGGUAAUUCGGUGCACUGAAUUCGGUUAUUCUACCUGUAAAAAUUUAAACCGUUUUCAAUUCCGAAUUGGGCAUAACCAAAUUCAUUCCGCAACCGAUUUCAAAUUCGAAAACGGUAAUGAAUUCGGUUAAACCGAAUUCAUCUAUGAUUUAUAAAUUAUUACUGAUUUGAUCCCUAAAUUUAUUCAUAAUUGAACACAUUACUUAUGUUCUAAUCAUUUUGUGGUUUAAUUGGCAUUUAUUUGAUCACUUAUACCUAGAAUCCUUAGUCUAUGAUUUAAGAAACACAUAAAAAGUGAUUAAUUUAAACUAAAAUAAACCUUAGACUAUACAAUGAUUGGUGAUAAUUUAUGAAUUUAUAAUUUACAAUGAUUAAUUAUAAGCAAUAUUAGUUAGUAGUUACAAUGAAUUUAUAAUUUACACUGAUUUAUAAUAAGUAAUAUUAGUUACAAACUUACAAACUACAAUGAUUAGUGAUAAGUUAUAUUAGUUACAAACUUAUAAUUUAUUUCAAAUCAAAAUAAAAACUUAUUUACUUACACAUGUUAUUGUGAAAGUCAAUACACUAAUACAUUGAUUUGCAAUUCACAUACAUUCACUUACAGUCUUACACUGCUUAGUUGUCUUGUCUAUACUUAAAGCCUUAAGAUUAGUAAAUAGAUAAUAUGAAUUUUAACUUAUUUGAUAACUUAUGCCUAAAAUCAUUAGUCUAUGAUUUAAGGAACACAUAAAAAGUGAUUAAUUUAAACUAGAAUAAACCUUAGACUGUACAAUGAUUAGUGAUAAUUUAUGAACUUAUAAUUUACAAUGAUUAAUAAUAAGUAAUAUUAGUUACAAACUUACAAAUUACAAUGAGUAGUGAUAAGUUAUAUUACUUACAAACUUAUAAAUUAUUUCAAAUCAAAAUAAAACUUAUUUACUUACAUAUAUUAUUGUGAAAGUCAAUACACUAGUACAUUGAUUUGCAAUUCAUAUGCAUUCACUUACACUGCGAACUACUUAGUUGUCUUAUCUAUACUUAAAGUCUUAAGAAUUAAGAUUAGUGAAUAGAUAAUAUGAAUUUUUAUGUUAAAUAUGUAGAGUACACUAAUACUUGCAAGUUAGAGAUUACGCAUUCAAAUAUUCAAUAAUUCAAACAUGAAUGAUGUAUCAAAUUACCAAUAUCUAAAUUUAAUUACUAAUUAUGUUAAUUGUUUAAUAUUUAGUAUUAUACAUAUAUGUGUUAAUUAUUAUCUAAUUCUAGUCAUGUUACUCAUGUAUAAAAUAAUAAGUAUUAUAGUUAUCUUAUAUUGUUAUGUAUUACUAUAUAUUGGUAUUAUUAUAGUCAUAUAACAAUUAACAAAUACUAAAAUAAUAUAUUGUACAUUAUUAUAUAUUAUUAUUAUUAUAAGUACAUGAUAUGAUGAUAAAUUGAUAAUACCAUAUACUAAUUAUUAUUAAUAGCAUUUACCUAUAUAAUAUAAUAAAGUAUUAGUAGUAUAUACUAAUACUAAAUAGCAUUUAUCUAUAUAUUAUAUAAUUUUAUAUACCAAUUUGGUAAUUCGAAUGCGGUAAUGCGGUACCCGAUUUCAAUUACCGAAUUUGAAUGCGAAAUCGGUUAUUACCUAAUUCAUAAUCUCAUUACCUAUUUCAUACCAUAUUAGAAUUCGGUGAAUUUGGUACGUACCGAAUUUGUACCAAAUUACCAAAUACCCGAUUUCAAAUUAUCAAAUUGAAUUUGAAAUCGGUUAUGAAUUCGGUAAGAACCGAAUUUGCUCACCCCUAAGCCCAAGUAAUAGAGAUGGUCCUAGGGGGCAUUUCUGGAAAAGAAACAAACUCAUGCCCAUUUUGGUAAUUGCCGCGAAGACAGCGGAGGGAGCUUCCGCUUUUCUUUUGGCCGCCGCACAAGGAAGAGGGAGGCAUCAGAGCAGGGAUUAGGAGAUAGCUAUUAGUAUAGAAACAAAAGAAAAGGCAGAGGACGAGGAGGACGGCUGCAUCUUUUUCCUUUAGCUUCACCUUUGACUUUUCUUUCUAGUUUUUGGGUAGCUUUUGUCUCCUCGGAUGUGAGGAGCAAUUGGAAGCAAUUGAAUGACUUUCCCUGCAGCUUAGCUUUGGACUUUUCUUCCCUUUUAGCUCUAGCCGUAGUUCCUUUCCAUUCGUAUGGCAGGAAAAGCAAAAACAAUCAAUUACAGCUUGUAGCUUGCUUUCCCUGUCGAAUAGAACGAAACGAAUUCGUUCAUUUUCCAAUUGAUGGCCGCUGCUUCCUUUACAAUUUCGUGUGGGUUUUUCGCAUCAAACAUGAACUAAUCUCUCCACUCUAGCCAAGGGACAACGAAGGCUUUGGUUUGCCUGAAAAUUGUGAGAUCGAUUUAACUUAAAUUUUUUCUUUUAUUUAUUGGUAUUCGCAUAUUCCUUGAUUGCUAUGCUCGUGGUUAUUUAAUUAAUUGAUUGUCGUGGAUCCGGAUAAUUAAUUGAUUGGGUAAUCUAUUAUUAAUUAGGACAUUAAAUCCGUAAUUAUUUAAUCGCCUUGAAUUAGUGACAACUGGCACGAUUAGCUUUGUGUCAGGGGGAUACGCGGACUAAUCUGAAAUAACCCUGGUAGUGUGUUAUUUGAUUAGAAUAGGGCUCCUCUAAUACGUAAGACGAUUGGGGAAUUAAAUCUUACGGGCGUACCUAGGAUUAUUUCCUAAUUAGAGCAGUGAUUAACGGGCAUACCUUAAUCACCGACACAGUAAGGAGGGGUUGACUGCCAACGCUUGCUUGGUAGUUAUAACCUAUUUAUUGAUAAAUAAUUGGAAUAGCCUUUGCAUCGAUGAUCAAUUAGGUGAACCAUUGCUGAAGUUAUUUCUUGGCUAGAUCUUUAAUUAAUAUUACCUUGAUUUUAGUGAAUUGCCAUUUGACUUUUAGUUGCCUACUUUAUUUUAUUUUUAAUUAUUUUCUUGUUUUAAUUAAUUUAGGCCUUUAAUUAUUGUUACUCUGAGUUUAGUGAAUUGUUGUUUAAUUUCUAGUUAGUUAUUUAUUUUUUAUUUUCUUAUUUACAUUUAUUUGAUUGUCGUCGUUCCUACAAAAUCACUCCCUGUGUUACUUUGGAUUUCUUAAGAGACAAAUAUACCCAAUCCCUGAGGAUACGACCCUACUUGCCCUGUUUACAGAUUCAUAAUUAUUUGUGGAAAAAAAAUCAUCCCAUUCGGGUAUAUCGGACCAAGCAAACUCUUCGGGAACAGGGUGAAUCAAGUAACCCAUUGCACACCUAGAGUCCCUGCUCCAGUACUUGGAAUUGGGUUUUGGUCAUUUUAACUAGCAAUUAGGUUUAAUUUUAUUAUUGUACAGGCUUCAACACCCUGUCACUUCAGAAGAUAUUGGAAGAAAUAUCAGGAUUCUAAAGGAACAAACAUGGUAUUGGUGCCAACGCAAGAAAGAGUUUCGUACUAUGAACUUCUUCGAGCAACUGAUAGGUACGGUGAAAGCAAUUUGCUUGGCAUUGGGAGUUUUGGAUCUGUUUACAAGGGGAUUCUCAAUGACGGAAGGUCUAUUGCUGUAAAGGCUUUCAAUUUGGAAUUGGAAGGAGUACUCAAGAGCUUUGAUGUAGAGUGCAAAGUCCUGAAGAACCUUCGCCAUCGAAAUCUUGUGAAGGUCAUCAGCGGUUGUUGGAACCAGGAUUUUAGGGCCUUGGUGCUUGAAUACAUGUGCAAUGGAAGCCUUGAGAAAUGGCUGUAUUCUGACAACUAUUUCUUAGAUACUCUACUUUUUUUUUUUGUCGAAACGAUAGGAUAAUUUCAUUAUAGUAAGGGAAAAAUUUACAAGUGCGAGCAACGGCUCGAGAGAACUUUACAAAAGUGUUCAAAGACACUGAGGAACAUUCCUUUCCUCAUCCACAAUAAUGCCUAAAGCAUCAACACUUAAUUUUCUACUAUCUAUCAUAUUUUCUUCCCUACUCAAGCAAAAGGAGCACAUGCAAAACAGUCUUUUCACAUUCACAAUAUCCUCCAGCAAUGUAGCCAUUCUGCUCCCCAAAGGCUGUGUUUUUGUUAGUUGUUUCAGCAUCUCCUUGUUGGCAAAAUUGAGCCUGAUUCUGCUCCACUGAUAUUGCGCAGCUUUACACAAGACUAGCUUUAAAGCUAGUGCAUCAUCCAGGCUUUGGUUCCCCAGGCUUCUUUCUUUCAGCUUCCAUUCUGCAAUCUUGGUGCCUGCAGUUGUUCUAACUGUGACUCCAAUGCCUAGAUUGUUUUGACCUUUCCUUGUAGCUGUUUGACAGGUGCCGAACCUGUGCAAUAAUAAAUACCUACUCGAGAAAAAUACAGAUUUUGUAUAUAGCGGUGAGUAGGGUCGAAUCCACAGGGACUGGGGAUAAUUUGUUUCUUCUAGAGUCCAAAGUAUGGGGGGUUUUGGAUUAAAUGCUAACUAAAUAAAUUAACUGCAGAAAAUAAUUAAUUAAAAGAAAUGAUUGGGGAAACUCUAGCCAAGGGUACACAUCAGAAAUGGUUCAUGCACUGAUCAUUGAUGCAGAAAUAAUUCCAACAUUUAGCAAUAGAUUAGUUAUAGUUGUCAUGCACGCGAUAAACAACCAACCCUUCCUUAAUUUCUCGAUAGCUAAGGUACGACCGUUAGCUAUUUCUCUAACCCAAAAAUAACCCUAGGUACGACCGUAGGAUUUAAUUUCUAGAUUGCAUUAAUAAUUAGAAAGGCCCAAUCCUAACCAACAAACACGCUACGAGGGUUUGUUUAAAUUAGAUCAUAUGCUCCCCUGACAUAAACCCAAUUACGCCAGUUGCUACUGAGGUAGAGAUAACGAACAAUUACGGAUUCAAUUACCCCUAUUUAGCAAAAAUAGCCUAUAUGAAUAAUUAAUUAUUGCGCACUAAUCAAUCAUACACAAGGCCAUAGCAAUUAAAAUCAAGGAACAUAUAAAUACCAAUAAAUGAAGAAAAUAAUUAAAACAGAUUCGAUCUCACAGUAAUUGUCGAACCAAAUCGUCAGUUGUCCCCUUGACUAGAAAAGCUUAACCACGCCUCAUGAGAAAAUCUCCCCGUUGGGGAAUAUUGUCGAACACCUGGCGUGUGUCAGAGGCCAGUCCAAAGAAAGAAACUAGAACUAAACUAAAAAAACUAAAACUAAAGCCCUAGAUGUCCUUUGCUUCUGUACGUUGUCCCCUUUUAAAGCAACAAAAGAAAGAUGACUAAAAGCUAUCUAGGUGGUCCCCACACAUGUGGACAAAGCCUCCAAAGUACUUCUUGUUCCAAGUCUCUCUAUGUUGCUUUCUUUGAAAGCCCAAAUGACUAAAUGCCUUUCACUAGCUUGUGGUCCCCACCAAUUCAAGGGCCCAAGAAUUGAAGCCCUUAGAAGUCUCCAUAUUUUCCAUAAAAGUCCCUCCUUUUUGGUAGUUUUCUGCUUCAUUCCUGAAAUUGAUCCAAAUACCAAAUAUGAGUAAAUAUUAACAAUUAAACAAUAUUUGACAAGGAUAAAAGGGAAAAUUAAUAAUAAAAUAACCAAUAAUUAACACCCUAUCAAUUCCCCCCACACCUAAAUCAUGCUUGCCCUCAAGCAUGGGAACAGCAAUUGAACACCAAAAGUUGACCAUGGCUAUUGCUCUAACUACCGUAUUGCCAAGAUACCCAGAAAAAUAUAUAUCAAGCAUCACAGUUAAGAUCCAAGAAAAAUCACCCCGGUUAGCUUCUAAACCACCAACUCCUCCAAUUUAAAGCAAACUAAUCUAAGGAAAAGGAAUGGUUGCUCACAUUUAUCAGCAAAUGGUCCAUCUAUUAACCAAAAUCUCGACAUUAAGAUCACAAAUAGGCAAGCUGACUUGAGAUCCUUUGGCGAUCCUCUGCUUGGCACUCUCAGAGCGAAGGUUGUCUGCUUUGAAACCCAACUGGAAAAUAACAACAUACAAGAAAUUAUCAGCUUUUAACAGGAAAAAGACCACAUAUCCAUUUCUUGCUAAGAGCGGUUCCUGACAAUGCAAACACAAACAUGGGUUUUACCUCACUCUGGCUAUCGGGAGGAACCACCGUAGCAGCACGCCUAGGUGCACCACAGCAGGGAUCAGCUUGAAAAGUAAAGGAGUAGUUACCUGCAGAUUCUCUUUGGUUAUAAUCAACUGUACAUUUACGUGCCAAAAAAAAAAGGAGAUGAAAAAACAAUAUUAACAAUAGAUUUGUAAUCUCUCACUCCAUCUCUACCUGCAUAUUUCUCUAGGUAUAAUCCACUGUAUAUUUAAGUGCAAACUGGAUAAAAGAAUGCAGAAGCAAAAAAUCAUAAUAAUAAUUGAUUCGUGAUCUCUCCCUCUCUCUCAAAAUGGAUAAAAGAAUGCAGAAGCAAAAUUGUAACAUUACUCAACUCAUAAUCUCUCUCUCCCUCCCUCCCUCCCUCCCUACACACGACACAAGCAUGAAUGAGUUGCCAAUUAAUCUAACUGACAAAUGGUAUCCACGAUCUCCCAGCACAAAGAGAUAGAACUUAUUGCAAACAAAUAUAAAGCUUCUCCCACCAAAAUCCAGAAUAAGAACAAGAGGACUACAGUAGUUAAGAAAUGGAAAACAUUAAUAUUGAACCAAUGAUUAUCUAUUUCGUGGCUACUGGCUCCAAUGGCAUUUGGACAAAGUAAGUAAAGUUUAAGAUCAGCAUGUUGCUGUACCAGGCUAAGAGCUGUUGUUCCCAGAAGCAGCAGGUACAGUUUCCCCUGGAAAGAAAAGGUUCAGGCCCAUAUUGAUAACAGCCAAUACAACUCAAAGUUUUGGUUAAAAGAUACCUCAACAAGAUGAAGAUUUGAAGCACGACUAAGCAAUACAAAUGCAAAUUCUCCUAUUUGUGCCAGUGACAUUCCAACCUACACAAGGAUGACCAAAUUCCGUCAUCAAAUGAUAUACAAGAAAUAUAUAAUGAAGAAUUAAAAUUGCACAGAAAGGUUUGUUAUCUCACUAGAAGAGAAGUUUUGUUGUUGUAGCCAAAUCCUUUGACAACUGCUGAAAUUACAAGAGUCUUCACAACAACUACUAAUAUCACUGAGGCAAGUAAAAUAUCGAUAUGAUUCCAGAGGAAAUGAACGUGGAUCAGCAUCCCGAUACUGGAAAGGAAAAGUGCCGCAAAGAAGUUCCGGAUGGGUUCCACCUGCAUGAAUAAACAAACUUAAAUGAAACACAACCAGGACCACCUAUUGUCUACUCAACCUAAACUUCCUACAAGCAUAUGCAUAUACAUGCAAAAGCACAUCUGUAAAAGGAAUAAUCAAUUUAUGCCUAUGGACUAUCAUACAAAGAAGUUGUCAUGGACGACAGUAUCUUCCACUGUGACCAAGUUAAGUUUUCAAUACCCAGAAGUAGCAUAGGUUGAACAUUGCAAACCUCGCUAAGCAGGAGGUUUCGAGGACUAUGUUUUCUUCAGCUAUCUGUUGAUUUCCCGUCUAUCCUUUAGUAUCAAAAAGCCAUUUGCUUAUUAUUUCAAUCAAUGAAGUGAUCUCCUAAACACAAGUAGCAUUGUUUUGAUGUGUAAUGUCAUACCAAUGAUAUUUUUCUCACAAACCUUUAGCCAAUUAUCAUCUGUUUUGUUCCAUAAAACUUGACAGGAUGUGUGAACGAAUAAUUGGUUGAAAAGCUAGUCAUCAACUGAAUUUUAACAAGAGUAGAUCAGCUGUUUAAUUUAAAAACCUGUUAUGGUCAAUAAACAUGGUAUAAGCAGCCCUUUAUAAACGAUGAUCUUCACAAGCUCCUCAGAACUAUGAGCACUCUUUUGUGAUCAGGAUGAAAAAUGGACAACAAAGCAGCAGCAAUGAUGCAUCAACUAAAUAAUCGUUGCUUUUGUUAUAGUUAAAGCUUUUCUAUUCUGUGCCAUAAGGGCACAGAAACACACAAAAGAGGGGAUAGACCCAGUACAAAAUUCUUACUUUAUCACCCACCCCCUACAUUAAGCUAAAACUUUUACAGACAUUCUAAGUCGGGCCCACCAUUUAUCCUGACCCAUAAGGCACAGAUUAGAAGAAUCUCAUUUGAAUUACUUGAAAAUAGAAGAAUUUUGACUAUUAAUAGUUGUCCUAAAGUGAAAAUUGACAAGUCCGACCUCACAUUAAGAACUAUCUCAUCAUACAAAAUCUUCUCAGAAGUAGAUCAACUAAGCAAAUAGUCUUAAAGUAGCUUCCAUUUAUCAACUAAUUAUUGCAACCCACAAGUUGGAUGCAGGAAAAUUAGACUUUGUGACCAAAAUCCAUAAGAAAGUUGAGCAAGGAGUCUUACCUGUUCAAGCGUAUGUUGAGCGAGAUCAGUUGUUGAGAUCAUGACUCCCGCAGCAAACGAACCCAACUCUAGACUAAGACCUAGCUUGUCACUACUCUGCAAUAACACAAACAUUUACGUAUGAUACUGCUCAUUGAGACAAAAUGAAGGGAUCGAUACAAACAGCAUGCAACAAGUCCUAAGCCAACUUGAUUGAACACACCAAAACACAUUUAUUAACAAAGCCAAUAAAUCAAUCAUAAGCUACCAAGAAUCAGAUACUAGAAACUGAGUGAACUGAAUUAAUAGAAACUUCAUUACAUCUCACAGCCUUACUCAGCCAAAACAUAACUUUUUUUCCUUUUUCUCAAGUGCUUGGCCACCCAAACAAAUAGAGUUAUUAUGUGAACCCAACAAUUUUGUGGAGCUUGAGCAUAACUGAUUCGUCAGACAUGGUGGGAUCUAUCAGUUUUCACAAAUAGCAGAGACAAAUUAGAACAGAGAGCAGAAAACAAAGGGAUCACUAGCACAAUAUUAGAGGAACCAAACUCACAUCAGCAAGAGAGCUAUGAAACAGAAAUUCAGUAUCAGUAAAGGAACAAACCCAGGCUACAAGUAGGCAAAAUGCAACUGAUGCCAGCUGAUACAAUUCAUUAGUCUGCAGCAAAAAACAUUUUCUAAUCAGGGAAACUACAAAACCAUUUAGUGCCCAAGACCUGUGUACUUAAUAGGAUUCAUGUGGACAAACAGAGGAAUCAGAAAUAAUAACAUUUAGAGGAUUGUUACAAGGUAAAUUCUCACCUGAGAUGAUAAGCUGAUCAUCAGCUUGAGGAACCAAGGCACACAUGUCCGAGACAAUAUUGUCAAAAUGGCCAAGAACACAAUUAACACCACCAACCUGGCUAGUAAAUUAAUCAGUAGUAGAAAGAAAAGAAUACGUAGCUCAUGAUUGGAACAAAAUAUACAAUAAGGCAUCUAUUGAAUCCCAAGCAACCCCAGAUGACCCGAAAAGAAGGAAAGAGAAAAGCUAAGAGGAAGGAUAUGAGUCAUUAAAUGGCUCCUGGUGGUCCAAAUAUAACUCUAUCCACCAGAAGAUUUGUUUGAAAAUCACAGACCUCAAAAAAAAAAAAAAAACUUUUCUUCAACACAAAUAUGACAGAAUCGAAAAGCAAACAUAAAUGACCACCAAAAAAAAAGUUGGAAACCAACCCCCCUCCCAGUCAGUAUAAUCAAGUGUACACACCCCUAUCUUUUUGAGUGUGUUUGUGUGUGAGAGAGUGUCUGUGUGUGGUGAGAAAGGAGGAGGAGGAGUAGUCAAAGUGGUCACAGACUUACGAUUUAGUCAUGGAUAUUACUCCUUGGAGAACACCCGAAGUUCCUCCUAGGACUGGAAGUAGUGCAAACAACAAGCCAACAGCACAGUCCUGAAAUUAUGCAAAGAGAUUGGAACUCUGGGCUAAAAUAAGAUUGCAUUAUAACUCAUCAUACAAAGAACUGAAACCUCAAUUAGUCUCAGGCAUGGGGCAUGAAAUUAUCACAACCAUGUCAAAUGCCUAUGGAUAAGUAAAGCCAAACAGGAAGCUUUUUGUGGAAACUCAUUAACACGGAGCUUACAUGUCACAAAAACAUAAAACUAGAAGUAUAGAAUGUUAAUAUUCAAGAAUACCACCAAGAUACCUGCAAGAUCAGGGUGCCAAUGGUCACUUGACCAUGAAGGGCAUUUGUACUGCUCUUCUCCAUCAAAAAUUUCAAGACCUGAAUGCAUAAAAAUGUUAGUAAUUUUAAGAACAAAUUACAAUGGAGUCUGCGCUCGUCAACCAUUGGCAGGAAAAAAGAAUUACCACUGCUGUUGACGACAUGGAGAGGAAUGAACCUACAAAUACCCCUCUGAAGAUUUACCACCGCACAACUGCAACAUGGAUUACAAAUGCAGCAUGUGAAAGGGAUAUAAAGAUGGCAUGCUUGGCAAGUACAUUCAAUGCCAGCAACGGAACAUCCACACUGUGUAUCACAACAACUAUGGCAAUGGCAGAAGUAACAAACAGUGAAUGUACAAGGAUAAGAAAUCAGGUUUUCAGUAGAUUUUUGGAAAGGGGAUGACCAGAGGCAAUAGAAUUUGGUAGAGAAAGGCACAGAAAACAUAGUCAUUCCCAGAACAAAUACUGCAAGAAGUUUAGACAGUGAAAAUCAAGCUGACUCUUAAUGAUCAAACCUAGUAUUUUUAAUGCUUCAUCUUAGUUCUAAUGAAUGUCUCAAACCUGUUAUCAUUUGAAGAAUUGUAACUUAAUCACUUUCAAGCUUUGUAUUAGAAUGGCAGAACUUGCUCAGAACAGAAGCACGCAAGUCAUAAACACUUGAUUACUUUACGGUGUGGUAUUGGAGAUGCAGACUUACCGAUGCAGUAAUUCCACAUAGGCACAUAAAUAGAAGAAUUUGCAGCAGACCUCCUAGAACAGCAACUGCUCGUACAACUCGAAGCUAGGAAAUGAAAGACUGUACGUUAAGCAUAGUUAUACCAAGAAGGCAUGAUAUUUCACAUGACAGGCAACAGAAGUAUAAAUGCAUAUACAAGAAAAAGGGGAGAAUAGAUCAAGCAAAUUCAGAACCAACCUUUGUAGUGGAGAACUCCAGGCCCAAAGCAAAAAGAAGGAAAAUUACACCAAACUGUGCCACUGUCUCAACCUAUACCACAAGUUUAUUGAAGGUCAACUAAUAUGCGUAAGAAAAAACAUUUUUAAUUUGAGAAUAAAUCAUAACAGAAACAAAGUAAUAGCUAAACAGUAUGGACUCAGGCAAGAUGUACAGGAGCAUUCAAGCAUUCAACGUGAUGAUUCCCCUCUUCAUAAAACAGCAUAACAAAGGUCAGAAUUACAAGAUUUUGUUAAGCACACAGAACAAUGCAACAAAGGGACAUUUUGUGUUAAAACUGAAGAGGACAAAGGGCCACUGGCAUCAGAAUGAUUAAGCCAGCCAACAACAAUAAAAGCUUGAUGCAAAGAGAUUAGGCUUUUGAGUAAAAUCUGGAAAUCAAAUUAUAUCAGUGUCUUAACUAAUGAAAGCAGCGUACAUACUUGAACCAUUUCACUCACAACAUUAAACCCACCAGGGCCAACAACAGAUCCAGCUAGCAGAUAUCCGGUUAUUACCUGAGGAAAUAGUUAAAACAGUAUUAGUACACUAAAUCAUCAUAGAGCAUAAGCAUAAGCCACAAAUACAGUCAGGAACAAGGUAAAUAUUCUAGCAUCAGACCGGUUGCCCAGCACAAGCAAACGCAAUUCCGCCACAAGUUGCAGAUACAAUGACAACCACAAGAUCAGAUAUCAACCUACAAAUCAACCAGUUAGGUAAGAGCUGAAGCACAAAAGAAAUGGACUAAACAUAGCAAACUCAACUGAGCAAGUUUACCUUAAGUCUAACUGUAGGACUGGAUAUUUUGAUUUGAAGUUAGAUAUAAUGAAGACAUUGUCCUGAAAAAUAACAACAGUUAUAUAAUAUCUACUUGUGUCCCACAAUAUUCGUAACUUCAUCUCUUUUCCCAAGUCCCCUUCCCCACCCCCCUGAAGCAAAAACUAGAGCCCCUCUAACAUCUUUUAGUGCACAUGGAAGUAAAAGACACCAAUCUAAGAUUCUUACCUUCCUGUCUAUCAAGGUUGGGGUCUCUUCUGCUCCAUUGUCAUUAUCCAGAUUGAAAACAUGAUGAAGCUUAAAAGAUCUAAAAUCAUUUUCAACAAAGACGAAGAAAGGUCAGUUAAUAGACAAGGAUACAAAUGAACAAGUAUCAUGUCAACAAGAAAGUUCCUAAAGCUCGUAUGGUAGAAGGAUAUACUUUUCCUCUUUUGCUUUCGUUUCAUUUUUCUUGGGCUUAACUCUAGCUACAGUCUCCAAAACUGCCUGUUAAUGAAAAAGAAGUAAGCCAUAGAGAUUUCAUAAAGAUCAAAGAUAUAGAUGAAUCACAAGCCAAAUAAGCAAGAAAAGAACACUCAGUACUCAAAGCAGUGCUGGAUUAAGUCAAAAAACUAAAAAGCAUGUCAACCCAUUGCAGCAAAGAUUCUUUCCUGCCUUUGUAACCCACAAACUGGCAUGCACACUUACACGUGUGCAGGCAUAUAAAAAAUUAAACAAAAAAGAAUGCUCGCAUAUUGAAUUGAAUACAAAUUUAACUAGCAUCCAAACAAAGUCAAUGUGCAUUAGAAAAUAACGAGCCUAUAUACAUGCAACACUUCAGCAUCAAGACCUGACAGAGCAGGUUUUCUUGUUCUUGUCCUGUUGCCAAGAUUCGUUAUCAUAUUGCAAUGGACCAAAUAAUCAGUUUCAUACUUGGUACAUCUUUUACUCAUUUCGUUGAUGGGAGGUUGGAUGACUGGCUAAUUUCUUAGGCAUCCCCCAACAAUGAGACUGGUUGAUCGCCUUACUAGGAUGGAAGUUUCUAAAAAUCUGUCUCGACCCAGUAAUCUUUUACAACACCACAUCAGCAACUUGAAUAACUAUCUAAAGGAGAUUUUCCCUCCAAGUGAUUUUUGCUUAAAUGAAGCAAGGAAGAACUGACCUAGGCACUUUCCAACCUUAUUGGAGCUCAGUAAAUCAAACAGAACAUUAUCUCCAAACUUAGACUAAACGAAGUAUAUACCAAGAUAGACUGAGCAGUGAGGAGGCAGCAAAACUACACAGUUGCAGCAAAUAAUUGGGAAGUAUUUGCUAGACAAUUGAGUGGAUACCAACAAACAAGGGGUAAUUGAGCAAGCACAGACAAGUCACACAACACCUUUGGAAGUAAAGGAUAAAAAGAAACACUCUGUCAGAUCAUGCCUGACAUCAAUAACACUCAUGAUAAGAAGUACCCCAAAACCCAACUAUGUGAACGCAUGCAUGUCUGAAAGGAAAUAUACUCUAUCCAUUUACAAGUUUAUAAUAUUUAUAGGCUAGCAUACUAUCAUACCGAACUAGAUUUUUUUCAAAGCAAAAGCUUGAAAAGUUCCAAAAACCAUGACUUAGUAACAGCAUGUACCUGCUGCUCUGCAACGCUGUUAUUGAAGCUACCAGCAUCAUUUGCUGCAAAAUUAAUGCAAGUCCAAAAUUAGGCAAUGGUUCAACAAGACUGGGCAUAUCCAUAUCCAUCUAUAAGAUACACAAAAGGUGAUCGAACUACAUACUAUAAUUGAAUAGCUACUGACAGUGUCAUACCUUAAAGAAAAUUGAGAGAGAGAGAAAGAGCUGGUAGCUUCUUCCAUUUUUUCUUUUUUGGUUUAUUUUUGGGGAAGGGAGGUGGAUUCAGGAAGGAACUCAUAAGAAAAUGCAAUCUUGAUUAACACAAGAAUAGUUCUGGAAGACGGAAUGAAAUCAAGAACAUAGAAGCCUAACUUGUUAGGUACACAUUUGACGAGAAAGUAGUUGAAUAUACUCAGUAUCUAGUUAGGCUCAUCUCUUUUAUGACUAGUGUAAAAUAUUUUUCAAAUAUAAAGAAAAGGACAAAUAUAUACCAGUUACUUCAACAGUUAAUUAAAAACAGAGAUCGUAUAUGCACGAGGUAGUUUCAACAUUGCGUUUGGAACACCAAUAAUGGCAUUGACAGUUCACUAACGAACCCCAAUGGUGAAGUGAAAUUCCAAAUCACUAGGUGUCUAUUGGUGCUGAUAACAUUGAUCCAAAUUAUAGGCCAGUGUUCUAAUUCAGAUCAACCUAGACAAGGAAUUAUGCUAAAUGGUCCAACAGGCUUUUCCUAUUUUUCAGAAGUUUUGGAUUUUUGUUCCUCUUCUGUAACCAACCAUGACAGGCAUAUAGCGUGCAGGAGCAUGAUGAACAUCCUGACAUCUCCAAUUCAUCCUUUUCGUCAAUCUUGAGAAUUUUAAGAUCAAAGUCUAGCUCACUGCUCGAAACAUACAGCAUUCUUCCGAACAUAUAGAAUUCCAACUGGAUUCCCAAGUUUGACUAAAUCCAUCAUCUAAUUUCUCAGAUUAUCGAGGAGAGGCAUCCAUGAGAUUCCAACCAAAACUCCCCUAAUUGCCAAUCAGCUGAGCAGCCAUUUUUUCACCUCUCAACCAGCAAUUUUUUAUAUUUGAAACCAAAUUAUUCUCAAUUCAAACCAGAACAAUGUGAUAGGAGCUUAAUCAAAAUUCCAACCCUAGGUCAAAUCAUUCGCUAAAAUGCGCAAUAGGAAACAAAAAUCGAUACAAAAAAAAAACAGACUAUUAAAUACGUAAACAAAAUAAUUACAAAAUAAAAAAAAAUAAAUCCACUCAGAUCUGGGAUAAGUUACCUUCAUUCUGAUCUUCACUUUCAGUGAACUCUUCUCGAGUGCUCGAUCGAUCAUGUCGGCAAAACUAUCUUCCUUAGCCUGAUUCCUAGUGCCAUUGGUACUAUCACUACUAUUAACACUAUUCUCAAUCGUCGCAUUCAACUCAACAGAGACAUUCCCAUUACCACAUCGAAGCUCGCCGCCGACGAGAGCGGCGAAGCAAUUAGUACACCCAGGCAAACAAAAUCAAGAGCGAAGACAAAACGCCAGAACCGACACUCGGAGGAGAAGAAGAAGGAGAAUGCGGAUGACAAGGAUGACGCAGACGACGCAAGAUGCGGAUCUUCUCCUCCUUCUAAUAGUCAUUUGGAUUUGCGACCGCGACGGCCACGGCCACGGCGCCGGCGUAGGCUACGCUGGCCCCCCCUGCGCAGGUUAGCAAGAUCUGUGCACGAAAUAGAAAUUGACGGAAACGGGAGCAGUAUCAACCUAUAGUAGAGCACAGGUAACUGCCGGAAAAUGCCAAAACGGUGUCGGUCUGUCGCUGUCCAGGUUUCCGUGUCGUAAUACUUAAAUUGGUAAAUGUGGAAAAAAAACACGCGACGUAGAGUACGAAUAUUGGUGAAUCUUUUCGGGUGGUGACGGCGAGUGGCACUCUAUCUCUGUUACUGUCCUGUGGCGCAACCUCUUGCUCCACUCCCAAAUUUUAGAGAGAGAGAGAGAGAGAACCAGUUGACUGAGUUAUGCAUUAAAUAUUCACAUUUCUAUCAGCGUUAUACAUUUGAUUAUUUAUUAACCUUUUAUCAUUUCUUUUUUGUAAAUUUUUCUACUGAAUGCUCAAUAUGCACUUACUUAUUCACACACCUAAAUUUCAACGAAAUAUAUAUAGACACGCACACAUGCUAAUAAAUAUUAUUUUCAUUGCAUUUAUUAAUUUUUUUCAAUUAAUUUUAUCUUUUGAAAAAAAAAUUUACCUUGUCUAAGAAGCGUCCAUAAGACAGAAUUCAAGUGUAUUUUGAUCAAGUUACAGUUAAAUAGAAAGUGAGUACAUAUAAAUGCAGGAAAAUAUAAUAAUUAUUAAUGUAUGUAGUUAUAUAGUAGUAGGUUCAGGGUGAGUACUAAUGAGUGCUAAAAAACUUUUUCUUUAAAGCAUAAUUAGUUACUUUUUCUUUAAACAAACUUACAUAGAAUCAUAGAUAGUGAUUUCGUAAUAUAAAUUAUACAUAAACUAACAUUUUAAUUUAUUACUUUAUUGAAUGAACACUUUUUGGAUACUACAAUUUUGCUAAUCCAAAAAAAAAAAACACUGGCCCUCUUAAUUUGUAGCCAUUAUUGCAUCUCUUAAAUAAUCCCAUAAAUUAUUUCUAUUGGGAUUUGUUAAUUUAAGAGCUUAAUAAUUUACAUUUGUUUGCGUGCAAAACAAAUUACUGUGUGUGUAUAUAAUGACGAUUGGAAUUUGGGGGGUAGGUUGUAAAUAAUUAGGAUGGUUAGAGAGUGAUUAGGAAGACAGAAGACGACACCAGGAAGGGAUGUUUUGUUGGCGAUGCGUCUCGGUCACGUGAGGUUCAUGGUUCAAAGUCGCGGUCACGGUUGCGAUCACGGCCUAGAUCGUUCCACAUCGGUCUCGGUAUAUUGGUCACGGUUUCGGUGAGACGCGAAUUGUAAAAUAUUUAAUAUUCUAAAAUUAUAAAAUAUGAAAUAAAAAUAAUUAAAAAUUAAUAAAAUAAUAAAAAUUUAAGUUGAUUCGGAAUGACUUGAUGUGAUUCGGGCCGUUUCAACCCUUCACGAUGACGUUUCGGCCUGUCACGUAUCUCGAAAACGUUUCAUAACGUCGUCUCGGCUCGGACUACGCCGAGACGGAGACGACUGUCUCGGCCGAGUCUUCGAACCAUGGUGAGGUUAUUAACAACUCUAGAGGACAUCGGAUGGCUACUUUUUUGUAAUUUUUUUUCCUUUUUCUUUUUAAGUGUUUCGAAAGGGACUCCAUAUAUGUUUAUUUUGUUCGACCAGGAAUUCAGGACGGAUUGGACGGGAGACUCCGAGCAAAUAAUAAAUACGAAUGUGCAAAUGUCAGGUAGGAUGUAUUUUCAGUGUUUAAAUAAUAUUCGAUUUAUUUUUCAGACCAAUAUUAAUCAAGUGAUCCUACAAUUUUUAGUUUCAUUAUCAAAUUCUUCUCUUAUUACUCUUUCUUUUGUACCAUCUAGAGUCUUCCUCUAGAAAAAAAAAGAGGAGUAUAAUUUUGAUUUCAAUGCUAUAUUUAUACUUUCAAAGCACUAAUGAGCACUACUUAUUUUGAUUAUGAACUCAAUACCACUAUUAUGCUCAAAUGAUGUACUAUGUGAGUUUCUCCUCUAAAUCCGUCAUAAUUACACAAUUUCUUUAUUUAUUUUCCUUCUUGAAUUAAAAAAAAAACACACAUUGACUUAAAUUUGAAGACGAUGACUCUAAUACUGAGAAAUUUGAAAAAAAGGAUUUUCACAACUAUAGAAAUCUUAUGCAAAUUCAUUCUAAAUGAACCAAAAAUUCGUGGAGAAUUAAUCAUAAGAAGAUAAUAUAUUUUAUUUAUAUUUAAUAUGUGGAGGAAAAAUAAGGUCUAAUCUAAUGGAUACAUCCCAUUAAAGAACUAGAUGAAUUAUUUGUAAGGUUGCUCGUUUAAUGGUCUGCAAUCACCAUUAACUCAUUUUUCAACUACCACUCUAGUCUGUCCUCUUCCUUUCUCAAUUUGGUUUGGUGGACCAUUAAAUAUUGUGGAAGAUUUGCCUAAAUCGCUUCGCUAAGCAUUCUGGCCAUGCUGCUGAUGAACUCAGCUGUCGGAACAUAUUCAUGAGAUCACCACUCAUGCCAGCGCCUGAUGGCAUCGGCCUCUUGAAAUCAUUCGAGUCAUAUUAUCAUUUUUCUUCUGGUGCACAUGUUUGCGAGUUGCUUGUAAUGCUCCAACAUCUUCAUAACAUCUCCUACAUGGCAACCAGAGCCUUGUGCUAUGCGCCUGAUCCGAGAUUCCUUCAUAAUCUUUGGGUUUGAGCUGUUUAAUUCUGUAAUAUCAAGAUUGGAUCAGAUGAACGUAAAAACUAUAACCUUUCAUCAUGAAGCCCAAAUAAGCUUAAAAGAAUGCAGUAAAUUAAAAAUUACUUGCCUUCACUCGUUAGUGAAUCCAUCAUGAUCAGAUAUUUCUUCAUUUGUUCUGGUUUCACAUUUUCCUGGACAUUUGGCUGCAAAUCCCGGACUUGACUUAACAAUAAAGGACCCAUCUGGACAGUAAUAGAAGGGUGAUCUCAGAUAUUAUGAUACAACUACGAAUGCAAGCAACCUGACGCUUCCAUACCUUGUAAUUGUGCUUUACAACAGCCUGAUACUUUUUGAAGGUAAAGUUUUCUCCAUCAGUAAACAUUUGGCACAAGUCAGCCUGUUCAUCCAGAGACACGGAGUCCCGAAAUCUGUCCACUAGCUCAGCUGGAUGAUGCUUACCUGAUUGUAAUUGCGAAGAAAAUAAGUGCAGAACUUGAAAUGUUUAUGGGAUGAGAAACCAGAAUGAUCAAAUAUCUCAGUGGAAAUAUGCAUUAUUAAGUAAUAUAGAUAUAGUUACCUAGGAGACGACAAACAAAAGCCUUGGCAUCGAAAGCUUCAAACUUAUCCAGCUGCUCUCCGUUUCCUAUGAAUAUGACAGGACAUUUUGUUGCUGCCACACUGUAGCAUAAGGUGAGAUAUCAAACGAAUCCUUACAAUGAAUAAACUGAAUGAAAUGAAUCACAGAUAUCAAAGAAAGCCUAAGCAAGAGAAACGAAGAGUAGAAAUUCAAAUCCUUAUAACCAUGGUUCAUUGUGGCGGGUCACCAUCACGUCGCGGUUGCGGUUGUUUCACAUCCGUCGCGACAUAUCGAUUGGAUAUUAGGUGAUACUCACAUUAUAACAUAUAAAAAAUUUCAAAAAAAUUUGAAAAUUUUAUUAAAAAUAGAAAAUACCAAAAAGGCACAAUCUGAAAAAAAAAAAAAAAAUCCGAAUCGACUCCGAAUAGACUCGGAUAUUUUGGCCAAUUCCAUGCAUCACAGAUUCGAAUCGAUCAAUAUCAGUCGAGUCAAAGUGAAUUACCGCGAAUAUGGAAUUCUCUAUGAUUCGAGAAUCGGUAUCGUACCUGUCCCCUACGUUCCGGUUAUAAUUCGGCUGAGAUGGCGAACCAUGCUUAUAAUAUUGGCAAUAAUAUAUUUAGAUGCCUAGAUCAGAAUAUUGAUGUUUUUCUUAUUAAUUCAUUUAUUGGUUGGGAUGAACAGAAGCUUGAACUUUUAUAGCUUUGCAUUAUCGAAGGUGAUGUCUGACAUAAAAGAUAAAGUCAUGACUAAGUUUUCCUAUCUGUUCAUUAAGGAGAUGAUUAGUGGCAGCAGCACAGAGAUCUUUUCCUUCUCAACUUUCCUUUUUUAACUCUUCCAGAAUUUGGGGCUGGAAAAGCAGGGGAGUCUGAGCAAAUAAGCGAUAGAGGCCAAGCAAAAGAACAUGCAGAUAAUCUAUUGCAAUAUACGCCUAGGAUAUUUUUAACUUGUUUAAAGUUUUUAGGUAUACUUUGCCCUCAUGUAUAUACUUGCAUACCAUAUAUGCCGGAUUCAUGUGGUAAUCCAAUCAUCAUUGUCCAUGAGAAACAGAAGUCUAAAUUGCUCCUCUACUAGUGUAAACUACAAAUGAAGCAAUCCCUACACAUGCACUUAACAGGAAAAAAAAAUGGCUAUUAACCUUCAACAACAGCUCAUCACAUGCAUCUAAAUGAAGAGAAAGAAUUGAGAAAAGGAAAUGUAACUGAGAUAACGUUAAGUUGAAGGAGCAGAUAAUGCAGCUCAUAGAUGAGGCAAAGAAACAAUAUAAGCAAGAAACAUCUAACUUGGCUACCAUACUUACGCACUGAUAGCACCCCUCCCUUAGCAUGACCAUCAAAUUUAGUGACAAUCACACCUCCAACAGAGACACUCUGUUUGAAAGCUCGAGCUUGAUCAAAUGCUGCUUGACCAAUGCUACUAUCAAUCAGAAACACCACGAGAUCUGGUUUCUGGAACGUUACCGGAAAAGGCUUUUAAAAUUACAACUAAAGACAUUUAAGCUUGCACUCAAUUAGACUCGUAAUGUUGAAGUUACCGUUGCCUCAUACAGUUGACGCAUCUCUUCAAGAAGUGCGACCUCUUGUUUGUGACGCCCACUUGUAUCAAUAAUGAUCAGAUCACGGUUUUCAUUCUUGAACCGUUUCAGUCCUUCCAAAGCAACUUCUGUAGGAUCUGACUCUGUGGAACUGUUUAGGCAAAAAAGAAAAGGGUGAUUAUUGCAACUUACAAAUUCCUAUGAAAUGAACUUCAAGAUCAGCAAUAGUCCACUGAAGGAAUGAAACAAACAUGAUCAGAGUCCUUCUAAAAGCUGCACGAGGGAAAAAAGUCAUAAUCUAAAUUGAAACUGCUGUGUAACUAUUUACUAUUUCAAGUUUUUUGAUCAAAAAAUGUCAGCAACUAUAUAGCUUGAAGAAUUCAUCACAAUUGCUUUGCUGGUUGUAAGCCCCUCAAAGGAUAAUCAACUUUUUAUUUUAUGAAACUUCACAACAAAUUUAUUAAACUUUAACAAACUAGGGACGCAUGAUGACAAAAUGUAAAACACUAGAAUUCGUAAUGCCAUUUUAACCACGUUAUAUCCCAAGCAUCUAUUUGACUGCAAAUUAUGCAUUCAAAGUUUCAGUUACCUUCCAUAAUAGGGUAUUUCUACUUUCACAGCAUCUUGUUUUAACUGGUCAAGAGCACCAUCUCUGAAUGUAUCAGCACAGAUCAAUGCUGGUUUCCAUCCCUUCUUCUGAUGAUAAUAGGCAUAUUUGGCACACGUGGUGGUCUUCCCAGUUCCUGAAAUUUAAAUCGUGAAUGUUGAAAAAAACACAGAUCCAACACUAAUUAUUUCACAGGUGUUACCCAUACCAUAUAAACAGAGAUAUAGAUACUAUACUGAAUUAGCAAUAUAUUGAAGAGAACCAUACCUUGUAAACCAACAAACAUCACAACACUAGUUUCCCCCUUUCGCGGGUAAAGAUGGUUUUCCCGGAUUUAACAUGUUGCAGAGCUCACUAAAUAUGCUCUGCACAAAAUUGAAGAGAUUGUCGCAGUCAAAGGCGAAUUAGUGCAAGAAAUAAGAAGCAAGCAUGAUAUGCUCUUUGCCAGGAAUUUAGGCAGAUGUAUAGAAAAUUGUAGACCUUGAAUCAUAAUUUUGCAGUAGAGAAAACUUGAGAUAAGACCCUAUCUGGCCUUUUCACAAAGGAUGUACCAAAAUAGAAUCUUGCAAGUAGGAUAUUAAGAGUCCCUAUUUAUUGUUUUGAUUUCAAUCAGGGCCAUACACACAUUCCCCAGGUCAGUACUACUAUUUACCAGCAGUCUCAUGAUCAUCUACCAAAGAGCAAUAGAAAGUUGUAAGCUUGUAAUCCCGAAAAAAAUAGAAAUCAAUCAACCAAUAAACUGCUUAUCUGUCUCAACCAAUAACCUCCUAUACAACCAGCUGCGAAAUCAGGCAACAAAACAUUCACCAUACUUAAUUUUGCUUCUACCUUCUAAAUUUUCACAUAUUUCAAACUUGAUGUGGGCAUUAGCCAAGUCUAAAUGCACUGCAUGCAGUCAAAAAAAUAACAAAAGCACGGAAAAUUAAACCAAGAAAAAGAAUACCUCUUCAAGAAUUUUGCGCUUAUUGAUCCCUGAUGGCAGAUUGUUGAGAUUGGCACUCUUCUUGACAUUGUUCACCAAUUCCUUAACUAAAUGAAAGGGCACAUCACCUCGAAGAAGUGCCCGGGUGAUCUCAUUGAGACAUUCAUUCACUACGCUCUCAUCCACAACAGUAGCAUUCUUCAUAUCCGAAUGGCUUGGGUAAGCCGGUCUUUUAACUCUACCAACAUUAUGAUGAUUGAUGCCGCCUUCUUACUCUAACCAAAUAUAUCUAUCAAGAACUGCAAGAUCAAAGAAAACUUCAGAAACUCGCAUGCACAUGCAGAUGCACGUCAAGGUACAAAAUUGUACAAGCCCACAUGCACAAAAUUAAUACCAGCCCUCAAAUUGAAUUGGAAAAUUGGGGAAGAGACAGAAAAAGAAAAUUAGCAUGUUAGCGGAGCCCUGGAAAUCAAACAACGAUUACAAUACCUUUGCAGAGUUUUGGUGCAGAUUAAGGGAAAAACUAACAAUAAUAUUGGUUGGGGAUACUAACGUAAUUUUUCGUUUUUCAUAAAAAUAGCUUAAGAUUAGAAGUAAGCCAGAGAUGAACUUUGAGUAUUAUUAUUGUUUGAAACGUCCCUCUUACUAGAAGAUUCUAGAAUGAACUUUAAAUGCUUCUAAAGUCUAUUGAAAACGUUACAAAAAAGGACCAAAAUCUGAAAUUUGUCGUAAUGGUCCUUAAUCCUUUAGACACAUAAGUGAAAUUGAAAUUUGUUGUAAUGAUCCUUAAUCCCUAGACACAUAAGUGAAAUCAUUAAGAUACUAAAGUUUGAAAUCUAAAAUUUAUUAAGCUACUAAAUUGUCAAAUAGUGAAACCAUUUAAGCAUAUUUUGCAUUAAAUGAUAAGUAAACAAUAUUUUAAAUUAAGCGAUGAGUGAACAACGUAUCACUUAUUUUUUGAAUAAGUUUUGCCUAAAUAAUUUAGAUCCAUUUAAUUUAUUAAGAUUUUCUAUUUUUUGUUAUCAAACACCACUGAACAUAUUAACAUCUAAAUUCAUUAAAUUUAAGUGAUAAAUUAGAUUAUCAAAUAUGUUCCAUUAACAGUUAAAUUCAUUAAAUUUAAGUGUUAAAUUGAAUUAUCAAUAUGGUCAUAAUCACACAAUUUGUUUGUCCAUUUGUACCGGACGAUUUUCAGCUACAUCAUUAAUAACAUUAGUCUUGCAUAUCCUCUGAAAAAAAAAAAAAAAAAAGGCCAUAGUCACAGCAUGUCCUUACUACAGUGAAAGUUAUUUUAAAAUACAGCAAUUAACAAGCAUCCAUGGUAUAUUUUCCACAUUGCGUACCAAUGAUCUAAACGCAAAACAUACCCCUAUCGAGAAUUUUUUUGAAUUUUCAAGAUAAUUUAGAAGUAACCAAUUUAUAUUUUCGUAAUUGGAAUUAUAGCAACGUAUUCUUGCCGAAGGCUCACGUUCCCCAUGGUUUCUUGGUCAUUAAGAGGAGGAUUAAGUAGCUAACUCCCAAUCCCAGAGAAAGGUUUCAGAACUCAACAGCGUAAAAAGAUUCAUGUGACACAUAUAUUACAUGGCUGAUAGAACCAUUUCAGCUCAGCAUUUCAUGGCUGACAGAAGAAUCUGAUACUCUUGUCUGAACGAGACUGGACCUUUGCAAUGAAUUCCAGGAGCAAGUUGCCAGUUCAUUGAGUGCUCUGCACUGUUUAACCCGAAUAACUUUCAGCCUUCAUCUCUUGAUCUUGCUUCCUUACAGCCACUCCAAAAUAAAACAACAAUUUCAGCAGUACAGCUUUGUAUUAGACUUGUAGCCUGUCUACAUAUCACCACUUAGAGAGAGAGAGAGAGAGAGAGGAGAUGAUGACAUCCAUGGCGUUUUUCUAAUUUCUCCUAUAUCUACAGACUAUUCUUUUCGUUUUCCAGGAGUACUUGACUAGCAUACCAAAGAAAAAAUUGAGGAACCUAUUUUGAUUUCCAAGUAGUAAACAUUUUGUUUUUUGUAAUAGGAGCACAAAAAGGACUCUAUGGCGGUUAAAUUUUCCCUGGUGAACUCUGCAGAUCUAUGAAGGACUUCUUGGAGAGGUUGAUAAUUGAAUCUGCAAUCACUCUUGCACUGGAUUUCAUAUAACCACCUAAAAAUGCAAUAAAGUUGCAUAAGAUAAAUGCGUUGUGGACAGUAAAAAGAAAGGGGUCCUAAAUCCUGUAGGGUAAGGUUCAUAAGCAAUUACCUGAUGUAAGCAUGACAAGAGGUAUGCUCCUCUCACGAGCAAAACUAAACACCUUUUCAUCCCUUGUGGCAAUUCCCUCCGGGCUGAUCUGCAAAGAUAUGCAUUUGAUAGUUAACAUUCAUGAAAUCUUCAUCGGCAGCGUUACGUUUGCUUUCUGUCUUCUUUUGCUUUGACACACACAUGACAAAAGCAAAGCGAAUUUGACAGUGUCCCAGUUAGAUUUUAAUAAUUUCCCAGACAGAUAUAUGACAACCAAAGAACCAAACCAAAAGAAAUACCUUCAACCUGCCCAGAGGAUCUCCGUCCAGAAUAUCAGUGCCAGCAUUGUACACGAUCAACUCAGGACUAAAAUUCCGUGAAGCAACCUAGAAAGUACCAAAUAAGGCACUAUUUAUAUCAACAGAUGAACAAUUGACACAACUAAUUUGAUAUCAAAACCAUAAAACUUCAAUGCAGAUGGUAAAAUUUACAAUAUGUAAUAAUGUAGCUGGAAAUGCAAUAUAUCAAGCCACCAAAUUACAGCUGGACCAAGAACAACAAUGUUGCUAGUCCAGAAGCAAGUCAUCAAUGAGCAUUUUACUGAAUGAGGGAAAAAUAGAACAUUACAUGCAACUUAUGGAUGAAAACCCAUGUUGCAGGGAUGAACUCCCCCAACUUUUCCACCAAAAUGUUACUGUAUGUGAAAAGCGACUCAUAAAGAUUAACAUCAAGGACGACAAGAAACAAAUUCAAAUCAGCCGGUGUGCCUAAAUAUGAAAAUUCUUGAAGAAAAUUCAAGCAAAGUUGGACAUCAAGGUAAAUGGCCUUGGCCUUCGUAUCAACUUCAGCAAGAACUUGUCAUCUCUCUCUCUCUCUCUCUCUGUAGUUGCACAUAAAAGGCAACGUAUGUGAACCAAUUUGAAAGAUGGAGGGAACAACAAUUCAUAUAACCCCCCUUAGAAAUGCUGCCACCAAUAAUGCUUGUUGGCAACACUUGUGAAUGCGUUUAGCAGAACAGAACAUCGAUUUUCACUUUUGCAGAAGCAUUCAGGAACUAACAAAAUACAUGAUGCAUAUGUCAAACUACAUGCAGCCAUGCAGGUCAUCUUUCUCAAGGAGAAUUUCAGUGUCUGCUUUUCUUUUUCCACUAAAGACCUGAAAAUGUAAUAUUGGAGUUCAUAUCUGUACUUAAAAGAAAAGGAAAAGAACUUGAGAAGAUUUUCUACAACUCAAUGGACGAAAAAUACAAGAUUGGAAAUGACAGAUUUAUAUACCUCAAGAGCUUCAUCUAGUUUUGACAAGUAAUCGCUUGUUAAUGUCCCAGUCUGUUUAAAAAAUGUAAAAGGAUGUCAUCCAACUUGAAAACUUGAAAGAAUCCAAAUCAACAAACCUCAGCCAAUAAAAUCUCAUUCUGACCGGCACUUCAAUUUGCUGAUCAAUAUACCUCCUGGCUUCAUAGUCCUAAACAACAAUGAAGAGAAAAUUAAUGGCUCAGACAGAAUGUCCAUCAUGACACAAGUAUCUCUUUUGUGCUGUUCUGAUAUCACCACUUGGUGGAUGUAAGUUUGAACAAAAAUAAUAGGAAAAGAAAAAAGGAAUAGGUGAGAGGAAAAUCCCAAACAAAAUACCAAUUGUAUAUAAACCAGCAAACGUGAUUGCUAUAAAUACAAACGAGGUUCAGAAGAUGACUUACAAAGGGAUAAAUAUGAGGAUUGUACAUAUCAAGAAUAUAAACUCUUCCUGCCAGUAUGAUAGAAGACCAAUCAAUAUCAUGAAAGCAAAACGAGGCCAGGAGAUAGGUUCAAGGUCAUACUGUCACUAGAAAAAUCCAAUUCAUGCCCAUUUCCUUGGUGUGCAUCGAGAUCAAUAAUCAUCACCCUGUUGAUUGUUACAAUUAAUGAGCAAGGGAAGCAUCUGACCAUGAAGAGCGUGCCCAUUGCUAAAUCCAUAAAAAAAAGCAUCUGAUGUAUGCAUAUUACCUUGAAAUAUUUAGACGGGCAAAGGCAAAAUGUAUGCAAAGAGAAAUGUCUGCAUAAGCACAAAAUCCACCUCCUUUAGCAGCCGAACAAUGAUGGAACCCACCCCAACGUUGAUAGCCCAUCCACGUUCUUUAGCAAGCUUUGCAGCCAAUAUAGUUCCUCCAACCUAGAGUUACAUUUAGCAUUAACUUUUAGAACCAAAGCAAGAAGAAAAUGAAGCCACAUAGUUAAUCUCACCUGCUUGCGAAAAGGAGAAAGAACUUUCUGCUGCACAACACAAUUGGGCAAUACAGCAACAGGGGGGACCUAAAUGCCAUACAUCAAAUGAUCAAGUGAUCAGAACCUAAAGGGUUAUCCAUAAAUUUGAUUACCAUAGCUAUCAUUUGCCAGAAAAGUACAUUAGAAAUCACAUAACAAAUAACGACAGCAUGGCAAACCUCACCUCAACAAUGAUGGCAACAUUUGAGCUACUCUUUAGGCUAUUCAAGUAUGAUUCUGGAUGCACCUAUCACAUAUAAUAGCUAGCUAAGAAUAUUUGAAGUCCUCCUGCAGCAGCAGCAAAUUGAGAUACAAUCCUCCACGUAACAAUCAAAUUACCCAAGAAUGAAACUUGACUGGAUAGAAGCAAGCUAUUCACAUGUAAGAAGAGUAUAAUCAAAAGUUUUGGAUUCCUUGGAUGAGGUGCAAGAUAGAUAGAUGAUUUAUACCAAAUGAGUUACUUUGAUGACCAUCUAGCUACAAUCGGAACCAACAAUUUACAAGGUACAUACUGGUGCUGAACUUGAGCUCUUCUAUUAGUUUUAUCUUGUACAAACAAUGUCAAAACUCCAAGGCAAACGCAUGACGGUGUAUACAUACUUCCAAUUUAUCAUUUUUCACAAACUGUUAGUAGAAUAUUUCUUUUACAUUUCGGUAGUCAGUGUCUUUUUUUCAUCACUUAUUUGUGGGUACGCUUUCAUAUUACAAAUAAAUCUUUGAAAUUGGCAGGGCUCAUUCCACGAGAGAUCGGCAAUCUUAGGAACCUCAAGGAAUUUGGCAUAGAAAGAAACCAAAUCACAGGCUCUAUACCCAGAGAAAUUGGGAAUUUGACCGAGCUUACAUUGAUUGUAUUUGCGCACAACUUCUUAACAGGUACCAGAUUACAUUUAAUUAGUGAUAUUUCCAAAAUCAUGUUCCAUAACAUCUUAAAUCUCUUAUUUCCUGGUUCUUUAAGAAUUUACACUUGCCACUUCCAUUUGCAUUAUUUGAUAGGUGUAAUACCAGAAGAGAUGUCCAACCUUCACAAACUGGAGGCACUUUAUUUAAUAUUCAAUGAGUUAAAUGGCUCAAUACCGGUUGGGAUCUUCAACCUCUCAACGUUGAGUGUGGUUUCAUUGGGAUUCAAUCACCUCACAGGCAAUCUUCCUUCAAAUAUUGGUUACCAAUGGCCAAAUUUAGAAAAGUUUCAUCUUGACGGAAAUAACAUCGGUGGAAUUAUGCCAGCUUCUAUUGUAAAUUGCUCUAAAUUAACCAUUCUAUCCCUUCCAGGAAACCGAUUUACUGGCUCCAUUCCAAACUCCAUUGGGAAUCUUGAACUCCUGGAAUCUCUAUUUCUUUCUGACAACAAUUUGACCAGUGAUCCUACAUCUUUGGAGCUGGAGUUUCUUACUUCGUUGACAAAUUGCAAGCAUUUAAAGACUUUAGAGCUAGCUGAAAAUCCACUUAACGGGGUUCUUCCAGCUUCCAUUGGAAAUCUUUCUACAUCCCUACAAUAUUUCAAUGCAAGAGCUUCUAAUAUCAAAGGCCCCAUCCCAAGAGAAAUUGGCAACUUGAGCAGUCUACUCUUGAUUUCUCUAGAAGACAAUCAGUUAACUGGAGAUAUUCCAAGAACAGUCCAAGACUUACAAAACCUUCAGGUGCUGUCUCUCAUGAGAAACAAACUAGGGGGCAGUCUAGAUAGUUUCUGUAAGAUGCACAGCUUAUCUGAGUUAUAUCUUAGCCAAAACCAAAUUCCAGGCAUUAUUCCAGAUUGUUUUGGCAAUAUGACAUCUCUCAGGGAUAUUUACCUUCGCUCCAACUUAUUAACCUCUACUAUUCCUAGAAGCUUGUGGAAAUUAAGAGAUCUCUUAGUGCUUGUCCUGGCCUCAAACUCCUUAAUUGGCUCAUUGCCUCUCGAGGUUGGAAAUUUGAAGGCUGCCAUAAAUAUUGACAUGUCAAUGAAUCAAAUCUCUGGGGAGAUUCCUUUGACAAUGGGAGAUUUACAGAACCUCCAAAACCUUUCUUUGGCAGACAACCAGUUGCUAGGAUCAAUUCCUGAAUCUUUUGGAAACCUGUUCAGCUUAACAUCCCUAGACUUGUCAAAUAACAGCCUUUCUGGUUUGAUCCCAAAAUCAUUGGAUAAACUUCAAUCCUUGAAAGUCCUUAACCUUUCUUCUAAUCAUUUGAGGGGUGAAAUUCCCUCGGCUGGUCCUUUCAGAAGCUUCACAAGUGAAUCCUUCAUUUCCAAUGACGCUCUGUGUGGCGAUCCAAAAUUUGAUGUUCCACCAUGCCAAACCAAUCCACAACAUGGAUCAAAAUUGAAAAGGGUGCUUUUAAUUACACUUUGCUUACUGGGGAUUGCUAUUGUGGUCGUCUUAGCCUUGGCCGUUGUAUUCAUAAGAUUCCAGAGGAAGAAAAAGGUUCCAAGUGCAACAGAUUUCUUUCCUGGUGUAACCAGGAAAGAAAGAGUUUCUUAUUAUGAGCUGUUACAAGCAACUAAUGGGUAUGGUGAGAGCAAUUUAAUUGGCUCUGGGAGUUUUGGAUCAGUUUAUAAAGCGACUCUAGGUGAUGGUAGGUCAGUGGCUGUAAAAGUAUUUAAUUUGCAACUAGAAGGUGCAGAGAAGAGUUUUGAUGUGGAAUGUGAUGCACUCUGCAACCUUCGCCAUCGAAAUCUCGUGAAAGUCAUCAGCAGUUGCUCUAAACAUGAUUUCAAAGCCUUGGUCCUUGAAUACAUGUGUAAUGGGAACCUUGAGAAAUGGCUGCACUCUCCUAACUAUUUCUUGAAUGUCUUCCAAAGAUUGGACAUUAUGAUAGAUGUGGCAAGUGCUUUGCAAUAUCUGCACCAUGAAUACUCGACACCUGUGAUUCACUGCGACUUGAAACCAAGUAAUGUCCUCAUUGAUGAAGAUAUGGUCGCCCAUGUAAGUGAUUUUGGUAUUGCAAAGUUCUUGGGAAAGGAGGAGAGCACUGCAUUAACCAAGACCUUAGCAACAAUUGGUUAUAUGGCACCGGGUAAUCUUAACAAUGUGUUUCUAUUGAAUUUUUUUUCUUUUUCUUUUUCUUUUAUAAUGAUUUGUUGGAUUGAUUGCACCAUUUCUUGUAGAAUAUGGAUUGGAAGGAUUAGUGUCAACAGCAUGUGAUGUCUACAGCUAUGGAAUCCUGCUAAUGGAAGUCUUUACGGGAAGAAGGCCUAGUGAUGAAAUGUUUGAUGGAAAUAUAAACUUGAAGAGUUGGGUAAAAGAUUCUAUGCCUAAUGCAACUGUUCAAGUUAUAGAUGCAAAAUUGUUGAAGCCUAAUGAAGAACGAUAUGCAGAAAAGUUGGAAUGUUUGUCGUUAAUCAUGAGAUUGGCCUUAAAUUGUGUUCCUGAAUCUCCCAAGGAAAGGCUCAGUAUGAAAGCUGUUGUGGAUACAUUGCAUAAGAUCAAGCUAAGAUAUCUUGAGUGUCAUGUCACGGACGUAAAUAAAUAAAGAAUGCAAUAUUCCAAAGCAUCUUUCUGUACGGAUUAAGAAACUAUAUAGUAAAUAAGUUUCUCAAAUCUUUGGGGGAAAAAGCCAACUUGGAUCGUUUUCUCUGAUCCCCAAAACCCUGUUUGUUUGAAUCUGUAAUUUUACUUGCAAUUUACUUCAUAUUUAGGCACACCCAUUUAUUGGUCCUAUAUUUAGGCAUUUUUAUGUAUGUUUAGCUUAAUUUAUUAAAAAAGCUAAUACAUAAUGUCUCCUCUUCAUGAGUUUCCAGGGACAUCUCAAAAUAAAAACCCUUAAUUUAUCUUUAAGUUAAUUAAUUUGUCUAACAGGUGCCCGGCGGAAGCACAAAUUAAGAUACAGAUUAGGUGUUCAUUGUUAUUUAUGAAAAGAAAAAUUAAACGUAGCUAAUUUUGUGUGUGUAUACUGCACAGAGCCAGGCUUGAAAAUUUCAUAAUUCAUAGUAGUCAUUAACUAUAUAUAUCUUCUAUUAACACUAGUAUGCUAAGUGUUUUUUUGUCAAUUCAGCAAAAAAGAAAGUAAUAAUAAUAAUACAGGCAAUCUUCCACUAGGAUUCAAUUUAUUCACAGGCAAUCUUCCAUCGAAUUUGGGAUCCAAGUUGCCCAAUUUAGAGCAAAUACAGGUCGAUGGAAACUAUGUUGGUGGACUAAUACCGGCGUCUAUUGCAAAUUGCUAUUACUGUCUCUUGCAGUCAACCAAUUCAGUGGCUUCAUUCCUAACUCCUUUGGGGAUCUUAGACUCCUACAAUACUUGGUUCUAUUCCGGAACAAUUUGACUAUUGAACCUUCAUCUUCUGAGCUGGGCUUCAUCUCCUCCCUGACAAAAUGCAAAUACUUGACAUAUUUAGCAUUGGAUGAGAAUCCAUUCAAUGGGGUACUUCCGGCUUCUAUUGGAAGCCUCUCUGCUUUCCUUCAGAAAUUUUAUGCCGGAAGUUGUGGAAUCAAGGGUACUAUCCCUAGUGAAAUUGGCAACUUGACCAAUUUAAUACUACUUGCUCUAGGAAACAAUAAAUUGACUGGAGGGCUUCCAACAACAGCCAAGAAUCUGCAGAACCUGCGAGGAUUAUCUCUUUCAAGAAACAACAUCAUUGGCAGUCUAGACCAUUUUUGUUUGCAAAGCUUGACUGAAUUAUAUAUAUACCAAAACCAAAUUUCAGGGUCGCUACCAGAAUGUUUUGCCACUCUGACUUCUCUUAGGAUCCUUGAUCUAACAAACAACCUAUUAGCCUCUGCUAUACCAAGAAGCUUUUAUAACCUCAAAGACCUUUUGCACCUAAAUGCAUCCUCGGAUAUUUUGAUCGGUCCCUUGCCUCAAGAAAUUGGAGAUCUAAAGGCUGCUAUAUCCAUUGACCUGUCAAUGAAUCAAUUCUCAGGGGAAAUUCCUAGCACAGUCAGUGACUUGAAAAACUCGCUUAACCUUUCUUUAGCACACAGCAAUUUAGUAGGAUCUAUUCCAGAAUCAAUUGGCAAGAUGGUCAGCUUGGAAUCCAUCGACCUGUCACAUAACAAUCUUUCGGCUACGAUCCCAAAGUCACUGGAGGCACUUUAAUGUUUCUUAUAACCAUUUAAGUGAUGAAAUUCCUUUUGAGGGUCCUUUCAAGACCUUGACGAGUAAAUCCUUCAUUUCCAAUGGUGCAUUGUGUGGAGAUUCAAAGUUUCACGUCGCAAAAUGCCAACAUGAUACUUCAAACCCUCGGUCAAGAGCAGAGAAGAUACUUGUAAUUGUGUUUAUUUCACUUGGAAUUGCUAUUGUGAAUGCCAUGGUUUCAGCAUGUCUAUUCAGAAGAUAUCGUAAGAAAGAAGUGGCUUCAGGGGGAACAACCAGGGUCGUAGUAUCAACACAAGAAAGAGUUUCACACUAUGAACUUCUUCAAGCAACUGACGGAUACAACAAAAGCAAUUUGCUUGGCAUUGGGAGUUCUGGAUCUGUUUACAAAGGGACGCUAAACGAUGGAAGGACAGUUGCUGUAAAAGUAUUCAAUUUGCAAUUGGAAGGAGCACUGAAAAGCUUCGAUGUAGAAUGUGAAGUAUUGCGGAACCUUCGCCAUCGAAAUCUUGUGAAGGUCAUCAGUAGCUGUUCUAACCAAGAUUUUAAGGACUUAGUGCUCGAGUAUAUGAGCAAUGGAAGCCUUAAGAUGAGAAAUGGUUAUACUCUGAAAACUACUUCCUAGACAUCUUGCAAAGAUUAAACGUGAUGAUAGACGUGGCUAGUGCAUUGCAAUAUCUCCACCAAGAGUAUUUGACACCGGCCGUUCACUGUGAUUUGAAGCCUAGUAAUGUUCUACUUGAUGAAGACAUGGUAGCCUGUGUAAGCGAUUUUGGAAUUGCAAAAUUGUUGGGAAAGGAAGAAAGCUUUGCAUUAACCAAGACUUUUGCUACCAUUGGUUAUAUUGCACCAGGUAAAAAUUCCUAGUUCUAGUAUUCUUUUGCUUCCUUUUUUUUUCCUUUUUUAAUUUGUUCUAUUUCUUUUUUUGGGUAGAGUGUGGAUUUGAAGGAUUAGUAUCCACAGCAUGCGAUGUUUAUAGCUAAUGAAUUAUGUUAAUUGAAGUUUUUACAAGAAGAAGGCCGAGUGAUGAGUAUUUGCAGGACAGUUAAACUUGAAAAGUCGGGUAAACGAUUCCAUGCCUGACGCAAUUCUUGAAGUUAUAGACCCCAAUUUGUUGAAUACGAAAGAUGAACAUUUGGAGCAAAAGUUGGAAUGUAUAGGAUCAUUGAUGAAAUUAGCCUCAAAUUGUGCUCUUGAUUCUCCUAAUGAGAGACUUAAGUAUGGAAGAGGUUCUUGAAUCCCAGAAGAAGAUCAAACUCAAGUUUCUUGAGUGUAGUAGAGGUUGAUAAAUUGUACCUCAUGCAUAUCGUGUAGAAAAUUGGCCAAGCGAAGAUAAGAACAGAGAAAUUUAGAAUUUUAUGCCCAUGUAUCUGCUUACUUCAUUAAAGGACCGGUGACUAAUUCUAUGAUAAACUUUUCAAAAACUGAAGGAAGUUUGACCUUAGCAACAACAGCAGCAAAACUGUUAGAUUUUUUGGGACAUAAACUAAGAAAUAACAGUUUAGUAUUAUAAAAAAAGCUUAUAAGAGACUUGUAUUGAAAUUGAAAAUAAGCUUACGUCAUUCAUUUAUCAACUCACUAUAUAUAAUGACUACAUGAAACAAACUAGCAAAAUAUCUAACUAACAAUUAUCCUAAAAAUCUCAAUAAAAUAUAAUCUUUUUUUUUCAGACGCAGGGGGUAUCCGAACCUUCGGCCUAACUAAUCACCCUACGGCUCGAGAGAAGAGACCCGAUCCUUUCGAACACGUUAACAAACCAACAUGAUAUUUGAUUAACAAAUAUCCUUAUUCUUUCAAUAACUAAAUUAUUUUGAUACCAAACAUAAUCUAGCAAAAUCUGUAAAAAAAAAAGAUGGCAUAUCUCAAUAAAAACCCUUUAUCUUCUCAUACUAAUAUUUUUCUCCCUCAAAGUACAUUAGCAAGAUCAAGAUAAACAGAUUCCGUUACAUUAGGAGAUAAAUAUAAACAAAUUAUAAUUUUUUAAAAUGAAUACUUAAAAUAUCAUUUUAUUUCCAUCAAAAACAUGUUUUUCACUCGUCGUUUUAUUGCACAUCCAUUACGUUAUAAAAAUUGUUACGAUAACUAUUUCUAAAUAAUAUUUCAAAUAAUAUUCUUAUCUAAACACAUUUAUUAUAACUUAGUAUUAAUUUUUUUAUAUAUUAUUAAUGUAUAUAUUGAUAAUACAGUAACAUACAUCGAAAGUCGCUAAUAUUAUACAUCCUAACAGUGUAUGAAGAAUUAAUCUCUGCAAAAGUGAAGGGAAAGUUGACUGAACUAAGCUACCUAUUAAGGUCAAAUUUUGAAGUCCUGAUCUUGGGAAUGGGCGCACUUAAAGGUGACAUUUGGCGACUUGGCUUGAUAGGAGCCGCCAUACAGGGAUAUAUAGAUAAGCUCAAAAUUGUGUUUACGCCAGGUGCCAACAAUAUAUAGGGCAGGUGUCGCGCUAAGAAAAAACAUAGAUUCGAUACAGCUCAUCAAUUUCCCCGUCCCAUCAUUCUUGUUGAAUGAGUAAUCAUCUCCCAAGCCCAUCAAUUACGCCCAAUCCCAUUUCCUUGUUGAAUUAUUAGAUUCGCAACAGCCCUAAAUUUGAGCUGUUGUGGGCCCAAUUUAACCAGCUGUCCAUCAACCAAUAGCCAGCCUGUAGAGAUUGCUGCCCGAACAACCUAACUCGCUGCCCGAAACUCUUGCCCGCCCUAAUCUCUCUAUAAAUUCCAGCUCCCAUCGCUCUCAAACUCUGCUGCCACCAUUCUUUCUAGGCUCUCUCCCUCUCUCUCCUCUUAUUCAGUACCUUGAGAGCAAUGGCAGUCUCACGCUCCGCAGCUUCGGUUGUACCAUUGUUGGUCGUGGUGGCCAUGGUCUUCUCGCUAGUCGGAGCCUCGUUCGCCGCCGAGGCUCCUGCACCGGCUCCCGCUUCUUCCGCCGUGUCAGUUUCGCCGUCAUUGGUGGCCGGAUUCGCCGUUGCCUUCGCUUCUUUCAUCUUCGGAUCUGGAUUCAGAGUUUGAAGUAGUACAGUUAUUUAUAUUAUUUGCAGGAGAUAUUUGAUUUUGGGGAGGUUUUGUACAUGUGUUUAUUACUACUUAGCUAUGAUGUUAGUGUAGUAACCGCUGCUGCAGUUUGUUUUUCCUUUUUCAUUUUUUUUUUAUUAUUUUGUGAGUUUCUUCGAGGGGUUUGUUUCUAGCAUGUUAUUGCAGAGUUGCAGUUUAUUUUAAAUUUCUCUUCACUAAUAUUUCGUUAAAAUAUCUUUUAUUGAUUUACAAUCUUAAUUGUCUCAUUGCACCGUUAUUAUUUUUUAAUUUUUGUGGGGUAAUUAAAAACACGGGGAAAAAAAUCCCCUAUUAUUCUACAAUUUUUUUUUGUUUUUACCCUUGGUAACUAAUGAAUACUAGUACUAUUAGACAAUUUUAUGUGUACCAAUAAUUACAAGUAGGCCUAAAAACAAUAGCAGACAGGAGUGAAGCAUUAUGUGACUUAAUUGAGUCUAGCAUUUAGUUGAAACUCGAGUCUAACAACACACAGAUUAAGACUCCUAUUUUAGCGAAGAAAAAUGCUUGAUUAAACUAGAAAUUCGAAUGAGAAAAAGUAUUCAAUCAAGAUGCUUGAUCAAUAAAUGGGGCUAAUACAUAAUUUCCAAUUUGUGUCAGGAGCGGAAUUUAUAUAUAAGCCACUAAAUCCAGCGUUGUUCUAUUUCGCUUCUCAACCAUCACAAUGGUCCUAUCCUCCAUCGAGCAAGCUAAACCAAAUUAUGGCAACUGAGCUAGGGGUGUACUCAAUUCGGACUCACGAGUAACUCCAACUUCAAUACAGUGUUCAUCUAGUUGGAAUCGAAUUCGACCUACUUGAUAAGAAAAUCUAGUCUACUUUGAGAGUAUUCGUCGUCAAUCUUAUCAAGUAAGAUAUUUAUAAUAUAAUUUUUAAUUAUUUCUUAUAAAAUUAUGAAAUUCACGAAAAAAAACCGAACCUUCCUCUUAAACCUUGAUUAAUGACUCAUCAGAAAAAGAAAAUCCCCGAGUUGGAAAAGAAAGGUGAUAGAUACUCAAGACCAACUGAAUUUGCUUUGGAUUCUUCUCCAAGUGUACUUUAUCAAAUACAGGGCACAUUAAUCUUGCCAAAAGUACGCUGGCGUACUCCACUUGACAAAAGCUUAACCUUCUUUACCCAUUGAUUAUCAGCAGCAGAUGAUCACCUUUUAGCACGAAACCUACAAGUCAAUCAAAUCCAAAGGGGGGGUUCUACUCGGAAUCGGAAUCCAUGUUUCCCAUAGCCCUUAGUCCUCGUGGUCUCU
Molecule: long non-coding RNA, 173101 nt
Filed under: Coffea arabica (coffee)
Lineage: Eukaryota; Viridiplantae; Streptophyta; Magnoliopsida; Gentianales; Rubiaceae
Description: long non-coding RNA (CARA_LNC005767)
Source: RNAcentral